This 171070-nucleotide long non-coding RNA is filed under the name Pelobates cultripes (western spadefoot toad). The record is from RNAcentral. Lineage: Eukaryota; Metazoa; Chordata; Amphibia; Anura; Pelobatidae.
CUAGAAAGACCCCCCUCCAUGGCCCAUUAGCCCUCAAUUGUAGUCUCUACUGGGGCCUCGAAGGGAUUAUUGCACUUUUGUUCCUUGUGUCUAAAGAUUGUGUAGGGUGUGGCUGGAGGCGGUGCAUGGAGGUGGGACAAGGGUGGCGCUUGCUGCAGAGUAUGGGUGGGGCCUGUAAGGGGGCCCUUGAUUUAUUUUGCCAGGGGGCCCUGAGGGUUCUCAGUCUGCCCCUGUUGGCACCCUUUUCAUUUUUACAAUUUUUUUUCAAAUAUCAAAACAUAUAUGUCAUAUAUAUAUAUAUAAAAAAACAAUAGUGAAUCAAGGUCUUAGGUAACUAAAAAGUUAUAAGAGCAGGAAGGAUCAAGAGACGUUAUUUGGGUUAAAUGUUUCAGAGUAAGAAAAAAGUGUAAGGAAAGUGAUAAAUAAAAAUAGAUGCUGACACACUACUGAUAGCGGGUGCUGGUAUCGAGGCUACCCACCUAAAAGAGCAAACAAACAAAAUACAAAAAUAUAAAGAAUUGUACCGCACUCAAAAAUUGUAGUAGAUCAAAAGAGAAACAAAUCGUAUAGAGACCUGACCUCUAUUCAUAAAUAUAUUGCCACAAGAUUGGAUAAAAGUGCAAAUGCUUCAUGUUAAAGAUGUCACACUGUUUCAACAAUUUUCUUAGACAAAAGUGCAAAUGCCAGUUAAACCUCAACCCUCAUCUGGUGAGCAUACACAAAUAACUAAAUAUGAAUAAAAAAAUAAAUAAUAAAAACAUGUAGAAAACAGGCUAGUACCCCUCUGCACAGUGGUAAUAACAUAUGGCAGACAUAUGGGUUAUUGCUUAAAUUAAGAAGAACAUAAGCUUGUGUUAGCUGGAAAAACCACCAACUGGUUUGCAAUCUUAAACAUGUGAUUGUUCACAUUUGUCAAUAAGAAUUGUCCCUUCUCAUUUGGAGUAGCUUUAGGCAUUACUGACACAAGCUUAUUGAAAAUACUUGAUGUACAUACAUAAUUUAAGCAAGAACCAAAUGUCUGCUAUAUAUUACUGGUGUAUGCUCACUAGGUGACGGUUGAGGUUUCGCUGGCACAAUUGUUGAAACAAAGUUUGACUUAAUUGAUUAGAACUCUUUACUUAAAGCGGCACUGUCAUGCCGAAUUUACCUUUCCUCAAUCUCUUCCUCUUCUCCCCCUCUCUCAGGAUCUGUUCUUCUUUUCUUCCUGUCUUCUUUAGUUUUCUUUAAAAUCAUAAGACAAAGUAGGGACUCUUUGCCUUAUGGAGGUUUCCUCCGCUUGACCAGCUGGUCAGAGCAAUUUUCCCAUAAUUCUUACCUUUCCUCUGUGAUCUCGCGAUGCUUACUGUCAUUUUAGACGAAACCGCCGAAUUGCGUUCUAACUGAAUGAGAACAGUAUGUUCGUUUGUUUUAGAACUCAAUUUGGCACUUUGUUCGUAUCGGAAUUUCAUUCGAAUGAAUGAAACUCAGAUUCAAUUUGUGCUGCGGCAGCAUCUUGCAGCCGCUUAGUAGAUAACUCCCUAAUUCCCAUGGUAUUAGGGAGUUAUCUUCCAAAAGGCUGAAAGACCAAUUUUAGUAAAUAUUACUUAGUAUUAGUAAAUGAUUAGUAAAUGACCUGCCCCUACUCGCUAUACCGCAAGUAGGGGCAUGUCUAGUAAACAGUGAGCAGCAGGGGCCAUAAAGAUAAUGAGGGGGGAGCCUACAGUCCUCUCCCCAGCCCCCAUCCCUGGGUGAUGGGUGAGGGCCAUAAAGAUAAUGAGGGGGGAUCCUACUGUCCUCCCUCCACCGGCCCCCACCCCUGCGCGGUGGGUGAGGGCCAUAAAUUACAAUGGAGGGGAGACCUUCUGUCCUCCCCCCUAGCCCCCACCCCUGUGCGGUGGGUGGGGGCCAUAAAUUACAAUGGGGGGACCUACUGUCCUCCACCCCGGCCCCCACCCCUGGGCGGUGGGUGAGGGCCAUAAAGAUAAUGAGGGGGGGACCUACUGUCCUUCCCCCCCGGCCCCCACCCCUGGGCGGCGGGUGGGGGCCCUAAGACAAAUCCCCCCCCCCAUCAAAGGUGACUAGGAGUCCCCAAGCCCCUAGUCACCCACUCCCCCACCCAAAAAAAAGUUACUCCCUACCUACCCCCUCACCCUAAAAAAUAGUGAGGGGGGAAUAAAAUAACUAACCUGUAAAGAAAAAUGUAGCUUAACCAUUUGAUGUCUUCUUUUUUCUAAAAUCUUCACUUUUCAUCCCCAAAAAAGGCCAAAUAAAAAACCAUCAUACCCGUCGAACUUAAACUAAAAUAAAAAACGAGCGCCAAAAAAAAAAACUGACGAAAAAGAAAAAACCUGAGCGCAAAAAAAAAAUCCAUCUUCACCCAUGGAGGGCUCAGCGCAGACUGAGCUCUGCAGGGCGGGGGAAGGCUUAUAAAGCCUUGCCCCGCCCUGCAAUUAGGCUAAGAACACUCUGAUUGGCUGGUUUAAGCCAAUCAGAGUGCUCUUUGUCAUUUUACACAGUGUGGGAAAAUUCCAAAGAACUUUCCCACGCUGUGUAAAAUGACACAGAGCACUCUGAUUGGGUGGCAUGAAAUCCAUCUAGUCAGAGUGCUUUGUGUCAUUAGUCGCUGUUACUGAGACAUGGUACAAUGAGAAAAAUGACUGGGACAUAGCAAUACCAGGGUACUCUUUAUAUAGGAAAGAUAGGGAAGGCAAGAAAGGAGGAGGGGUGGCCUUGUAUGUGAAGGAUAGCAUAAAAUCUAGCCUAAUAAAAGUUAGUAAGGCAAACAUAGAGUCCGUUUGGGCUACGUUAGAAUUUGGUAAUCACACAGUAACUCGUGUAGGUGUGAUUUAUAGGCCCCCAGGACAAAUUGAAGAGUUAGAUAAUCUACUAGUUGAGGAAAUAGCUAACAUGACAAUGAAGGGGGACAUUAUCAUCAUGGGUGACUUUAAUCUUCCUGAUGUAAAUUGGAAAACAAAAUUAGCUACUUGUGCCAGGAACACACAUAUUCUAAACUCCCUACUGGGAUUGUCUCUAAAACAAGUUGUUGAAGAGCCAACUCGUAAAGAGGCCAUACUAGAUUUAGUGUUAACAAAUGGAGAUUUGGUAUCAGAUAUUACUGUAGGUGAAAGUUUAGGAUCCAGUGAUCAUCAGUCAGUGUGGUUUAAUAUAAGAACAGUGACUGAGUCACACCACACAAAAACAAAAGUUUUAGACUUUAGAAAAACAGACUUUUCUAAAAUUAGAAUAUGGGUAGAGGAGUCAUUAUCAGACUGGAGCAAUUUAAAUGGAGUCCAAGAGAAAUGGGAUUAUUUAAAAGUUGCACUAUUGAAGGCAACAGAAAAUUGCAUUAGGCUUGUCAGUAAAAGCAAAAAAUUAAAGAAACCACUGUGGUACUCCGCAGAUGUGGCCAAAAUAGUUAAAAGCAAAAAGUUAGCAUUUAGGAAUUAUAAAAAAAACCAGAGUGAGGAAGACAAAAUGAUCUAUAAGAUUAGGCAGAAAGAGGCUAAGCAAGUUAUAAGAGCUUCCAAAUCACACACAGAAGAGAAAAUAGCACAGUCAGUAAAAAAGGGGAUAAAACAUUUUUUAGAUACAUAAAUGAGAAAAGAAAAGUAAAACAAGGAUUAGUUAGAUUAAAACCAAAAGAAGGAAGGUAUGUAGAAGAGGAUAAAGGUCUAGCUGACUGCCUCAAUGAAUAUUUUUGUUCUGUAUUUACAGAUGAAAAUGAAGAAAGGGACCUCAGUUGAGAAAAAGGAUAAAUGAGUCAUUUAUUACACGUGAGUUUACAGAGGAAGAGGUUCUAUUUCAACUGUCAAAAGUAAAGACAAAUAAGUCAAUGGGACCUGAUGGAAUACACCCAAAGCUAUUAAAAGAGCUUAGUGGUGUACUAGCAAAACGAUUAACAGAUUUAUUUAACCAAUCAUUGUUAACAGGAGUAGUCCCAGAAGAUUGGAAGUUAGCGAAUGUUGUGCCCAUUUACAAGAAAGGUAAUAGGGAGGAGUCGAGCAACUAUAGGCCAGAAGCCUUACUUCAGUAGUGGGGAAAGUGAUGGAAACCAUGUUAAAGGAUAGGAUUGAUGAACAUCUAAAAACAUGGAUUUCAAGAUCAGCGACAACAUGGGUUUACUUCAGGGAGAUCAUGCCAAACUAAUCUUAUUGAUUUUUUUGAUUGGGUAACUAAAAUUAUAGAUCAGGGUGGUGCAGUAGACAUUGCUUACCUAGAUUUCAGUAAGGCUUUUGACACUGUUGCACAUAGAAGGCUUAUCAAUAAACUGCAAUCUUUAAGUUUGCAUUCAAAUAUUGUUGAAUGGGACAGGCAACAGAGGGUUGUAGUUAAUGGAAUAUAUUCGAAUCUUGGACUUGUCACCAGUGGGGUACCUCAGGGAUCUGUACUUGGACCCAUUCUCUUUAAUAUUUUUAUUAGUGAUAUUGCAGAAGGUCUUGAUGGUAAGGUAUGUCUUUUUUGCUGAUGAUACUAAGAUAUGUAACAGGGUUGAUGUUCCAGGAGGGAUAAGCCAAAUUACUAAUGAUUUAGGUAAACUAGAAAAAUGGUCAGAAUUGGGGCAACUGACAUUUAAUGUGGAUAAGUGCAAGAUAAUGCAUCUUGGACGUAAAAACCCAAGGGCAGAGUACAGAAUAUUUGAUAGAGUCCUAACCUCAACAUAUGAGGAAAGGGAUUUAGGGGUGAUUAUUUCUGAUGACUUAAAGGUAGGCAGACAAUGUAAUAGAGCAGCAGGAAAUGCUAGCAGAAUGCUUGGUUGUAUAGGGAGAGGUAUUAGCAGUAGAAAGAGGGAAGUGCUCAUGCCACUGUACAGAACACUGGUGAGACCUCACAUGGAGUAUUGUACACAGUACUGGAGACCGUAUCUUCAGAAGGAUAUUGAUACCUUAGAGAGGGUUCAGAGAAGGGCUACUAAACUGGUUCAUGGAUUGCGGGCUAAAACUUACCAGGAAAGGUUAAAGGAUCUUAACAUGUAUAGCUUGGAGGAAAGACGAGACAGGGGGGAUAUGAUAGAAACAUUUAAAUAUUUAAAGGGAAUCAACACAGUAAAGGAGGAGAUUAUAUUUAAAAGAAGAAAAACUACCACAACAAGAGGACAUAGUCUUAAAUUAGAGGGACAAAGGUUUAAAAAUAAUAUCAGGAAGUAUUACUUUACUGAGAGGGUAGUGGAUGCAUGGCAUAGCCUUCCAGCUGAAGUGGUAGAGGUUAACACAGUAAAGGAGUUUAAGCAUGCGUGGGAUAGGCAUAAAGCUAUCCUAACUAUAAGAUAAGACUAGGGAGUAAUGAAAGUAUUUAGAAAAUUGGGCAGACUAGAUGGGCCGAAUGGUUCUUAUCUGCCGUCACAUUCUAUGUUUCUAUGAUUGGUUAGAUUCCAAGCCCACCUAUCAGAGUGUUAUGAGUCAAAUUACACAGCGUGGGAAAAUUCCAAAGAACUUUCCCACGCUGUGUAAAAUGACACAAAGCACUCUGAUUGGCUUAAACCAACCAAUCAGAGUGUUCUUAGCCUAAUUGCAGGGCGGGGCAAGGCUUUAUAAGCCUUCCCCCGCCCUGCAGAGCUCAGUCUGCGCGAAGCCCUCCAUGGGUGAAGAUGGAUUAUUUUUUUUGCGCUCUGGUUUUUUCUUUUUCGUCUGUUUUUUUUGCGCUCUGAUUUUUUAUUUUAUUUUAAGUUCGACAGGUAUGACGGUUUUUUAUUUGGCCUUUUUUUGGGCUGAAAAAUGAAGAUUUUAGAAAAAAGAAGAUGUCAAAUGGUAAGUUUAAUUUUUCUUUACAGGUUAGUUAUUUUAUUCCCCCCUCACUAUUUUUUAGGGUGAGGGGGGCAUGUAUGUGAUAACUUUUUUUGGGGGUAGAGGGGUGGGGAACUAUUGUACUCCGCCCGGUCCCCAACCCCUUCGCGGUGGGUGGGGGACAUAAAUUACAAUGGGGGGGGGGGCCUAAAUCUGCAAUAGCUACAAGCAUAAAUAAAUGCACACAUGUAAUCAUUGUGGGGUAUAUCUACUAAAUAGUGCUUUUUUUUUUUUUAACUAAAAUGUAUUUCCACUUUGGAGUGUUCUUUAAGAAAGGGUUUUCCUUUACAACAGGGGUGUCCAAACUUUUUUCCAAAGAGGGCCAGAUUUGAUGAAGUGAACAUGCGUGAGGGCCGACCAUUUUGCCUGACAUUCUUUGAACCAUUAAAAUUAAAUGCAAAUUAACUAUUUUAUGCAAAGUUUAUUGCAAACAGCAUACUUUUUAUUUCAUCUCUUUAUUCUGUCUCUUUAUUCUGCCCCUUCUCUCUUUAUUCUGUCCCUUCUCUCUUUAUUCUGUCUCUCUUUAUUCUGUCCCUUCUCUCUUUAUUCUGCCUCCUCUCUCUUUAAUUCCUUCUCUCUUUAUUCUGUCUCUUCUCUCUCAAAUUAUGUCUCUCUUUAUUCUAUCCAUUCUCUCUUUAAUUCUGUCUCUCUUUAUUCUGUCCCUCUUUAUUUCAUUAUGUCUCUCUUUAUUCUGUCCCUCUUUAUUUCAUUAUGUCUCUCUUUAUUAUGUCCCUUCAUUCUGUCUCUCUUUAUUCUGUCUCUCUCUAUUCUGUCCCUUCUCUCUUUAAUUCUGUCUCUUUUUAUUCUGCCCCUUAAUUCUGUCUCUCUUUAUUCUGUCCCUUUAUUCUGUCUCUUUAUUCUGUCCCUCUUUAUUCUCUAUCUCUUUAUUUUCUGUCUCUUUAUUCUGUGCCUCUUUAUUCUGUGUCUCCAGGUACAAGGAACCAUACACCGCGACGUUGACGUCCAAGAGAUCCCGCUACGUCCAAGAGAUCGCGAGAACACAGACUGCAAGUCCGUCUGCGUUCUCACAAUCUCUUGGCCCCCAGUGAAUCCCCCUGUUCCGCUCAGGACUGCGGCAUUCAAAGAUCCAGGGAUCCUGAGCAACGCUCGGGGAUUCACUGGAAGCCACAACAAAUAGAUUAGCCAAAUUACCUGUGGGGCUGUAUUAAACUGAAACGCAGGCCGCAAUUAACCUGCGGGCCGUAAUUUGGACAUGACUGCUUUACAACAUCUUGAUACAUGUUUCUCUAAUGAGUUCAUGUUGUUUGUUACCCAGUUUUUAAUUCCUUGAUGCUUAGAUUAAAUUUCUCAUAUCUAAAGCCACCACCAAUGUCAAUAGCUAAUGCUAUAUUAUUUCUCCCAAAAAGGAGAGGUGGCAGUGAGCUACCAGUUUUGCAGCAUACAGUAUGGAGAGUCUGCUGAUUUACUGCCACUGAGGAAGGAAGAAAUUACGCCAUGACCCCCAGCCCAUCACUUUACAGAAGGGGGGCAACCAUAUGAAGCCAUGCCAACUUAAAUUAUCCCAUUUGCCCUGUGCACCCUAUGGUGACUACAUGCCUGCAUACAAACAUGCAUAGAUAGAUACAUAUAUCCAUCUAAUUGGUGUUCAUAUAGUCCUUUAUUUUAGAAGUAAUUCUAUUGACUAAGCCUAACGCAGAGUCUUCAUAUUGGAAAUUCAAAUGUAAUAUGUAAACGUCCUAUAUUUUCUAUAUAGUGCCAUCAGGAAUUUAUUUAUAAAAAACAUUUCGGAUGGAAAUAGAAGUUGUUAUCUUGCAAAUUGGUGGCACGUUCCUCUGAAUUGCUGCUCUUUAGAACUUUUGUUCAUGGUACCCCAGAUAAUCUGACUGCCAAACAUAACAGCAAAUGCAAUUUAUAUCACUGAUGCUUGAAUUGGCAAAUACCUACACACACAAACACACAUAGACAAGUGCCUUAUGUUACAUGACAUUGAUGGUGUUUAUUCAGCAGUAUAUGUGCUUUAGCUGACAUGGUCCUACCUCUUACGGAGCGUCAGCAUGGGACACAAUGAGCCAAGUUGCGCUCUAAUUCACCCUCUGGGUUUUGCGUUUGCAUCAAAGUAAAAUGACUGUAACUGUUCCAAUUUUCUGAUGAAAUUGCUGGCACCAUUCUUCCAAGAGAGAUUUUUUUUUUAGCUUAUUAGCAUCCAGACGCAGUGCUUGCGAACCUUGGAAAAUCUCAAACACAACAAGAAAGGAAUAAUGUAGCAAGCAAUUUAUAUCAAAGUCACAGUCUAAUUGAUACCAGCGGACUCAUAACGAGCAAGGGAAAUAUAACAGAAAUACCAGGCCUGCUUUUCCGUUUGCAUGAACCAUCCCCCCUCGCUGUGUCAAUCCUAUCUUUUCUGUUCUUCCGCUUUGUUUCAGGACAAUUCUUUCAUCUCGUUUGAUAUGUUCACCCUUGGCUCUCAUUUUCCAUUUCCUAUCACUUGUCUUCAGUUGUUUCACUGACGCUUCUGAGAAAUUGAUUUUUUUUUUUCAAUUUUAUAACGCUACUUAAUUAUAUACAAAAUGGUCUAAUUCGUUCUUUGUCAAAUAUAUUUUUUUAAUAAUAGCUCAGUGUAACAUUUCCACCUUCUAUUAUCUUCCAGAUAGAUCCAGUUAAUACUUUAAGUGGACAGAGAAUCAGAGAGCAUUGCUAGAAAUCAUUUAUUCAAUUCUUAGUGCAAGAAUGGGCCUUUUAUUUAAUUAUUUAUUUAUUUUAUUUUUUAUUUAUUUUUUUCAUUGCAAGAAUACAAAAAUAUAAAAGUCCAGCUACUUUUCACAUAGGGGCUAUUUUUAAGUCCUUUUAUGUUAUACCUGCAGAUAAAUAAGGGUAUAGGAGAAAACAGUUUUGCUCUUUUUUUAUGUAAUGCAUUAAAUCUGUAUUUUUUGUUUGUUUCUUUUUAGCUCACACUGUUGUCUCACUUUUCUUUUUUCUGUCACUCAAAAUUUGAUGGACUUUAGGUAGAAAAAUGCUGACAUUUCUUAACAAGUCAAAGCAAACGAAUGCUGGCCUUGGAUAUCAGGCACCUUAGUGCCUCUAAAAACAACAUCAGACCUCCUGCAAUGUGGACAAAACAGCUCUUUUUGUUCUUGAAGGGAGGCUCACCACAUGCAAAUAUAAAUGAUGCACAGACGCAAAGUGCAUAGGUCAAUGGUUCCCAACUCAGUCCUCAAGUACCCCCUAACAGUCCAGGAUUUAAGGAUUACCCUGUGUGUCUAAGGUGUUUGAAGAAAGAAGGAAAACCAAAAACACAUUAGACACAACAGGGUAAUCUCUAAAUCCUGGACUGGUAGGGGGUACUUGAGGACUGGGUUGGGAACCCCUGACAUAAAUGAUAAUCUAUUUAUCUGGAAGCAUAACUGAUUGAGGAUUUUUCCAGUUUGGCUCUUUUGAACAUAAAUUUGAAAUUCACUUUGAAUUCUCACUUUUGUGAAUAAUCCUGAUGAUGUAAUGUAUCUGAAAUACAUUCUUGUGGUAUAGAACCUCGUUCUCAGUCUCUAUGUGUAAUUGUCUUAGUGCCAGUAUGGGAGGCACUAAUCCUGCAAAUAGAUUGCAACAAGUCAGACAUUGUUUCACAGGAAAAUAGUAAACUAGGCUAAUUCAUUAAGUCAAAUAUUUAUAAAUAAUAAAUAAAAAAAACACCAAAUAAAAGGAAAUAAAAACUAUAAGAAAAUAGAAAUAACCCUCUCAUGUCUCCAAUGUCUAUACAUCAAAUCCUUAUCAGAGAAUUUCUGCCCAUGGUCCCUUGUGUUUUCAAUUGAUGUGCUGUUGUUGUGCAGAAAUUCCAUUUGGAAAACCCUGUUAGUUCUCUAUUAACAAGAUAAAGGUAAUUAAAGGAAAAAGUGUCUUCAUUUUGUUUUAUUGAAAUAAAAGAUUACAUAUAAUACAGUUUCCUUGUCUAUUACUUUUGCAAUAACACACGCAGGAUAGGUAAAUAUCUCUUUUUAGAGAAUCUCCUGGCUUUCACUUGCUCCACUGUAGAAGCCAUUUGAUGUCCCCUUUGGUUAGAUGCGCCACUUAUCUGAUGCAAGUAAUUUGGGUGAAUAAAACCAUUUUAAGUUGCUUGUCACUUGCUCAUGAUGUGUAGAUUUGGGAACAUGAUCUAGCUCCUUGUUACUUGCAUGGCUUUUGUUAAAAUAAGUGGUGCAUCUGCUGAAAAAAAAAAGAGAAUUAAAGAUGGCUGUCCACGCAGAGUAAGCCAUAAGUGAAAACAUGAGGCCAAAAGAAGUGUUAAAAAAUAAAAUAAAAAUUAUAUAUAUAUAUAUAUAUAUAUGUAUAUAUAUAUAUAUAUAUAUAUAUAUAUAUAUAUAUAUAUAUCAGAUAAUUAUUUGUAGUAUAGAAAAUCACAAAUUUCACAAUGUUUCUAUGAUCAUGAACCCAUGUGCUUUAAUAAGCUCUGCAAAAUCUACAUUGAAAGAAAGACUAUAGGUUUCCCAUGACAAAUUAAAACCAAAAGGUAGGGGUUUUGAAUCAAGUCAAUGCAGUAACAAAAUUCAAGCUCCCAAUAUUUUAUUAAAGGUAGAUGGUGGGCAACAAUAUAACUUUUAUACAUUGUAUUGCUUUUGAACAAAAUAAUUAGCUGUAUUUUCACAUUGCCCAGAAAGUCCCCAAAUACUCUGCUCUUUACGGAAAUGAAGGUUUGCACAGAGAACUUUUCCACUUUUAUUAUUUUGAAUUGGUUGUUUUUCCAUGUUUUUUUAUUAUCUGUAUAAUGCAGUGAAAAGAAUGGGUCAGUUCAAGCCUGGAGUUUAGUUGAAGCUUGGUUUCUAUAGUGCAGGCCUGUGGAAAGGUUUUACUGUUUAUGAUUAUUUUACGCCAACAACAAAAAAGUAAUGCUAAUAUUAUGGUUGGUAAUUAUGAUAUAUUCCAUGUUGACGUUAGAAAAUAUUAAAUGAAUAAAUGGCUUUUUAUAAUUAAUUUCGCAUACUCCUUGACUUUUAUAUAAUUUCUAGAGUUCGUAUUACCUAAAUUCACAAAGAAAAAGGGCAAGAAAAUCCUGUUACGAUGAAUUAGGUGAUAGUUGAGCAUAAAGUUGUUAACAACCAAGACACGUCUCUGCUACCUCUCUGCUUCAGUGUUCCUGGAGAUCCAUUUAGAAAGAAGAUGCCUAAGUGUUCCAAGACCUGCAAUUUUCUUGCCAUAUUAUUAGCGUGCUCUCAAUUUAGUGUAGUAGUUUAGAGCUUUUCCAAACACAACCGCAUCACUAUUGCGACCCAAUCUCGUUUAGCAAAGAGUCAGCUUCAAGUGGCCAUUUCAGUGAAGGAUAUCAGUGCUCAGAAUAAAAACAACAAAACACAGUUAUCUCAUUUUACAUCCUGUACAACCCUGCCUUAAAGGCUUCUAUAAUUACCAGGCAUUCCACUUAGCUUAUUAUAAUAUUAAUUAUAACAAUUUGCUGCUUUUGAGAAGCCCAGUCAACCAUCCUCGAAGAAGAAGGAAAUGCAUUUUUAAAGGUUUUAAUAGGUUGUGGUAAUCACUAUGUAGAACACUUUACAUAAGACGUACUUCAGACAUACUUAUUGGUACAUGAGUAACAAAUAAUCUUCCAUGGACAAAUUCCAUUGUGCCCCCUGCCCAAUCGAUAAUACCUUGUUACAUGCCUCAUCCAAUCAACAUACUGGUAUAUCACAUACAUUUUCCCAGCUACAACCCUAUUCUAUUCCUCACAGUAGCUUCAUUCUACCUCCAUGUCCCUAUUUCUCCAUUUACUCAGGUGAUUCAGGGUGACUAAACUGAUGUUACUACUCCUUAUUGGUAAUUUUCUUAAAAAAAUAGAACCUGGUAACCUAAAUUUGGCCUGUGAAGGUUGUGUUGUACUUCUAAGCAUUUUAUUAUGGACUUUGAAAAAAGAACCAUGUCAUCAAACCUGCAUGAAUGUGAUGAAAAUCAUCCCUGCUGCACACACGCAGCACUUGAAGGGGCUAUUUACAGAGUGCUAAAGGAAAAACCAUUUGAACCACAAGCUCUUAAGAGGUGAGUGUGAAUGGAGGUACUGUAUUUUAUUAUUUUUCACAAGGCUAUACAGGAGCAGUGACAUAGGCUGUGCAGAUAGAAUGUGUAGUUUUCUUUAACAGAGCUCACAGCUAAUAGCACCACAUGCACUACCACAAUUAUUAGUAUUUUUGCAUAUAUAUAUAUAUAUAUGUGGUUCACUGGUUUUGCAUCUUUUCCUAAAUUGUGUUCCAGCAGUUGUAUACUGCAAACAGAGAUUAAAAGGAAUCCAUGUUUAAAAUGGAAUGAGGCAAAAAUGUGAUUCUUUGUUAAACUAAUUUGCAUAUACCCACCCAGAAUCCUUUGCGUUUGUAACAUCACUGUAGAUUUGGGAUUUCUGUGGGAAAAGCAAGUCUUAUGGCUUGACUGGUAUGCAGAUUUUUGUUUAACAUUGUAUUAACUAUCCACAGACUUCAGGUGGAAGGGGUUUUCAAUCACAAUUUUUCCCCACCAUAACCUCUUUGGAUUUUGCUUCCCAAGCACUACCAAGCCUCAAUAAGCAAACCAGUAACCAACCUUAUGCUGAAGAGUUGCAUUAACAACGAAACAGCUGUCCAUGAGUGGUUCACUGGUUUUGCAUCUUUUCCUAAAUUGUGUUCCAAGCAGUUGUAUACUGCAAACACAGAUGAACAGGAAUCCAUGUUUAACCCCUUAAGGACUGGACUGUUUUUGCGAUGUUGUACAUUUGCGACCAGGAAUAUUUUUACACUUUUGUGGUGUUUGUGUUUGGCUGUAAUUUUCCGCUUUCUCAUUUACUGUUCCCAUACAAAUUAUAUAUUGUUUUUUUCAGGACAAAAUGGGCUUUCUUUACAUACCAUUAUUUAUAUAAUCUCAUGUAUUUUAAUUUAAAAAAAUAAAAAAAUAUGAUGAAAAAUUGAAAAAAAUACAUGUUUUUUGACUUUUACUUGAAAAAUCUUUUACUCAUCUACAAAAGCGAAUGAAAAAAACUGCUAAAUAGAUUCAAAAUUUUGUCCUGAGUUUAAAAAUACCUAGUGUUUACGUGCUUUUUUGCUUUUUUUUGCAUGUUAUAGGGCUAUAGGUACAAGUAGGAUAUUGCGGUUUAAAAACAUACAUUUUUAAAAUUUAUCAAUAGUGACAUUGUAACACUAUUAUCUGUCAUAAAUCUCUGAAUAACACCCCACAUGUACAUAUUUUUUUUAAAGUAGACAACCCAGGGUAUUCAAUAUGGGGUAUGUCCAGUCUUUUUUAGUAGCCACUUAGUCGAAAACACUGGCCAAAGUAAGCAUUCAUAUUUGUUUGUGUGUGAAAAAAGUAAAAAAACUAAAUUGAACGCUAAUUUUGGCCAGUGUUUGUGACCAAGUGGUUACUAAAAAAGACUGGACAUACCCCAUUUGCAAUACCUUGGGUUGUCUUCUUUGCAAAUGGUAUGCCAUCAUGGGGGUAAUUCUCAUUCCUGGGCUACCAUACGCUCUCAAAGGCAACGUAACCAACCUGGCCAUUUUCAAUGUAAAAAUAUUUGACCCAUAUAUUUGACCUUGUAACUUUCAAAAAUGCUAUAAAACCUGUACAUGGGGGGUACUGUUUUACUUGGGAGACAUCGCUGAACACAAAUAUUAGUGUUUAAAAACUGGAAAACGUAUCACAACAAUUAUAUCAUCAGUAAAAGUGCUGUUUGUGUGUGAAAAAUGCAAAAAAAGUAACUUUCACUGACAAUAUCAUCGCUGUGAUAUGUUUUACUGUUGUGAAUCACUAAUAUUUGUGUUCAGCGAAGUCUCCCGAGUAAAACAGUACCCCCCAUGUACAGGUUUUAGGGUGUCGUAGAACGUUACAGGGUAAAAUACAGUGCUAGCAAAUUAAAUUCUCUGGAAUUUCGGCCUGGGUUGGCAGGCAGGUCCCUCAAAUUGCAAUCAAUAAAAUUACUGAAUUAUGUAAAAAUAUUACAUAAAUACGCACGUAGAAUUUAAAUAUAUAUGCAUAUUUAUAUAUUUGAAGUCUACGUGUAUUUAUAUAAUUAUUUAUGUAAUUUUGUAUAUGGACGUAUGUAUAUUUCUAUAUUUUUAUUUAUUUUUAUAUACAUAGAUAUAUAUACAAAUUCAUUCUAAGUGUAUUUUGAUAUAUAAUAUAUAUAUAUUAAUUUUAAAAUACAGUUAGAAUAAAAUUUCAUAUAGCUAUAUAAUUUUUUUUUAAAUUUUUUAUUAUUAUUUUUAAAAAAAUUAUUUAAUUUAAAUUACUUAUUAGUUAUAUUUUAUAAUAAUAUAUAUAUACAAUAUAUAUAGUUAUUAUAUAUAUUAUAUAUAUACGUGUGUAAUUUAAUUAUAAGUGUAUUUUUAUAUUAAUAUAAGUACAUAUUAAUAUAAAAAUACACUUAGUAUGACAUUAUAUAUAUAUGAUAUAUAGACAUAUAUUAUAUAGAUAUAAUAUAUGUCUAUAUAUCAUAUUUAUACAUAUAUAAUUAUUAUUAUUUUUUUUAUUACCAUUAACUUUAAUUUUUUUUUUGAUUUUACAGUUGCAGGGAGACUGCCUGUCAGCACAGGCAGUCCCCCUGCAGGCAGCACUAUGGACACCUAUUGUGACCAUGUGAUCGCUGUGUUAAGCGAUCACAUGGCCACAGGGGUCCUAAUCUGCCGUGGGGAGACUGUCUGGGCUGCAGGCAGUCUCCCCACAACCGGAGGAACACUGAUCGCCGCCGGGGGAACGACGGCGAUCAGGUAAGUAGCCCCAGACCGUUUGGACGGUUCAGGACCGUCAUCGGUCCUCAAGGCAAAAAUGCCGAUGACGGUCCUGAACCGUCCUCGGUCCUUAAGGGGUUAAAAUGUAAUGAGGCAAAAUUCUUUGUUUAACUAAUUUGCAUAUGCCCACCCAGAAUCCUUUGCGGUUGUAACAUCACUGUAGAUUUAGGAUUUCUGUGGGAAAAGCAAGUCUUAUGGCUUGACUGGUGUGCAGAGUUUUGUUUAACAUUGUAUUAACUAUAUAUAUAUAUAUAUAUAUAUAUAUAUAUAUAUAUAAAAAUUUAUUGUAUUAUUUUAUAUCUUGAGCUUCAGACUCAGACACAAGACAAGGAGCAAGUUGUUUUUCCUAUUCCCCACAAACUGCAGUCAAUGUUUAGUGCAAUUUAAAUGAGCACUGUUUUAUUGGAGUUUGCAUUCAGUAUAAUGUUUACAAAAUGGUGGGCAGACUAUACAAAUAGAGUAUGCUUGUUAUGGAGCAUUGGAGGGAGAGCAACUGAGCCUCUUUGCGUCAGUCUUAAAACCCUCCCUCAGAACAAUAGAAAUUUUCUUUUGUUGAAAGAAAAUGAUAGCCUGGCACACAGUGGAACUUCCACUAGGUCAAUCAACUAGUUGUGAUUUAUUGGAAUUGGACAAACAGAGAGAUCAAUUCUUACACUUUAUAAACCAGGACUGUGAAAAUCAUAUUAUCCACUUUGAAGAAUCUUGUCACAGUAAAAUACAAAGCACUUGUGAAACAAUUCGAAGAGAAAGUUAACUGGUGUAACAAGUCUGCUGUCAGCAGACAGCAGAAAUUACAGAAAUUAAUUUGUCAAAGUAGCAUAAUGGUCUGCUUGCAUUCAAUGAUUAUAGUGAAGCACUAGUGGGUUAAAGGGUUGCUCAAACCACCAUGACCACUUCAGUGAUUUGAAGUGGUUAUGGUGGUAGGAGUAUGUAUGUGCAGUGCUUCUGCUUGAAACACUGAGAUAUUUUUAAUUAAGUGCCGUGGACUCUGUUCCGCACUGCCAACGUCAAUUGUGUGCAUACAAAACAUCUGUGGUCAGUACACACUGCUGACAGAUGUAAACAUUUCCCCCUCGCAGGCUUUGCACCUGCAUAGGGAAGAUUUCUAUCCCCUUUCACCCUCCCACCCACUUUGCGCUCCCUACUGCCUCACUUCAUUGUACAUUGUACAUGUUUUUGUUGUUUUCCUUAAAAACCCUCCCUUUUCUCCACUACCUCGCCGGCCUAGAGCACGCACAGGCUCUCUGAGCUGGCAAAAUUGUCCAUUCACAAGGUUUUCUAAAAGUGGUUCUCCAUAGUGCCCAAUGGGGCAUUUUACACAGGAAAGGUCAACCCCUAAAAUGGGUUGGAGUAACCCUUUAUGUUUACAGAUAAUCCCUUUCUAAGCAAAGCAAUGUUUGUGAAUUGCCUUGUAUACAGAGUAUUCACCAUUUUACUCUGUAUGUGUUUUUAAUGUGCUUAUUUUGAUUAAAUGUUUGGCAUUAUUGCAUUAUUGGUCACCGUGGUAUAAUGAUUGUCCUAAAAAUGAUGUCCUCUGGACUCUGAUGUCGGGCACACUGAGCACUAUAUACAGAGCUGGGUGAUAGCUGUGCAUUAUGUGAGUAAUCAGUUUUGAGCCUUUUUUGGUGUAAUUUAUUAAAUCUGUUUAGAAUUGUAAUGAAUUUAUCUAUCUUUCGGUCACAAUCACUGCUAGAAAAGUGUUUUGGAAUUUGACAGUCCAUUCUCAAAUUGAUAUUUCUGCAAAUAAUGGUGGGAUUUAUGCAGAGAGAAGCUGACAAUUUGUAUCAACUCAAAGCUAACUAAUCCUGGCCUUGGAUCCUGGUCCAGAGACCUUAGUGCCUCUAAAAAACAACACCAGAGCUCCUCCAAUGUAGUUAUAACUGCUUUUUUUUGUUCUUGAAGUGUGGCUCACCAUAUACAAAUAUAAUUGAUACACUGAUGCAAAGUGCAAAAAUGAUCUAUCUAUCUGUCUGUCUGUCUAUCUAUCUAUUGAAUGUUCCUUCCUUUUUUUUUGUAAUCAAAUGAGCAACAAACGACCGUCUGGCAAGAGUGACAUUUCAUCCAACAAGCAAUUUGGUCAUUAUUUUUUCGUUGUGUCUUGCAUUCGGCCAUUUGUCAUUCUGAAGAAUAGCGAAAUUACUCGAAUUUAGGAUGAAUACAUAUUCGUCCAUAAAAGAAAGCCCGAGUACUGUUUUCAUCACAUAAUGACUUUUGCAGACCACAAAGGAGAAAAAACAUUUUUCUUGUUUCUUUUUCUCUUUCAUGCUGUACCAUUUUGACUUAUCUAUUUUCUUUGGAACAAAUUUAUAGCUGGAUGUUUCAAAGAAGGAAAUGGAUUUAAGUUGAUUGGAGUUUCACCUUGACAUACUUGUGGAGCUAUAUCGCCACUUUCCUGCCGGAUUGCUGUGUUAAUAAGGAUUGAAGUUUUAAUAUAAACUUUUGAUCAUAUACUCUAAGGGAGGAAAUAGGAUAGUUGAUAUGUUAGGUAAUUUAUUAAAAAUUGGGGUAUCUGAGCAAAGCUCUGCUCGGCAUGUGAUUGACUUAAUCGAGCUGUGAAAGUUUAAAAUAUAUUAGGAGCUUAAGAGAUUAUUCUUUCAGACAAUUUAUCCAGUGUGAUUAUAAAUAAGCUUUUUGACUAGCUCAGUAGACAUAACAAAUGUAAUGCCUUAAACAAUCAUGGCCAGUAGUAAAACAUAUUAGAGAAACCAAACCACCAUGAGUGACACUCAUUUGAACCGCACAAUUAAGGGGGUGUAAAAUCACUCAUUAAAGGUACACUAAGCACAAAAAUAUCUCUAUCCUAUUGCAGUGGUACUGAUACAAUAAGUUAUAGGGUACCGUUCUCUACUUUGGGUCAACAGCUACUGAGCAGUUUUACAAAACCAGGGCACACCUGACACCUGAAAAAAUAUGAACAUUAAUUUUGGAUAAACCCCUACAGAAGUGGAAAAGCUAGCCGCUGAAUACAAAAUAUACUGGACAUAACUUAGAAUAUAUAAUAAUUAACUUUACUCAAUACUCAAUACUAUUAAAGUUCAAAGUUAGAAUUUGAUAUCAUACAUUGGUGCAUAGAUGCUGAAAGUCAUCCUUACUUUUAAAGAUUCUUAAGUAAAAUGUUUAAAACAACAUAAAGUUGAGAUUAUUAAAGCAGCAUUGUCAUUUUUUAUUUCUUUUUUUUUUUUGUUCCUUAUGCCCUUUGUAUCUUUAUGAUUAUAUUCCACCUGUGUAGAAUAUUGCAUAUUCUAUGUUUCUAUUGAUUAUAUAUAUAUAUGGAUGUGUGGAUUGACAUAAGUAACAGAUGGUAUCAAUAAGUCACAAGGCUUUCUUUGUCCGAGAGCUCUGGAAUGUGGGUGUGGGGGUCUUGUCCUUAUAUGGCUAGAGUUAUAUGCUGACGUUAGUAUUAGCACAUCUAUAUAGUAACAGAGGGACACGAGGUCGCUCUCAGUCUCGGUCUUGGCUUGGCUCUGUACAACGAUGUAACUCUCCCAUCAGAAGUCCAGCAAUUACCAUCUGCUGUUGAAUGUCCAUUAUCCUGUAACAUCCUUUGUUGUUUUAUUAUGUAUCCGUAACAAAGAAUAAACCUGAAGAAACCGUAAGUCAGAUUGCGUAUUAGUACUUUUCAAUAAUAUAGACAUAUAUUAUUGUGGCGAGCAUUUGGCCCAAGAAUAUAUAUACAAAAGACGUAUAUAUAUCAAUCAGCUGAAGACAAGAAGAAAUUAAGAAGAUUCCACAUGAACAUCCAUUCAUCUACAUUUUUUACAACCUGCCUUGCCACUUUAAUUAUAUUUAUAAAUUUAUAUUAAAUUAUAUAAAUUAUAUUUUGUUCUCCUCUGUCCAUGAUGUCUAUUCUUUGCAUGUGAAAUUCUUUUAACUUAUGGAUUGUGAGCAAAUUUGAUUGGUAACUGAAACAUAACCUUGCUUACGUUCCGUCCUUUUUUUGUCAACUUGACUGAGAUACAUAAGGAAAUGUCCCUAUUUUCUGAAAACUAGAAUACUCUGAUUCAGACACAGGGAGCUAUAUAGUAAUAGUAUGUUAACCUAGAGAUAUCUGCUGUUUUUGAGUCGGAAAUCUGCCAUUUUAAACACAUUCCUUUUCUUUCCAGAAAUAUAUAAAUAAAGAUAAUUUAUGUAAAAAAAAUAGCUUGGGUUAUUUCAUGCCAAGGAAGAUUGAUUCUUUUUACACAGAAAUGUAUUCAGAUCUAGAAAUGAUUGUCAAAAACAGGUCCUUUAAUCUCCCCCUAAAAAAAUAAACAACAUUAAAUUGAAAGCUCAGUAAUUUGUGAUAUGAUGUUUUGAUCUGGUGAACUGAAAACAUUUAUUAAAUAGUUCAUUAAAAAAACCAAAAAGAAACAGCAAGAAAAAAAUUAUCUCAAAAACAUUAAAAGGAGAUUUCUGUGCAAUAAGUAGAUGCAUUUUGCUGGUGGGAUGGUAGGUGGGAUAGAAUGAAAAAUCAAGGGCAGUAGAUUGACGUGUUGUCAUGGGAACUGCUCAACCUGAAUGCAUGGGUACACAGAGAGGCAUGGCAGGUGCCUUUAAUGGUUUGGAGGAGGCAAAAAAUUACAUUUCCAUGACAGUUACAGAUUAGCUGAGCAAAAAGGAUUUUCCAAGAUGAUAUUUUUUUUUUCCCUACUAACUUUUGUUUUUAACACUUUUUGUGCCAAGAAUAAUUAAAUAUGAACCCUUUUUGGGCUACAGAUGUGUAAAACAUUCUAUGCACUGAAAACCUAAUUACAUAAUUUAGAGUAAACUAGGUACUGUAGAAUAAUGCGUGAACCAUUCAUUAGUGACACAUUCAAAAGAUAUUUUCAACAGGCUAGCGACAAUUUAGCCCCGCAGCAAACAUGCAGUGAAUACUUUCUGCAUUAUUUUCUGAAUCAAAUAAUUUUAGUAAAUUGUAUCUCAACUGCAAAAUUUGAGCACAAAUAGCUUUUUUGGAAACUUUCACCAGCUCAUCUUUAUUCAAAGAUUGGCAAUUUUAGCCACAAUUUUACAAUUCACAUUUAAAUGGACACUACAGUUAGCAAAGCAACUUUAGCUUAAUGAAGAUCUCACUACUCAUUUCUCUGCCCUUUAGGAGUUAAAUCACUAUUGUUUCUAUCCAUGCAACCCUAGUCGCAACUCCCCUGGCUGUGACCCACAUUUUAAAUCAGAUGUUAACUUACUUUUUUAUCUCAUGUUCUGUAAAUUUAACUUUAAUCACAUACAGGACGCUCUUGCAAGUCUAGCCAGCUAUUAACAGUGCAGGUGAUAUGAAAUUCUAAAUCAAACAGAAUUUGCAAUAAAGGAAGUUUAAUCAUUAGAUCUCACUUUACAGGAAAUGUUUAGGAAGGCUGUGCACGUUACUUGCAGGGAGGUGUGACUAGGGCUACAUAAACAAAGUGAUUUAAACUCCUAAAGGAAAAGAAUUGAACAGUGAGACUCCAGGGGCAUGACCUAUACACCAUAUAAGCUUCAUUAAGCUAAAUUGGGUUUGGUGACUAUGGUGUUGACUACUUUGCUAGUAGCACAACACAAAACAUGCUAUGCAAAUAGCCAACAUAUUUUGGACUCUUGCAGGGAUCUACACUAAACUCCAGAUCUCAUCCGAAUGGACAAAAUUGGACAUAAUUUGGGUGAAUUUUAACCAGAAUGGCAAUUCUAUUAUGAACUUAUAUUUACUAAAACCAAUUCUGGUGCAAAUUCGGUUGAUCUAGAGCAGGGGCGGCUCAAGACUUUGUGAGGCCUUAGGCAAAACUCAAAAAUGAGACCCCCAUUAACACCAUUAGUGAAACAAAUAUGGGUUGCCUUGUGUGUUUAUAAGGAGCUGUAGGUAUAUUGAAUGACGAGCUUGCAGCGUUGACUACAGAACUAGUCUCUGUAUUCAGAGGCUUGCAUUGUUGUGGCUCUCUAUGCCGCUGCGUUGUGAGCUAUCGGACUGUAGUUAUUGCAUAAUUUACAAUAAACAAAUUUAUCGUAUUUAUUGGCGUAUAACAGGAGAAAUUGUGGGUGCGUGUUUAAAUUGUGGGUGCCCUUUAAAUACUGCAGCCGCCUGAGCGCUCUGUCAAGAGCGCUCAGGCGGCUGCAGUUGGUUCUCACCUCCCCUGUAGCGUGGCUACAGGGGAGGGGGAUAAGAAGGGGGUAAAUAGAUGGGGAGGAGGGUAAGAAGAGGGGAGGGAUUAAGAAGGGGGGGGUAAGAAGAGGGGAGGGGGGAGCAAGAAGAGGGGAGGGGGGGUAAGAGGGGGAGUAAGAAAGGGGAAGAGGGGGGAAGGGGAGCAAGCAGGGGCAGAGGGGAGGGAACAAAAGAGGGGGGGGAAGUAAGAAGAGGGAGGGGAGCAAGAAAGGGGGGUAAGAAGAGGGGGAGUAAGAAGGGGGUAAGAGGGGGAGGGGGAAGUAAGAAAGGGAGUAAGAAGAGGGGGAGGGGAGUAAGAAGGGGGUAAGAGGGGGAAGGGGAAGUAAGAAGAGGGGGAGGGGGGAGUAAGAAAGGGGGGUAAGAAGUUCUUUAUUUGAAAUUUAAAGGACCACUCUAGGCACCCAGACCACUUCAGCUUUAUGAAGUGGUCUGGGUGCCAGGUCCCUCUAGGAUUAACCCUUUUUUUUAUAAACAUAGCUAUGUUUAUACUGAGGGUUAAUCCAGCCUCCAGAGCCUCUAGUGGCUGUCUCAUUGACAGCCGCUAGAGGCGCUUGCGUGCUUCUCACUGUGAAAAUCACAGUGAGAGCACGCGAGCGUCCAUAGGAAAGCAUUGUAAAUGCUUUCCUAUGCGACUGGCUGAAUGCGCGUGCGCAUUCAGCCGAUGACGCCGCGAGCAAGGAGGAGAGGAGGAGUACAGCUCCCCGCCCGGCGCUGGAGAAAGGUAAGUGUUUAACCCCUUCCUCUCUCCAGAGCCCGGCGGGAGGGUGUCCCUGAGGGUGGGGGCACCCUCAGGGCACUAUAGUGCCAGGAAAACGAGUAUGUUUUCCUGGCACUAUAGUGGUCCUUUAAGUUUUUUUCCCCUGAAAUUUCCUUCUCAAAAUGAGGUGCGUGUUAUACGCCGGUGCGUGUUAUACGCCGAUAAAUACGGUAAUUUGCAUGAUGCUAAUCCUUUAUACAUGAUUGCUGGGUAUGGUUGCAUAGCCUGGCCGCAGUGUAUACAUAAGUGCCAGGGUGAAGGGGAUAUUGGAAACAAAAAUGAACAUUUUGGUUGGGCUUUGAAAAAAUAAUUUACCAAAUAAUAAAGUUACAGAUAAGAAAACGAUGUUAUAGACAUUUUCCCCACAUAUUCUAUAAUCCUUUACAUGUAUAUUAUCAUAUGUUUAUUUCGCCAUGUAUAGGGAUGUAUGCAUAUAAUAUAUAUAUAUAUAUAAUAUAUAUGUUCCUUGCAACUUUAUCUUUGCAUUGCCUAUACCACCCUCACAUUGCAGACAUACACACACACACACACACUAAUACAUGCACACAUAUGAAUACUAAUAUACAAAUAAUACACAAAUACAUAUACAUACACACUGAUAUAUGCACAUGCAAACACACACAAGCACAUUGAUGCACAGAGAUAUAAAUAUUGACUAAUACAGACAUACAGUCACAAACUGUAUUUAUCUGUCUCUGUGUACUUCUGAGUGUGUCAGGAAUUUUCUACCUGUGACAAUGAGUAAGUAUCCUUGUAUGUGAAUAUAUGUGUCUGUGAGCAAGUGUAUGUUUGUGUCUGGGGCCGUAUGUGUGUGUGGUAGCUGCUUGCUAUGUUUUGUAUAUAUGGGGGGCUGCCUGUGGCCUUUGUGCACUUUGUUAAUGGUGGAGCUAUGUUUUAUAACUUUGUGUGUAUGAUGGUUGUCUUCAGAGGUGACUGUAACAUGGUGAGUAAAGGGGUAAUUGUGGCAGGAUGAGUGUGACAGGGUGAGGGGUGAAUGAGACAGGGUUGGGGGGUGAGUGUGGGAAUGAGGGAGAGCAAGUGUGAUAUGGUUGGAAGGGGUGUUACAGGGUGAGAUAAGGUAAGCGUGACAGGCUUAAAUUGUCAAAGGACCCCUAUAGGCACCUAGACCACUUUAUCUUAAUGAAGUGGUCUGGGUGCCAGGUCCAGCUAGGGUUAACCCUUUUUUCUAUAAAUAUGUCAGCCGCUAGAGGCGCUUGUGUGCUUCUCACUGUGAUUUUCACAGUGAGAAGAAGCCAGCGUCCAUAGGAAAACAUUGUAAAUGCUUUCCUAUGAGACUGGCUGAAUGCGCGACGAGUAUGUUUUCCUGGCACUAUAGUGGUCCUUUAAUGUGACAGGUAAAUGUGGCAUAGUUAGGGAGGUAUCACAAGAUUGGCUGGUAUAUGGCAUUAUUGGAGUGAGUGUGAUAGGGCAAGGGGAGGUGAAUGUGACAGGAUUAAGGGGGUUAAUUGACAGGGUGAGUGUGACAGAGUGAUGGGGGGGGGGGGUAACAGGAUUAGAGGUGUUAAUGCUAAAGGGUGAGUGUGGCAGGGUUAAGGGUGCCACAGGUUUGGGGGUGAGUUUGGCACAUUGGAGGAGGGAGUGUGACAGGAAGAGGAGUGGGAGUGUGACAGUGAGAGGGGAGGUGAGUGCAGUUUGGUUGCAGGAGGUGAGUGGGAUAGGAUCAGGAGGGGUUAAAGUGAGUGGCAGGGUUAAUGGGGUGAUGGUGUGUGUGUAAGGGUGACUAUGUGGGUGUAUGGUGACAGUGUGUGUGGGGAGUGGUGACCGGGUGUGCGGAGGGGGAGUGACAGUGUGUGGAGAAGGGUGACUGUAUGUCGAGAGGGGUGACAGUGUGUGUGUGUGCAUGGAGGGGAUUACAGAGUGUGAAAUUGGGUUGGCAGAGUGAGAGAGUGGAGACAGUGGGCAGUGUGAGGGAAGGAGGGGGUGACAGAUGGCAGAGUGAGGGGGAGACAGGGGAUGAGUGAGGGGGUGACAGGUGGCAGAGUGAGGGAGGGAGUGGCAGAGUGAGGGGAAAAGUAGGGACAGGUGGCAAAGUAAAGGGGUGAAAGGUGGCUGAGUGAGGGAUGACAGGAGGCAGGAGUGAGGGGGUAACUGGGGGGCACAGUGAGGGAAGGAGGGGGAAAAAGGGGGCUAAGUGAAGAGUGACACUCAGGGUGUCAGGGAGCUGAGUGAGGGUGUGACAGGGGCUACGUGAGGGGUGACAGGGGACUGAGUAAGGGGGUGACAGGGGGCUGAGUAAGGGGUAACAGGAGGCUGAUUACAGGAGGACAGGGGACUGAGUGAGGGGAUGACAGGGGCUGAGUAAGGGGUGACAGGAGGCUGAUUAAAGGGGGCUGAGUGAGGGGUGACAGGAGGCUGAGUGAGUGGGUGACUGGAGCCACAGUGAGGGAAGGAGAGGGGACAGGGGCUUAAGUGAGGGGUGACGGGGGACUGAGUGAUGGGGUGAAGGGGGACUGAGUAAGGGGAUGACAGGGGACUGAGGAGUGAGGAGUGAUGGGUGAUGUGACGAGACCAAUCUCGCCACAUUGCAUUGGAGAAGCCUGGUUGCUCGCCUGUUGCCUUUGGACUAUGGCCCCAUGUUAAAAGCCUUCUUUUCCCCUGCAGAAAAGGCUUAUUCGUGCCUUUCUGCCCGGCGGUCGGUAGAUUAAAUCUACCGAACUAACGCACGAAUGACUGGACCACCUGGGAGCUGGAGUGUUUCGGCAAUUUACCUCCCAGAAGCUGCGGUUAACCUCAGCUUAAUUGACGAAUGCUGGUUGGCCUUUGUUCGGUUGCCGAACACGUGGCGGCGGCCAUUUUAAAGUCCCGAACGGCCAGCGUUGUUCAGCGCCCAAACUAUGGAACUGUAAACGGACACUCAUUUGCGCGAACACGGCUGAGCCAUCAGCCUCCUUGCUUCUGCAUUCGGUCAUUUAACCGGAUACCUGUUCAUUUGGUAGUUUAAACCGUAUGAACAGCAUUACCCCAGAAAGCCAUCCCGUGGAGUCUAUUCAUAUGGAGAACAGACUUUGUGAACACUUUAACUCCACGGCGAUUGGACUGUGUGCAUAGGAUCUGAGCGCUAUUCGGUACUUUUGUGCGCUCAGAUCCCAGCUAUCUGGGGAUGGGUUACAUGUAUACAUUUUGUGUGACAAAUGUAAUAUUGUGUAUUUUAGUGUUUUAUUGUAACCAUGUGGGUAAUGGAGUUUUGCCUCUGUCCUUGGAGAUAAUUGGAUUACUUCCCAAUUAUCUCCAGGAUAGAGGGGAAGGAUUGUAAUGUAUUGGGGGAGUGUUUUAACCCUGUUUGCCUGUGAUUGGUCAUUGUACCAUUUGUGUCCCAGUCUUCCCUCUGGUCCCCUAGGGGAGUGUCCACCAGGUGGAAGACCUGCAUAAAUACUGGGCAGGUAGCCCUCAUUAAACCAGACCAUUGCUUGACCCUCAACACGGAGCUCUGUCUCGUUCUUGGGGGAUUUACUGUAUGCUGACAGAGACUGAUUGCUAGGAGUGUAAGCCACUUGGGUGCUCUUCCUAUUCGUCUGCUAGCAGCUAUUCGUGAGGUUCCAGUUCGGGAGUUUGGAGUGCUAUUUUGUAUACAGUUCGGGUGUUUGGAGCAUUCCCUUACAUACGGUUCAUGAGUUUGGUGUUCUACAGUAGCUGUGCCUGUGUCUCUGGAAGGGGAAGAUCUACUAAACUGCGGUUUAACCCUUUUUAUGCUGAGGGUGCUGUUACAGGUGACACUUAAGGUGACAGGGGGCUGAAUGAGGUGGUGACAAGGGACUGAGUAAGGAGAUGACAGGGGGCUAAGUGAAGGGUGACAGGGGGCUGAGUAAGGGGGUAAUUGUGGGAGGGAAGGUGAACAAAUACUUUUUUUCCCCUGUUGGUCCGGUGGGCUUCCUAUCCUGUCUGCAGCUCCACCGGGAGUGAGCUGCAGACCAUGUGAUAGAAGUCUUGCAAACUCCAGAAUUCGAGGCGUUGCCGUGGUAACCCGUGGGAACACUCUGAUUGGCUGGAGGUUGCGAGACACUUUACAGUCUGCAGGUCAUUCGGCGUAGCUGCAGACUGUAAACGCUCCCCUCCCAGGGCAGACUGCUUGGAGGGGGCCUCGCAACAGGCGGCAUAAUGGGCAAGCCGCUGUGUCCACUCCCGAUGUUCACUCAACAUGUAAGUCUGCCCUAAUGUGAUUUUGGCGGCCGUGAGGCCCCUGCCAGCGCGAGGCCUUAGGCGGCCGCCUAAGUCGCCUAAUUAGAUAGCCACCUCUGAUCUAGAGUCAUUUGGUCAUAAGCAUUUGAUAUCAAGUUUAAUAUGCAUGCUUUUAGCAUCCGAACCCACUACAAAGUACAAGAUUCUGAAUAUGCAGAAUAUGAUAUACAAAUCACUGGUUUUAAACACAUUAGGGACAUAAGGGACUGAAAAUCCAGCAGGAUGAAAAUUAUUGUAUAAUUGUUUAUUAAAAUGAAUAGGGGGAACUGUAAGGGCAAAGUUUCUUCCCUGGGGAAUCUUAAUGGCUGCAGUUCGUCCUUGGAAUUCUAAUUAGCACACCACACCUACGAGCUCAGAGAAUUGACUGACACACAACACAAAUAGUGAUGGUUCAAAUCAACUUUGAAUUUAUUGGCAUAACUUAACAAUUUAUAUCGGUGUCUUAUCACAUGGUAUUUUAUCCCAUUUUUACAGUAAUCAGCAUCAGAAAACAUCUUGGACAGUUGUCAAAAAUAAUUAAUUACCGCAAGACAGACACAGUAGUCAUUUUAAGAUAAAAAAGUAUCAAUGACAAUAGAAUACAUUGAGUACAAGGGUCAACCUGACCACAUUUUGGUUUUGCAAUGUUGUAUUUUCCCUAAACUAUCUGCUAAACAGGAAGCAUCAGUUGGGAGAAAAUGUAAGCACAAGGUCACUUGUGCAAGCGAGUUAGUGUUGAAAUAUAUAUUUAUACUGUCAUGAUAUAAAUGAUAAUUUAAGCUGCUUUGAGCAGUAAACAACAAAAUGGACCCUGGAUACAAAAUGGCAUCUGAAUAUAAAUGACAAAAUGAUUACAAAAUGGCGAGUGAGUUAAAUAUUUUUUUUUUUUUUUUUUUUUAUUCUUUAUUUUUCUUGUGCAUAGAUUAACAACAAGCGUGCAGUGCCACAACAGCAUCUACAGGCAAUUGCAUGACAUUUCAAUGUGUGGCAUUUUAGACAGCACAAUUUUUCUUUUAUAAAUGCGAGGGUAACAGAUUAUUAGAUAGUAGCAUUUUAUAAUGUAACACGCUAGACUAGAUAUGCAUAUAUCAAAACUUGUUGUGCUUGAGAUUGUAUGUGCGUAGCUCGUGUUUGAUGUGGCGUAUAGGCAUUGAAAGUAGUGUGACAGGUUAUUAUACCAACAGAUGUGUCUUCAUAUUGUGUGAGACAAGCUAGUUGUUUAGUUGCGUACCUAUCUGAUGCCUAAGGUAGACCAGAGUGAAAGUAGUAGCUAGAUCACACCUAGUACUGUGUGCUGUUGUUUGCUACUUAACACCACAGUGGGAGAUAUUGGGUAAACACUUAAGAAUGUAAACAAUACAAAUAAAAAACACAUAUUAUUAGAAGAACACACUGCCGCCCCGCCAACUGACGUUUGAGCUCCAAUGUCUCUGGCAGUGGAGUGAGGCAGGAAUCUGCACACCCGGCGUGGCCCUCGGUGGUAUAUGGAGUCAUUGUUGUUCGGUGUCCGCUUUGUGAAGGCGGAGGGUUGGGGAGUGAUGUGCACCUCUGCUGGCGCCUUCUAGCUAUUUGAAUCCCUCCUGCUGCGGCUAGUAAGUGUUGCCAUGUGAGCGCUGUGGGCUUGUUCUGAAGGCUGAAGUGGUGUCGUGCCUCGUGUGCCGUUUGCCUGAGUUGGGCAGAGGGUUAGUUAGCCGGGUCUGGUGGGUUGGUGCUGCGUCGCUUGUAGCCCCUCCGUCCUCUGUGCCCUGUGCGGGUGCAAGAAUCACGAAGCCUAGGCUUGGCAUGUAACGUAGUGGUGUGGCUCUGUGUCCGCUCUGAUCAGGCUGCCAGUAAUAGGUACGUGGGGCCUGCCCUGUGUUUGUGGGGAUUGCAAUCCUCUGGGGGCGAUAGGUGGCAGGCUCCCUUAUGUGAGGUGGCAGGCUUUAUCUGGUCGCCUGGGUCUUGGGAUCUCCGUUUCGGAGGGGAUUGCAGGGUGUGGGCCGGGAUCACCCCCACCGGCCCAGGGGGGGGAGAUGGGGCCCGGACCGCCAAUCCGAGGAAGUCCGGCUGAUUAUCGUCGAGCAGGAUAGCGGGGCAGCGGCCGUCUGCCCCACUCACCGCCUGAGUAGGCCUCAUCCCAUGAGGACGACGUAUAUCUCUCAGAGGGACUGAAACAAAUUCUGCGAGCCUCUCCCCGGGUCCAGUGCUUCUCCGUGUGCCGGCCCAUCGCUCUUGGUCGGCUGGACGGAUCAGUAAGUCAGUUUUUGGGGCCCGAAAAGGCAGAAAGCUGUCGGAGCCGCCGUUCCAUGCGACCAGCCAGCAUGGCGGCCAGGCCCCGCCCCCAUGAGUUAAAUAUUUUAAUCCUUUUUUAAAUUAACUUAUAACCCCACCAGUCCCCACCCAUUGGUGGUGGGUUGUGGCUACUUAUUUAUUAACCAUGCAGAAAUAAAUUAUGUUUGUGAUGCUGAAAUUGGCCACAGUUAACCUGAUGAUCAUACUGCUAUCAACAAUAUAAAGGGAGACUCAAAGCACCCAUAUGACCUUAAAGAGUUUGAUAAAUAUUCCUGCCUCCUUAGCCAUGACCCUUCAUUCCAGAAAAAGACUCUAUAGCACUGAGUGAGCAUUUAAUUCACAGACAGGAAGUCAAACUACUGUAAUACAUCAGUAAUAUUCUCACUAUAUGUCUCUCUGGGUGUCUUCUCCUUCUAAUUGUAGUUGCUUUGUAGUUCAGAUCACUCGGUGAUGUUGAUUGCUGUGGUGUGUACAUACAUUUGAUAAGGAAGUGAAAGGGCAUGGGUAAGGAGGCAGGUUUAUGGUUGAACAAAAGCAAAAUAACAGUGCAGCGCUUAUUUAACACUGGGAUAAGCGAGAAUACCUGUGUACCUUCAAAUAUCUUUUUAAGUGUUCUAAACUCCAAUUUCAGUACCUUUGAACAAACAGCUAAAAAAUACCAAUGAUAGUGUAUAACUGUGUAAAUAUAUAUAAUAAAGCUUGUGAGAUAAUUUCACACUCACACUUUUAAGAGCUAUAUACAAUUAGCUCUAGUAGAAAACAGCUUUAGGGUCCGUAGAGGCGACCCGUCCCUUCUUUGUGCAGGAAGAGGUCCUAAAUAUGGACUCAAAAGAAAGGUAUAUAUGGAGUAGUACCGUCAAACGUUUAAAUCAUCUCUAAAUAUAAAGACAAAUGGGUACUCACAAGGAUGGAGCCAAUAUCAGGAUCUAUAGGCAGUGCAGUGUCUGGACUAAGGGCCACACUACCUUCUUAGUGAAGCAGGAACGAAGAUGGCAGAAUGUAGUAAGAACUAUAUAAGUAAUUUAUUCAUUAUAACCAUAAACAUUAAAACAUAUAUAUAAAAUAUAUAUAACUUUCUCUGUUACCUGGGGACACGUUUCACCACAAAUAGGGCUGCAUCAGCUAGGCAAUCCGUGGUGAAAGUUCUAGCGUGCUCCCUCCUGCUUAUAUACAUCCUUUUAAUAGGGGGACAAUAGUUAUCUGGUGUGAAGAAUGCGCGCUUUCUACCACUGCGCUGGGAGUGCGCUUGCGUUGCACGCCUUGUCCUCCUCCUAUCUGGAAGUUCUGUUCCGGUUUCCUUGUGCGUGUGACUUGCAUCACUUCUGCUUUUGUCAAUUCCGGUUGCUGUGAAGACUUGUGUGCGUAUCAGCGGCCACUGUCUUUGCGUUCCACUUAAAUGUCCGAUAGUGGAAGUGGUAUUUAGGGUAAUGGAUGGAUUCAUAAUCUCUUGUGGAAAUGUCCAUAUAUGUAAGAUCGAGAGAACACAAAGAAAAGAAACAAUAUUUACAUACAUGACAUUUUACAUUGUAGUGAUUAAAAUAAAGAUUUAUAUCCCAAACAUCCAAGAGUGAUUUGAAAUGAAAAACAAUCAAAGUGUAUUUCACUUUCCCCACAUAUGGAAAUACUUAAAAUAUUUAAAAACAUAAAUGUGCAUAAUUCACCUUACAUUAAUUUUCUUUAACUGCUGUAGCACCUUGUCUUGGGUCAUCCAAUCACAAGUUAUCUGCAAGCUUUUUGCAGCAGUCAUUUGCAUAUGUCUUAUCAUAGGAUUCUCAUUAAUAUAUACUGGAAAAAAAUUGUUAUUUAAAAUUUCUGCCUUUUCCUCGUCUUCAUUAACUAACACUCCCAUCUCUGUUUUCAAUGUACCUACACUUUCAUUUUUUGUUUUUUCAGCAUUGGUGUACUUUUUUGGGGUUGGUUUUGCAUUCUUUGGCUAUUCAUUUUCUAGUUUAGCCACUUUAAUUGCCUUUUUGCAAUCGUUAUUGGCUUCCUUAUAUCUUUUAUAAGAUGCCUCUGAUUUGUCCGAUUUAAAUGCUUUAAAUGCCCUUUUCUUAUUUUUAAUGUUUUAGUUUACUUUCCCACUAACACAUGUUUUUUUUUUUUUUUUUUAUAUUUAUUACCCAAUGGUACAUACUGAGAAAUGUACCUUUCUAAUAUUUGUUUGAAGAUAUUCUAUUUAUCCUCAGUGGUUUUUUUCACUAAGGAGUUUAUGCCAGUUGAUGUGUUGUAGAGCUGCCCUAAUCUUAUUGAAAUUGGCUUUUUUUUAAUUUUACGCUUUAGUAUACCCCACGUGCUUUUGACUUUUUGACCUUAUUUCAAAAGACACAAUAUUGUGAUCACUAUUUCCUAAAUGCUCCCCUAUUUGAAUGUUGUUCAAAAGAUCAAUAUUGUUUGUUAUAACCAGAACCAGACAAGCGUCCUUUCCAGUUGGUGCUUGUACCAGUUGUGACAUAAAGGUGUCAUUUAACAUGUUUAAAAACCUGAUUUCCCUUGCUGAACUACUAGUCCAUAUAUCCCAAUUUAUGUCUGGGUAAUUAAAAUCUCCAAUAAUUAAUGGGUUACCCAGAUGUGCAGUUUCCCAAUUUGCUCUAACAGCUGUUCUUUCUCAUUAAUAUGAACAUUAGGUGGACCGAUAAUUGAUUUCCCUUCUUUUCCCCAAGCAGAUAUCUACCCAGAAAUCUUCCACAUUUUCUUUGCCACACUCCACAUGCUUAAGAUAUUAUUGAGAGGGUAGUGGAUGCAUGGAACAGCCUUCCAGCUCAAGUGGUAGAGGUUAACACAGUACAGGAGUUUAAGCAUGCGUGGGAUAGGCAUAAGGCUAUCCUAACUAUAAGACUAAUUAAAGUAUUUUUAAAAAUUAGGCAGUCUAGAUGGGCCUGAAUGGUUCUUAUCUGUCAUCACAUUCUAUGUUUCUAUGUUAAGAUUUAUCUUGGUUGACAUACAAACAUACCCUUUCUUGUUUUUUCUAUCCUUUCUAAAUAACGUGUACCCAUUCAACUGCCCAGUCAUGUGUCUCAUCCCUCCAUGUUUCUGUUAAGCCUAUUAUGGCAUAUUGCUUAGUGUAUGAUAUUGCCUCUAGUUCUCUCAUUUUGUUAUUAAAUUCAGUUCAAACUGAGCUAACCAGAUUCUCCUACACGGGAAUGCAGAAGGAAGGUAGUGGCCACGGGCUCCUGGCUGGAGGACUGAGGUAAAAUGUUUUGACAAAUUACUAUGGAAAAUGCCAGUGAACUCCUGGCACCAGAACCACUACAUCUGCAAGAAAGUGCCAGUGCACUCCUAGAACCAUAAGGACUAUAAGAGACUAUACAAUACCAGUGGACUCUUAUCACUAUAACCACUACAUCAAGCCAGAAAGUGCCAGUGUACUAUAGCAGGAUGGAAAGUGCCAGUGCACUUGUGACACCAUUAAAACAUCAGUGGUCUUGAAAGUGCCAUUGGACUCCUGGCACCAUAAUCACUACACUGGAAUGUAGAGUUCCUUUAAUGCUAUACGGAAUAAGAAAAUGUUUUAAAAUUUAAUUUUUUUCAUUCAUUUAUUUAUUAGAUUUGUAAUUAUCUCACCAUUCACCUGGGUAAAGCUGUUCAUUGUAUUCUAUGGAAUACUGAAUGCAUAUAUUUAGCUCACUGUUAGCCCAAAAUCGCACACUGUUUUUCAUUUGUUCAAGUGAAUUUAGCAUCUGUAUGAUUAAUGACUCGGUAGGCAAAUAUAACAUAUGCAGAUUAGAAGGUUUAACAAAAAAGGGGGGUAUGGAAAAAUUAUUGUGCUGUACCAGAAUUUUUUAUUCCUUCCUUCCUUCAUUGCUGCUCAGCACUUCUGUCUUCAUCAUAGUCUCUCGCUAAGAAUUCCCUGUGGGUGUUAUCUGUCACUGACUCUAUCCUGUAUAUCAUUAAAUGAUAAUGAUUAAAUUAUAUCAUUUAUGCAUAUUAUGUAAAAUACAAGCCUUCUAUAACCUGCCCUAUUAAUUUGAUACACUUCUGGAAAAAAAACACCAUCCACUUCUGCAAAAAGAAAAUGUAUUUAAGACUAUGCAAAGGUAGAUUUUAUUUAAUUUCAAGUGUUUUUAGAUAGCUAUGCCUUGAAGUGUUCUACAAUAUAGUUUAGAUUUUAAGUCUGAUAUAGGUGCAUGGGUAUAUCCGUACAUGGUAUCAGUGUUUGAAUAUAGAGAUAUAUUCAUACAUUUACAUACACAACCACACACAAAUGCAUUCAGUUUCUUGGAAAAGUAUUCACCCCCCCUUGACCUUUUACCUAUUUAGUAAAAUUACAGCCUUAAGUUCAAUGUUUUAUUGAUCUGAAUUUAUGUGAUGGAUCAGAACACAAUAGUCUAAGUUGGUGAAGUGAAAUGACAAAAAUAUAUACAAAAAACUAUUUUUUUAGAAAUAGAAAACAGAAAAUUGGCAUGCGCAUAUGUAUUCACCCCCUUUGUUAUGAAGUCCAUAAAAAGAUUUGGUGUAACCAAUUACCUUGAGAAGUCACAUAAUUCGUGAAAUGAUGUCCACCUGUGUGCAAUCUAAGUGUCACAUGAUCUGUCAUUACAUAUACACACCUUUUUUGAAAGGCCCCAGAUGCUGCAACACCUAAGCAAGAGGCACCACUAACCAAACAUUGACAUGAAGACCAAUGAACUCUCCAAACAAGUAAGGGACAAUGGUGUUGAGAAGUACAACUCAGGGUUAGGUUAUAAAAAAAUAUCCAAAUCGUUGAUGAUCCCGAGGGGCACCAUCAAAUCUAUCAUAACCAAAGGGAAAGAACAUGGCACAACAGCAAACCUGCCAAGAGACGGCCACCCACCAAAACUCAUGGACCGGGCAAGGAGGGCAUUAAUCAGAGAGGCAAGACAGAGACCUAAGGUAACCUUGGAGGGGCUGCAGAGUUCAACAUCAGAGACUGGUGUAUCUGUACAUAGGACGUCAAUAAGUCGGACGCUCCAUAGAGUUGGGAUUUAUGGCAGAGUGGCCAGAAGAAAGCCAUUACUUUCAGCAAAAAACAAAAUGGCACAUUUUGAGUUUGCGAAAAGGCAUGUGGGAGAUUCCCAAAAUGUAUGGAGGAAGGUGCUCUGGUCUGAUGAGACUAAAAUUAAACUUUUUGGCCAUCAAAGAAAAUGCUAUGUCUGGCGCAAACCCAACACAUCACAUCACCCAAAGAACACCAUCCCCACAGUGAAAUAUGGUGGUGACAGCAUCAUGCUGUGGGGAUGUUUUUCAGCAGCCGGGACUGGGAAACUGGUCAGAGUUGAGGGAAAGAUACAUGGUGCUAAAUACAGGGAUAUUCUUGAUCAAAGCCUGUACCACUCUGUGCGUGAUGUGAGGCUAAGACGGAGGUUCACCUUCCAGCAGGACAAUGACCCCAAACACACCGCUAAAGUAACACUUGAGUGUUUUAAGGGGAAACAUGUAAAUGUGUUGGAAUGGCCUAGUCAAAGCCCAGACCUCAAUCCAAUAGAAAAUCUGUGGUCAGACUUAAAGAUUGCUGUUCACAAGCGCAAGCCAUCCACCAGUUUUGCAAGGAGGAAUGGGCAAAAAUCCCAGUGGUAAGAUAUGGCAAGCUCAUAGAGACUAAUCCAAAGCGACCUGGAGCUGUGAUUGCCGCAAAAAGUGGCUCUACAAAGUAUUGACUUUACUUUUUCUGUUAUUUUGUCCUAUUUGUUUUUUUUGCUUCACAAUAAAAAUAAAAAAUAAAACAUCUUCAAAGUUGUGGGCAUGUUCUGUAAAUUAAAUGAUGAAAAUCCUCAAACAACCCAUGUUAAUUCCAGGUUGUGAGGCAACAAAACAUGAAAAAUGCCAAGGGGGGUGAAUACUUUUGCAAGGUACUGUACCUCCACCCACACUGAUAUACACACCUGACACAUAGAUGCAUACCCUGACACACAAAUUUGACACUAAUACAGACAUAUUUGCUGACAUGCAUACACACGCACAUAGAUACACACUAUGAUGCUUAAAUUGUCACAUACAGACACACAUUCACUCACAAUGAUGGGCAGAUACAUAUAUUGGCACGGAUACACGGUGACACACCAUGCACAGAAACACACAAUAUCUUAAUAUAAAUACAAAUACACACAGAACUCACAAUAUCUUAAUAUAUACAUAUUUUUAGCCACCCUCUCAUUUCCAUGGUGGUUGGUUUCCCUGGGGUCCAGUGAAAGCCGGCUGGGGCUGAUUGGAGUGUGCUCUGGGUGGUCCAGGCUCUCUUUCUGCCUUCUCUUCCUCUUCCUCUUUUUACCCCCCCAUGACGUUUUGUGAUAGGAGAAAAGUAACUGCACAAUAGGGCAGCCUUGAUGGCGGCUCUUUCUGUAAGUGUCACAAAUAUAUAUACAUUAUUUUAUUUUUUUUCCUCUUUUUUUUUCCUUAUAAUUUAAUGUCAUCUAUAAUUCAUAUCAAUCAGGUAGGUUCUACCUGUAAAAGUAAACUCAGUGUAGACCAUGGGUCGUCAACCUGGUCCCUACCGCCCACUAGUAGGCGUUUCAGGAUUCCAGGUGGGCGGUAGGGAUUUUCAAAUUUUGAGAGAUUGGGUGGGCAGGCGGGCGCGAGCCGGCGGUACCCCUGCGACCGGGUACCACCACCACCACUUGCGGCCCCGGCCCGCGCGGCAAACCACCGGGGCCGCACAUGGAGGGGUUCAUCGGGGGGCCCAUGCUGUCAGGGCCACCUGAUGGAUGUGGAUUGUGAGGGGGCCCCUGUCAGCGCUGGGCGCUUUAACAAUGCGACCGGGCCCCCUGUGAUUACAUCACAGAGCUGGGAGGAAGUGACUGCACGUCACUCCUGCCAGCUAUCACACAGACCGCGCGGGAGGAAGGUGGAGGGAGUCAGAGUGGGAACUGGACCCCAGGGAAAGUCACCCUCCUGCACCUAAAAGGUAGGAAACAUCUUUUAAAGCGCCACAGCGCCUGACCGGGCCCCUGCUCACACAGGCCCACCGGGUGGCCCUAAGUGCAUGGGCCACCCGAUGGGCCCCCAUAGUUUGCGGGCAGAGGGCAAAAGGAGCAGCUGUCUUGGGCCCCUCAGCUGGGACAGGGCCCGGGGCAGCUGCCCCGUUUGCCCUGCGUUAAAGACGGCCCUGGUCUUGUGUGUGUGUCUGUAUGUAUGUAUGUGUGCCUGUCUGUUAUAGUGGGCUAUAGUAAGUAAUAGUAAGUGGGAUACCUAGCUCAGCCUUCCUAUUGGGCAUUGCUAUAAGGAAGGUUAAAAAAUGUAAAAAAAGGGGGAAAGGUGGGGAGGGGAAUUGAAGAGGGAGAGGAGGGAAGCUGACAAACAGAUGAGAAAUCAUAUUAUGCGCAAACAGAGAAGUCGUCUGAAUAUCACCAAAAGAGGAGACCUUCGUUUGUUCCUUACGAAAACCGAACCAGAUAUCAAAUAUUUAGUCUUGCAGCAUCAACCUCAAGGAUCUCAUUAAUAACUAGUAAAGGUAAUUUCAAUUUACUUUAUUGUUCUCUCAUUAAACUUUAUAAAGUUAAAAACAUUAUAAACAUGCAUUAAGUAGAAAUAAAAAGAAUAAUGUAAUUAUAAUAUAAUAAUUUUUUUUUAAAACACCCUCCUUUCGAAAAAAUAUUCUGCACUUGCGCAAAAACUGGUGGGCAGUAUGGAAAUGUUUUCAACCAAAAAGAUGUGGACCGGGGAGGAAACAGGAGGGUGACUAAAAUAUUUUGUGUGUGUUUGUUUGUGUAUGUGUCUUUGUAUGUAUGUCUUGUGUGUUUCUGUCUGUAUGUAUGUGUCUGUAUGUGUGUGUAUGUAAGUGUGUCUUAUGUAUGUGUUUUUGUAUGUAUGUGUGUGUCUUUGUAUGUGUCUUGUGUGUGUGUGUGUGUCUGUCUGUCUGUAUAUAUGUGUGUGUGUGUCUGUCUGUAUAUAUGUGUGUAUGUAUGUGUGUCUUGUCUUUGUAUGUAUGUGUUGUGUGUGUAUGUGUCUUUGUAUGUAUGUGUGUCUUGUGUCUGUCAGUAUGUGUGUAUGUGUCUUUGUAUGUAUGUCUUAUGUGUGUGUCUUUGUAUGUGUGUGUCUGUAUGCGUGCCUGUCUGUGUUUGUGUCUGUAUGUGUGUGUGUGCCUGUCUGUCUGUAUGUAUGUGUGUCUUGUGCAGGGCCGUCUUUAAUUCUGAUUGGACCCUGGGCAAGCAUUAACUUGGGCCCCCUGACUACAUAUAGAUACACACAAAUACAAAACCUGACACACAUGCAGAUACACACUGACCGCAUAUAGAUACACACAAGAACAUACAGAUACACACAGACUACAUAUAGAACACUGACACACAGAUAGACACAAACACAGAUACACAACCUGACAAACAUGCAGAUACACAGAUACAAACACUGAUACAUGCAGAUACACUGACACACAUACAGACACACAGAUACACAGAUACACAACCUGACACACAUGCAGAUAUACAUAUACAAACACGGACACAUACAGAUACACACUGACUAUAUAUAGAUACACACACAAACACAAACGGACAACAUACAGAUACAAAGGCACAUUCUGACAGACGUACUGACACAGAGACACACACAGACAGCCAUACUGAAACACACAUACACACAGACAUACAGAACCACAUGGACACUGACAGACUCACACAUAGACAUACUGACACACUGACAGACAUUAUGGCACACAUACACACAGACAGACAUACUGAAACACACAUACACACAGACACUGACAGGCGUACACACAUACAGACAUUUGAACACUCAUAGACAGCCAUACUGAAACACACAUACACACAGACACUGACAGACGUACACACAUACAGACAUUUUGACACUCACAGACAGCCAUACUGAAACACACAUACACACUGAACCACACAGACACUGACCGACUCACACACACACAGACAUACUGGCACAUAUACACACAGACGGACAUACUGAAACACACAUACACACAGACACUGACAGACAUAUUGACAAACACAGACAUACAGAACCACACAUACACUGACAGACUCACACACACAGACAUACUGACACACCGACAGACAUACUGGCACACUGACAGACAGACAGACAUACAUACAUACUCUCACACACACACACACAGACACUCAUGCAAAAUUUGAUAACCACCCUCCAGUUUCUUACCUUUUCCUGGAGGGUGGCUUCCCUGGGGUCCAGUGGGCUGGCUGGGGUGGCUGGGAGUUAAGCUCUCCCGGGCUGGCCCCCUCCGGAACAGCUCCUUCCUCCCGCGCGGCUCUUGCUUCUGUGGGAGCAAGUGACGCGCGGCUGUCACUUCCUCCCAGUGCUGCCGAAAAAGCAAGGGCCCGGUCGCGCUUUUAAAGCGCCACAGCGCCUGACCGGGCCCCUGCUCACACAGGCCCACCGGGUGGCCCUAAGUGCAUGGGCCACCCGAUGGGCCCCCAUAGUUUGAGGGCAGAGGGCAAAAGGAGCAGCUGUCUUGGGCCCCUCAGCUGGGACAGGGCCCGGGGCAGCUGCCCCGUUUGCCCUGCGUUAAAGACGGCCCUGGUCUUGUGUGUGUGUCUGUAUGUAUGUAUGUGUGCCUGUCUGUUAUAGUGGGCUAUAGUAAGUAAUAGUAAGUGGGAUACCUAGCUCAGCCUUCCUAUUGGGCAUUGCUAUAAGGAAGGUUAAAAAAUGUAAAAAAAAGGGGGGGGGAAAGGCGGGGAGGGGAAUUGAAGAGGGAGAGGAGGGAAGCUGACAAACAGAUGAGAAAUCAUAUUAUGCGCAAACAGAGAAGUCAUCUGAAUAUCACCAAAAGAGGAGACCUUCGUUUGUUCCUUACGAAAACUGAACCAGAUAUCAAAUAUUUAGUCUUGCAGCAUCAACCUCAAGGAUCUCAUUAAUAACUAGUAAAGGUAAUUUCAAUUUACUUUAUUGUUUUCUCAUUAAACUUUAUAAAGUUAAAAACAUUAUAAACAUGCAUUAAGUAGAAAUAAAAAGAAUAAUGUAAUUAUAAUAUAAUAAUUUUUUUUUAAAACACCCUCCUUUCGAAAAAAUAUUCUGCACUUGCGCAAAAACUGGUGGGCAGUAUGGAAAUGUUUUCAACCAAAAAGAUGCAUUAGUGGGCAGUAGGUAGAAAAAGGUUGACUACCACUGGUGUAGACCAAGAAUGUUAAAUUCAAAGGCUAACACGGGCCAAAUAAGGUUUAAGUUUAUGUGGGCCACAAAAAAAAAACUUCAGUUUUAAUAAAAAAAAGGUUUAUUUCAAAAAGUACAGUAUAAAAAAAGUUGCCUAACUAGCACUGGAUGACAUCAAGCUCGUAGGGCUUCAAAGCACUGGCGGAUCCGUUGCCCCGAGUUUCUCCCCUGCCAGCUAAUGCAGGGCUGGCAUUGUCCAAGUGCCAGCCUUGCAAUGUGCCUGUGGACCGGGGAGGGAGCCGGCAGGGGGAGGGAGCGAGAGAGGACCCGGGAGCUCAGCCUACAACUCCUCCGGGUCCUUCUCUCGCGAGCACGGAGCGUUGCCGCGGUUACCACGGCAACGCUCCAAAUCUCGCGAGAGUGAACUCUAUCCCUCGAGCUAGGGCUAGAGUUCACUCUCACCACUGGGACCACCAAGGAUUACCCACCGGACCACCAGGGAUGGAGAAAUGUCCCCCCUCCUCCUCAAUAAAGGUAAAAAGGGAGGGGGGACAUAAAUAUAUUUAUUUUAAUUAAAUUUAAAAAAGCCUCCCUACCCUCCUUCCCCCCAUACGCACACUGCCCCCAUACACACACUACACACACUGCCCCACAAACACUGCCCCCAUACACACACUACACACACUGCCCCACAAACACUACACCAUACACACACUACACACACAGCCCCACAAACAUUGCCCCCAUACACACACUGCACACACAGCCCCACAAACAUUGCCCCCAUACACACACUGACCCACAAACACUACUCCCCAUACACACACUACACACACUGCCCCCAUACACACACUACACACACUGCCCCACAAACACUGCCCACAUACACACACUACACACACAGCCCCACAAACACUGCCCCCAUACACACACUACACACACUGCCCCACAAACACUGUCCCCAUACACACACUGCCCGACACAUACACUGCCGCCUAACACACACACUGCAACCCUGACAUACACUGCUGCUCUUACGCACUCGCACACACACACUGCACCUUUCACACACACACUUCACCCCUAACACAUACCACUGCUCCUAUGCCCUAUAUCCCAGCAGACCCCAGGUAAGCUGUCAAACUGUUCUUAAGCGGUUUGACUACUUACUCUGGGAUGGGAUCCUGGCACUACUCGCGCCAUAACUACUACACUGAGCUGUAGUGGUUAUUGUGCCUGGAUUAUUUCUUUAAAUAAUCUACAAGUUCCCCUCCUGAGAUCAGGCUCUGAAUCCACCACUGUAUGCAAGGGAGGGCACUACAGUGCUAGGAAUACAACUUUGUAUUCCUAACACUAAACUUUUCCUUUAAAUGUAUUCAUCCCUGCAAAACAAAGUUUACUUCGUCCCAACUGUUAAUAUAUUAAAGUAAUGUUUGAUUUGAGUUGAGUUGAAUAUUAUUUAGCUAUAAAAGAAACCUUGGGGUUAAAACAACUCCAAGGGGUAAAAAACUGCGCUACAACUGUGGUGCUAAAAUCCAAUAAUCAAUUUAUAAACGAUGAUGCUAUCACAUGGAUAAGUCCUGAUGCUGCCUUCAAAUGGAGAUAUCCUUUAUACUCCUGCGUAUCUAAAAAACGAAUAAAAAGCAAAAGAAAGCGCAAAAGGCUAUAUAUCAUGUGAAUAUAUAAUAAAUUGUAUUGAUAAAUGUAAUUGAAAAAUAUAAUCAGUAUGUACUAUAAAUAAGUACUAAAUCCCCCAAAAAUGUAAUUAAAGUGGCAAAUAAAGUAAAAUAACAUAAAAAUGCAUAUGCAUAAAAUAAAAAAUAUAAAAUACCAGUGGUUAUCAGAAGGAUCAGAGAGAACUUCCACCUAAUAAAAUCUAAUGGGAAUUGAUAAAAAGUGAAAUGUCCAUUGCAGUAAAGAUGCUGAAAUCUAACCUGAAUCCCAUAGCUGAAGUGCACUCCUGCUUGGUCCGGACUAUCCUUGUCAAAAUGGGUUAAGGUGUCUCCAGUCCUCUCAUCUAUGUAGAUCCUAUAAGUGAUCUGCCGAUAUUCCUCACGAAAAGAUAAAAAGAUGAAUAUAAGAUCCUCUUUGGCCAAAAAGCUUAACGUGUAUCGAAAAUCGGAAUAUGAAGGUACGGAGGCUCCCAGGGUACACAGGACCCGAUUAUCUCGAUAUGGGAAUCCUACACGUUUCAUGAGUCUUGCGCUCACUUCCUCAGGGAUGAAUUACGAAUUACCGAGAUGGACGUGUGUGGCUUAAAUACGGGAAGGGAAUUACUUAUUUGAACCACAUGUGUGGUAAUUAGAUUACUAAAUAGAUUUGAGACUGCAUAUCUGCUAUCAAUACUAUACACUGUCUGGACAAAAAAAAAUAAAUCACCAGCUGGAUUUAACAAAGCAAAUGUCAGGGUACUAGUUGAUCCAGCACGCAUUAAUAGUAUUGCACCUAGGACUAAGGGUAACGUCUCUCCGGACCUUAGAAUGUCCGUAUUUAACGUACCCAAGAAUAGUCAAAAUACUUGCCGAGGUCAGGGAUACAGAAUGAGACAGAAUGAGACACAACGAUGAGGGGAAGCCAAAAGUCAAGGAUACCAGAAAUCAGGGAAGUCAAAAUGAAGCCAAAGUCAAAAACCAGAAUAGUAUGAUCAGGUACACACUCCCGGAACACCAGCAAAGGGAAAUCACAACAGGGCACUGAUCAAAAGGCAAUUUUAAAUAACCCUCCUAAAGCUGCAAUUGGCUGUAUGUGGCCUCUGACCCAAAAAGUGUAAGCACGAUCUUUAAUGUGGGUAAAGGCAAUUUCCCCAUCAAAACCAUAACUGCGGCGGCCGGCGUCACCAGGAACACCGCACACGCUGGGUACCGGAAUGGAAGGAGGUUGGGUAGUAGUCUGCUGCGAGCAAAGUAAGUAUGUAUUAUUUCUGUCGGCAUGACCACUGAGUUUCCGUGCGGCCACGCCAACAGAAUCCUGUGGCACUGUGACAGCAAAUAGUUAAGCCUCCUAUUGGAUAGUUUCUGCAUGGGCGAUUAUCUUUCAGCUGGCAAAAGUUAUUUAACCCCAGUUUAAGCAAUAAGUAGCUUCUCAUUUCUUAAACAACCAUGUCGAAAGACACAUCCCGUGGAAAAGAUGUUAGUCUGUUUGAGAAGGGUCAAAUCAUUGGCAUGCAUCAUGCAAUAAAAACAUCUACAAUUGGGUUAAGAACUGUCCAAUGCAUUAUUGAAAACUGGAAGGAUAGUGGGGAACCAUCGUCUUCAAGGAAGAAAUGUGGUCGGAAAAAAAUCACUGAUUUUGAUCGGUGAUAACUUAAACGUUUGGUGAAAUCAAAUCAUAGAAAAACAACAAUAGAACUCAGGGCUAUGUUUAAUAGUGAAAGUAAAAGCAUUUCCACACACACAAUGUGAAGGGAACUCAAAGAAUUGGGACUGAACAGCUGUGUAGCCUUAAGAAAACCACUAAUCGGUGAGGCUAAUUGGAAAAAAGGCUUUGGGAGAUUGGACUCUGAAGCAAUGGAAGAAGGUCAUGUGGUCUGAUGAGUCCAGAUUUACCCUGUUCCAGAGUGACGGGUGCAUCAGGGUAAGAAAAGAGGCAGAUAAAGUGAUGCACGCAUCAUGCCUAGUGCCUACUGUACAAGCCUGUGGGGGGAGUGCUAUGAUAAGCCUGUAGGGGGAGUACUAUGAUCAGGGCCGGUGCAAGGAUUUUUGCCGCCCUAGGCAAAAGUAAAGUUUGCCGCCCCCCCCCCAUGUGACAUCACAAUGCUCCACCCAUAUGAUCUGCCAUGUUAACUAACGCCAGUGCUGCAGUGCCGCCGUGUUUACAUUAUAAGGCAUGCAGGGACAGGCUAUAGACACCAGAACAACUACAUUAAGCUGCAGUGGUUCUGGGGACUAUAGUGUUUCUUUAAUGUGAGGUAAAUUAGAGAUUAGUGCCACGAAUAAUAUACUAGAUUGCCUACUUACAACGAGAUGAGGAUGAUGAUGGGCUCUAGCUGCAGUCUGGCUCCACUGGUCUGGUGUAGAACAGGCUCUCUGGAGGCUGUUUGUAACUGUGGUCACAAAAAUCAAUGUUCUGGGAGAACGGGAAGCAGCUCCAUUUUUUGGGGGGCCCUUUACACAGCUCAAGGUCUGGGUCCCAGGGUCCACCUUCAUGUUCCACCAAUGAGUUUGUUCACAGGGGGUGGAGUGUGUAGGGGAUGUCCUGAUAUGUGUGUAAGGAAUGCAUUGUGUGUUUUUGUGUGUGUAAGGGUUGCAUUGUUUGUGUGUGUGUGUGUGUGUCUGUGUGUGUAAUGCAUUGUGUGUUUUUCUGUGUGCAAGGGGUGCAUUGCAUGUGUGUGUGAUGGAUGUCACUCUCUCCCCCCUCCCUUGUCACUCUCUUCUCCCCUCCCCCUUCCCACUCUGAUUGCCCCUCCCUCUCCUGUCACUCUCACCCCCGUCAAUUUCUUCUCCCUCCCCACCAAUUUCUUCUUCUCCCCCUGUCAAUUUCUUCUUCUCCCCCCUCCCCUACCAAUUUAUUUUUCUCCCACCCUCCCCAUUUCUUCUCCCCCUCCCCUGCCAAUUUCUUUCUUCUCCCCCUAAUUUCUUCUCCCCCUCCUCUCCCAGUUUCUUCUCCCUCCCUCCCACCUUCUUCCCCAUUUCUUUCUUACAAUUUCUUCUACCCCCCUCCCAAUUUCUCCCCUCCCUGCCAAUUUCUUCUCCCCCUCCUCCCACUUCUCCCCUCCCCAUUCUUCUCCCUCCCUUCCAAUUUCUCCCACCCUCCCAUUUCUUCUUACCCCUCACAAUUUCUUCUCCCCCUCACAAUUUCUUUCUUACCCCUCCCUCCCUCCUCUUUUCUCCUCCCUCCCUCCCCAUUUUUCUCCCCUCCCUCCCAAAUUUCUUCUCCCCCCUCCCAAUUUCUUUCUCCUCCCCCCCACCUUUGUUGUAGCGUGGCCGAGCCCUGCAGCAUGAUGGUCUGACGGGUACAGGUAGCUUUUGUUUCCUGUACCCGGUCGGACUAACAGGAAGUGCACACUCAGUGCCUAACAGGUAGUGCCGGCCCUGACUAUGAUCUGGAGUUGCUGCAGUUGGUCAGGUGUAGGUUCUGCAACAUUAUGUGCCCAAAGAAUGAGGUUAGCUGACUACCUGAAUAUACUGAAUGGCCAGGUUAUUCCAUUAAUGGAUUUUUUUCUUUCCCUGAUCGCACGCGCAUAUUCCAAGAUGACAAUGCCAGGAUUCAUCAGGCUCAAAUUGUAAAAGAGUAGUUCAGAGAGCAUUUUCACACAUGGAUUGGCCACCACAGAGUCCAGACCUUAACCCUAUUGAGAAUAUUUGGAAUGUGCUGGAGAAGGCUUUGUGUAGUGGUCCGACUCUCCCAUCAUCAAUACAAGAUUUUGGUAAAAAAUUUAUGUAACACUGGAUGGAAAUAAAUCUUGUGACAUUGCAAAAGCUUAUCGAAACAAUGCCACAGCAAAUGUGCACCAUAAUCAAAUUUUUCCACUAAUUAAAAAAGCUGCUAUGUCUAAGUCUUUAUUUAAUCAACCAUUACACAAAGUGGCCAUCUUAAAAAUGACUCUAUGUGUCUCAAAAUCCUGAAUCGAUCUCCACCUGUCUUUGUGGGAUAGAUCCACAGGCCUUGUUGAUCUCCAUUAUGUGCCUCAAGAAAGUGUUGGGGAACUCCAUGGUUAGUACAUUUUUUCUAUAUGGCUCGUACAUGCUCACUAAUUCUCGUUUUUACUUUUUAGUAUUCUUAUAGAAUACCAAGUGUUUCUUGAAAGAGUUGUGAUUCCAGAUGUAUUGGCUUUCCCACCAUCCUAUAGUUAGAUUGGCAUAUGAAGGUGCUAGUUUCGUCCCCAGAGCGGUCCCAGUUUGAAGAUAAAAUUGGUUAUCAAAGAGUAAGUAGUUAUGUUCCAAAACAAAACUAAUACAAUCCAGUAAGAAUUCAUGUUGGUCUUUAUUUACCUAAUUGAAUCGAUUCAAAAAGUACUUAACUGCUUCCCUCCCAAUUUUGUGUGGAAUACUGGUAUAGAGUGAUGUUACAUCGAGACUCACUAGAUAGAAGUCUUGGGUCCAUUCUAUAUCAGGAAUGAGUUGUAGAAGAUGAGAUGUAUCUUUCCAAUAGGAAUCCUGAUAUAUUACCAUAAUUUGAAGACAAAAGUCCACAUAUGCUGACAUAUUGCUGGUCAGAGAAUCUAUACCCGAUAUGAUGGGUCUGCCAGAAGGAUUAUGUAGGUAUUUGUCGAUUUUAGGUAAAUGGUAGAAGAUAGCUAUUACUGGAUUUUCUUGAUAUAGAAAAUAAAAUUCUUCUUGAUUUAAGAUCCAUUUUCUCUUAGCUUCUAGUAGUAAUAUGAGUAGAUCUCUCUUGAAGUCUUGAGUGGGAGCUACAUCCAAUUUUCUGUAUGUAGCUUGAUCCACCGAUAAUCUAUAUGCUUCUCUGUUGUAUUUGUCUUUGUCUUGUAUGACUAUGGCUCGCCUUUUAUUCGCUUCUCUGAUUUGUAUAGUCAUAUUAUUUUGGAGGUCCAGUAGGGCCCUUUUUUCAUCAUGUGUCAAAUUUGAUUUUAACCUCUUCUUUCGGGCACAUAUGUUCUUUAUGUCUUUAAGUACUAAAUAAUUACAUACUCUAAAGAUUUCCCAUUGUUCAUGACUCAAAUUAAACGUGGAAGUUGGUUUGAAAUUUGAAUGGAUGACCCUGGUUGAAGUUUUUGAGUACUCCUCGAUUUCCUGUAAUGACUUAAGUGUACAAAUCCCUUCCAGAUCUCUUAUUGAGAUAUCCUUUGGGAGUUGCCAUGGAGUAUCCAUUCUAUCAUGUACAGUAUCUUUCCCUUUAUUAAAAUAUCUUAAUGUUAAUUUACGAAUACAUUUCUGUACGUCAAUGAAGAUGGUAAAAUGGUUGGGAGGUUGUGUAGGAGCAAAUUUUAAGUCAUAUUUUAACACCUGUUCUUCUUUGGGAGAUGGAGUUUAUUUAGAAAUGUUAAUAAAAGAAUUUACUUCUCCAAUCUUGCAUUAUUUCUGUUGGAUCCUGGCUCCUGCUCUCUUUCCUCUGUUUCAGGUUUCUUUUUUGUUGCUGUCUGAUUUGAGGGGUAUUGUUUAAAUGUUGGAGUUCCUUGGUCUGUUUUGUAUUUCCCAAAUUUCAGGGAUGUCUGUAUAUUUCUCUUCGGUGUUCUCCUAAAGAAAGAGGAGUGUCAUCAUAUGACUCAGAUCCUCUAUUUCCUCUUCAUUUUGGAAUCGCUCCUUCUUUGGGAAAAUCCCUUACUGAUUGUUUCUCUCUGUCUUUGUUCAUGUAAUGUUUUGUAAAAUUUAUUGGGAGUUCCCUGAGAUCUUCCAGAAUUUUGUGAUCCAUUAUAUUUUCCAAAUGGGUUCUGUUGUUUUCUAGGGUGUAUUCCAUGUUGUACUGGUUGUGGUUUAAAUCGUCUGUUUAGAUCAUAAUCUUCUUUAUCAUGUUUGAAUAUCUUCUGUUUUCGUUGUUGGCGAUCCCUUUCAAUCUUUUUCACUCUUUUUAUAACUUUAUUCUUUAUUUCUAUACUACGAGCAUCCUCCUUAUAUAUAUAUAAGUUUCUCCUGUAAAUCCUCUAUCUUUAUUAUAAGCUUUAUUAUAGCUUAAUUUUGUUCUCUCUAUAUUUCACCAGAAUUUUUAUAAAAGUUUUUGAACGUAAUUCUAGAGCCUCAUCCCAUUCUGUUUGAUAUUCUAUCUCAUAUAACAUAAAGAUAGAUCACUUUUCAUUCUUUCUCUCUGUAUGAUUUAAUAUUAUUUAGCUAACUUCUAAAAAGAAGACAGCUGAGAGUCACUUCCUCCCAUUAAGAGAGGAGUCACACGGGAGGGGGCAGAAAAACUCGUGAGGGAGGAGGGGGCAGGAGGAGUCAUGUGGGAGGAGGAGGCAGUGAGGAUCGGGGCUCCUCACUCCUAUCAGCCUUAGGCACCACACUGGACUCAAAGGGAAGCCACCCUCCCGCAAAAGGUAGGAAACUGGAGGGUGGGUUUAAGAAUUAAAAUUUUACAUGUGUGUCAGUAUGUCUGUCUGUGUGUGUAUCUGUAUCUGUGUGUGUCAGUAUGUCUGUGUGUGUGUGUCAGCAUGUCUGCCUGUGUGUCAGUAUAUUUGUAUGUGUGUGUGUCAGUGUGUCUGUAUCUGUGUGUGUGUCAGUAUAUGUAUGUGUGAGUAUGUCUGUCUGUGUGUGUGUGACAGUAUGUUUCUGUGUGUGUCAGUAUGUCUGUGUGGGUGUGUCAGCAUGUCUGUCAGUGUAUGUGCCUGUGUGUGUCAGUAUUUCUCUCAGUGUAUGUGAAUGUGUGUGUCAGUGUGUCUUUCAGUGUGUCUGCUGUAUGUGCCCAUGUGUGUCAGUGUGUAAGUCAGCAUGUCUAUCAGAGUAUAUGUCUGUAUGUGUCUGUAUGUCUGUCAGUGUAUGUGCCUGUGUGUGUGAGUCAGUAUGUCUAUGUGUCUGUGUGUCAGUAUGUCCGUAUAUGUCCUGUGUGUCAGUAUGUCUGUAUAUGUGCCUGUGUGUCUGUGUGUGUGUGUCAGUAUGUCUGUCAAUGUGCGUCAGUAUGUCUAUUAGUGUAUGUGUCUGUGUGUGUCACUUUGUCUGUCAGUGUAUGUAUCUGUGUGUGUCAGUAUGUCUGUCAGUGUAUGUACGUGUGUGUGUCUGUCAGUGUCAGUAUGUAUGUCAAUGUAUGUAUUUGUGUGUGUCAGCCUGUCUGUCAGUUUAUGUGUAUUUGUAUGUUGUCAGUGUGUGUAUCUUUAUGUAGUCAUUGUGUGUACCUGUGUAUCUGAGCACCAACAUGAAAUACAAAUACACCCCUCCAGUCAAACUUCAACAUUAAAUAAAAACACAGUUCUGCAUUGAAACGUCAACACUACAUACAAACACACCUCUGUGUUAAACACCAAAAUUAUAUAUAAACACACCCCUACAUUCAAAAACCAACACUUCACGUAAAUGCACGUUUGCAUUGAAACUCCAACACCACAUGCAAACACAUUCACACAAACAGACUCCAUACAAAAACAUGCUUACAUUCAAAAACACAAACAUGGCUCAGUGCUAAAUAUAACCAUGCAAACAUGGGAAAUUGGUAGAGCCCAAGCUGUAAAACCAUUGUUGAAGUUGCACAACAGAUAGGGUUCUACCUUUAGUCCAACCUUGCAAUUGGGGUGCCCAAUAAAAUUCUUACACCAGAGCUCUUUCAACUUUAGUUCCAUCACUGCGAUUGGGUGGAUGCCAUGAUUGCAUGCAGGGUAGUGUCCAGGGUCCAAUCAAUAUUAAAGAUGGCCCUGCUGGUAAUCAAACCGUGCAUUUAUCUUGUAUUUGUAUUUGGCAUGUUGACCUUGGCUCAUUAUUGAUUAUUCUUAUUCCUAGUAUCCUUGAUCUAUUGGCCUGUCUACUCAUUCCUGUCUCAUUCUGUAUCUGUAUUCCUGACCUUGGCUUGUCUCUGAACAUUCUAUAUUCACGUUAAGUGUGGCCACUCUAAGGCCCGGUAGUACGUAUAUACAGUCAGGUCCAUAAAUAUUGGGACAUCGACACAAUUCUAAUCUUUUUGGCUCUAUACACCAACACAAUGGGUUUGAAAUGAAAUGGACAAGAUGUGCUUUAACUGCAGACUUUCAGCUUUAAUUUGAGGGUAUUUACAUCCAAAUCAUGUGAAUGGUGUAGGAAUUACAACAGUUUGUAUAUGUGCCUCCCACUUUUUAAGUAAUGGAACAGAUUAACAGUCAUAAAUCAAACUUUCACUUUUUAAUACAUGGUUGCAAAUUCUUUGCAGUCAAUUACAGCCUGAAGUCUAGAAACGCAUAGACAUCACCAGACGCUGGGUUUCAUCCCUGGUGAUGCUCUGCCAGGCCUCUACUGCAACUGUCUUCAGUUCCUGCUUGUUCUUGGGGCAUUUUCCCUUCAGUUUUGUCUUCAUCAAGUAAAAUGCAUGCUCAAUCGGAUUCAGGUCAGGUGAUUGACUUGGCCAUUGCAUAACAUUCCACUUCUUUCCCUUAAAAAACUCUUUGGUUGCUUUUGCAGUAUGCUUCGGGUCAUUGUCCAUCUGCACUGUGAAGCGCCGUCCAAUGAGUUCUGAAGCAUUUGGCUGAAUAUGAGCAGAUAAUAUUGCCCGAAACACUUCAGAAUUCAUCCUGCUGCUUUUGUCAGCAGUCACAUCAUCAAUAAAUACAAGAGAACCAGUUCCAUUGGCAGCCAUACAUGCCCACGCCAUGACACUACCACCACCAUGCUUCACUGAUGAGGUGGUAUGCUUUGGAUCAUGAGCAGUUCCUUUCCUUCUCCAUACUCUUCUCUUCCCAUCACUCUGGUACAAGUUGAUCUUGGUCUCAUCUGUCCAUAGGAUGUUGUUCCAGAACUGUGAAGGCUUUUUUAGAUGUUGUUUGGCAAACUCUAAUCUUCCUGUUUUUGAGGCUCACCAAUGGUUUACAUCUUGUGGUGAACCCUCUGUAUUCACUCUGGUGAAGUCUUCUCUUGAUUGUUGACUUUGACACACAUACACCUACCUCCUGGAGAGUGUUCUUGAUCUGGCCAACUGUUGUGAAGGGUGUUUUCUUCACCAGGGAAAUAAUUCUUUGGUCAUCCACCACAGUUGUUUUCCGUGGUCUUCCGGGUCUUUUGGUGUUGCUGAGCUCACCGGUGCGUUCUUUCUUUUUAAGGAUGUUCCAAACAGUUGAUUUGGCCACACCUAAUGUUUUUGCUAUCUCUCUGAUGGGUUUGUUUUGUUUUUUCAGCCUAAUGAUGGCUUGCUUCACUGAUAGUGACAGCUCUUUGGAUCUCAUAUUGAGAGUUGACAGCAACAGAUUCCAAAUGCAAAUAGCACACUUGAAAUGAACUCUGGACCUUUUAUCUGCUCCUUGUAAAUGGGAUAAUGAGGGAAUAACACACACCUGGCCAUGGAACAGCUGAGCAGCCAAUUGUCCCAUUACUUUUGGUCCCUUGAAAAGUGGGAGGCACAUAUACAAACUGUUGUAAUUCCUACACAGUUCACCUGAUUUGGAUGUAAAUAUCCUCAAAAUAAAGUUGAAAGUUUGCAGUUAAAGCACAACUUGUUCAUUUCAUUUCAAAUCCAUUGUGGUGGUUUAUAGAGCCAAAAAGAUUAGAAUUGUGUCGAUGUCCCAGUAUUUAUGGACCUGACUAUCUAAAGAGUUUACAAUAUAUAUAUAGAUUUACUUAGACACUGCGUGUUGGGUCAUGGAAUAUCCUGACAAUACUUAUAUUAAACAUAUUAUUAUUUUAAACUAGCAAAGAGGUUUACUCCAGGAUGCUCUACAAAUGAAUCUGUCUCAUGAAUUUGAAGGAUAGGAGCAAAAGGUUAAACUACAAAUUCUAGAAGGUUUGAACUGUACUGCCUUCAAAAACCAUUUGAAAAUGGUAAAUGUACAGAUUGUACCAUAGGAAAAAACCCAAUGUAAAUUGACAAAUAAUAUAGAUAAAUAAAAAUCAAUCAUUUUGUCUGGUCUGUAACUAUUCUAGAGUUAAUUUGCACCAAUAAUGGUGUAAUAAUAGUAAUAAUAAUAAUCAUAUUCAUAACAAUAAUUUGGAAGUUCUUUUUGAAAUCUGUAGAACAUGAAUAGUACAGAUACAAAAACAACUUAGAGCAGAACACCAAAACUUAGAAGUAUAAAAAAGCAAAAAUGAUCAGACUCUCUGAUGCAGUGGUUAUAAUGUUUUGCUGGGACACAAAAAUGACUCUCCCUUAAUACUUUUACAGGAUCUCCAUGAUCAGACACAUCAUAUUCAUCAAGCCUAAGGGAUUGCAUUAUGUCAUUUUCUGUAGUGGUUUCCCCAGUGCAGUAAAGGUGACAUGGUAAGAAUCUAGGUAAGCUGUUUUUAAAAAAAAUAUUAUAUUACACUUUCAGAAUAAGUUAAUCCUUCAAUUAUAGAAUUGAUCAUCUAAUAAAUUGUUAAGAACCUCUAAACAUCCAGUGUCCCCAAGUCAGUCUAUUGUACAGAUGCUGAAUCUGGUAAAUGCUGAAUGUAGUAUAUCGUGACAUCACAUGUAUCAGCACAACUCUGCUCACAAUCGCCUCCUUGGCUUAGAUCAUCAGAAUUGCACAUCUUAGCCAAUACAAUGCUUUCCCAAGAAUUGACGAUCGCAGCCAAGGAGGCGGGGUGGGGGCGAAAAAAAACACCCCACUGGUGAAUCAGUAUCUACUCACGGAGAAGCAUUGCAUCAAUGCAUCUCUAUAAGGAAAGUUGAACAUCUCUGUGCUUGAAAUCACUCAUUGUGGCCGUCUGAGUGACUGCCAAUAGACGUGUUACUAGGCAGCAAUGUAAACACUUCCUUUUCUCCUAAAAGGCAGUGUUUACAUUAAAAGGCCUGCAGGGACUGACUACACUCACAAUUAGGCUGUAGUUCUUUUGGUGACUAUAGUGUCCUUUUAAUUAGAACCAAAAGGAGGUGCCUAUACUAUAAUUCUUACAUUCUUACAUGGAAAUAUACAUUUUAUAAACAUUAAAUACCUUAAAUUUAAUGAGCAUCACAGUCAUGAACAACUGGAGAGUUAAUUACCAAUUUGUUGCUUUUACUAUUAGCUAGUACUUGAAAUACAUGCAGUGAUGCAGUUUAAACAGUUAAUGAAAUAUAUAGCUGGUAAUAAAAAUAUAAUAAACAACUAGAGUGGGAACCAUAUAACAUCAACAUUAAGUUCUAAUUGUAACAAAGAGUUAGUGGCUUGACCCCUGAGAACACAAAAAGAAUCAGGUGACCACAAAAACGUCACAAAUCUGUUCCAAACUCCACGCAGGACUACUAAGUCACACUUUACGAUUGCAAUGCUCAUCCCUACAGGAUUCAAAAGUUUAAUUAUUCAAAAGGCUAUAGGAAUCACUUGUCCUACUAUAAAUUAUAAAUGUGGGAUUAUGUAAUGUAUACUGUGCUUCAAUAAUUGGAUCAGAUUGAAUAUUUUUGCUGUGGAUUAAAACAUCAUUUAAUACAUUAUGUGUUAAUGACUUAUACCCACAUGUCAGUGGGGUAAAAGAAAGGAUAACAAAAUCCUUGUGUAAUUAGGCUGCAAAAUUAGAUUCGAAUUAAAGAUCCAUAUACACUGUUAUCUUCUUGAUUUCAGGAAUAAUACUGUACUUUUUUUGUUAUUUAUGUGUAUUUAUUUGAGUCAUUUUUACCUAGAGAAGUAGCACAUUGAUUUACCAGUAUCUGCUGAUUCUUUUUUCACUCUCAAGAAGGGUAUGGACUAGAGUUGAGCGAACCCGAACUGUAAAUUUCGGGUUCAUACCGAACGUAACGAUUUUUUGACCCCAAACCCGGACAUUUCAGUAACAGUUAGGGUUCGAGUUCAGUGUACGGCAAUUUAAUGGCGCGUCCUAACAGAAUGAGAACAGUUUGUCCAUUCGUGUUAGAACGCAAUUCAGGACUUUGUUUGGAUUGCAAUUUCAUCAGAAUGAAUAAAACUCUGAUCCUAUUCAUUGCGGCAGCUGCAUCUUGCAGCCGCUUAGUAGAUAACUGCCUAAUUCCCACAGUAUUAGGGAGCUAUCUACCAAAAGGCUGAAAGACCUAAAUUCGUCUUUCAGACACAUUUAUGAACACGAAGUAAAGAUUAUUUAGUAUUAGUAAAUCCAGCCCCUACUCGCUAUACCGCGGGUAGGGGCAUGUCUAGUAAACAGUGAGCAGCCAGUGGCUGCUCAGUGUAAAAAAAAUAAAACAUUUUUAAAACCUUAUUGGCCCCCCCCCCCUGAGCGGCAGGGGGGGUCCCUAAAUAACAAUGCGGGGGGGGACCUACUGUCCUCCCCCCCGGCCCCUUCCCCCGCACGGUGGGUGGGGGCCCUAAAUACCAAUAAGGGGUGGGGACCUAAAUAAGAAUGAGGGGGGACCUACUGUCCUCCUCCCCAGCCCCCUCCCCUGUGUGGCGGGUGGGGGCCCUAAAUAAAUAUUGGGGGGGACCUAAAUAAAAUUUUUUUUGGGGGGGAACCUACUGUCCUCCCCCCCGGCCCCUGCCCCUGCACGGUGGGUGGGGGCCCUAAAUACCAAUAAGGGGGGGGGACCUACAUUCCAACCCUCCCGGCCCCCACCCCUGAGCGGUGGGUGGGGGCCCUAAAUAAAUAUUGGGGGGGACCUAAAUAAAAAAUUUUUGGGGGGACACCUAAUGUCCUCUCCCCUGGCCCCCACCCAUAGCAAUUAGAGGGGGACCCAAUGUCCUCCCCCCUAGCCCCCACCCCUGAGCAGUGGGUGGGGGCCCUAAAUACCAAUAAGGGGGGACCUAUUGUCCUCCCCCUGGCUCCCACCGCUGAGCGGCGGGUGUGGCCCUAAAUAAAAAAUUAUCCCCCCCUCCCCAGGUGACUAGGGGUCCCCAAACCUCUAGUCACCCACCUACCCAAAAAAAUUAACCCCUACCUAUCCCUCUCACCCUCAAAAUAAUGAGGGGGGACCUGUAAAAAAAAAAAAAUAAAACUUACCAUUUGAUGUUUUCUUUCUUCUAAAAUCUUCUUUUUUCAGCCCCCUAGGCCAAAUAAAAAUCCAUAAGAACCAACGCACUUAAAAAAAUUAAAAAUAAACAAGCGCAAAAACAAUAAUCCAUCUUCACCCAUGGAGGGCUCCGCGCAGACUGAGCUCUGCAGGGCGGGGGAAGGCUUAUAAAGCCCUGCCCUGCCCUGCAAGUAGGCUCAGAGCACUCUGAUUGGUGGGUUUAAGCCAUCCAAUCAGAGUGCUCUGACAAGUAAAUGAAGAGACUCACAGAUAAGUCUCUACAUUUACCUGUUACAGCACUCUGAUUGAUUGGCUUGAAAUCCACCAAUCAGAGUGCUCUGUGUCAAAUUACACAGCAUGGGAAAAUUCCAAAGAACUUUCCCACACUGUGUAAAAUGACACAGAACACCCUGAUUGGUUAGAUUCCAAGCACACCAAUCAGAGUAUUAUGAGUCAAAUUACACAGCAUGGGAAAAUUCCAAAGAACUUUCCCACGCUGUGUAAAAUGACAAAGAGCACUCUGAUUGGCUUAAACCAACCAAUCAGAGUGUUCUUAGCCUAAUUGCAGGGCAGAGCAAGGCUUUAUAUGCCUUCCCCCACCCUGCAGAGCUCAGUCUGCACGGAGCCCUCCAUGGGUGAAGAUGGAUUAUUUUUAGCGUCUGUUUUUUUUUUUGUUUUUUUUUUAAGUUCGACAGGUAUGAAGUUUUUUUAUUUGCCCUUUUUUGGGGCUGAAAAAUUAAGAUUUUAGAAGAAAGAAGACAUCAAAUGGUAAGUUUUAUUUUUAUUUACAGGUUAGUUAUUUUAUUCCCCCCCUCUAUUUUUAGGUUGAGGGGGGUAGGUAGGGUAUAGUUUUUACUAGGGUGGGUGACUAGGGGCUUGGGGACCCCUAGUCACCUUUGAAAUGGGGGAAUUUGUCUUAGGGCAACCACUCGCCACCAAGGGGUGGGGGCCGGGGGGAGGACGGUAGUUCCCACCCUCAUUAUCUUUAUGGCCCCCACCCACCACUCAGGGUUGGGGGCGGGGGGGAGGACAGUAGGUCCCCCCCUAUCAUUAUCUUUAUGGCCCCCACCCACCGCUCAGGGGUGGGGGCCAUGGGGGAGGACAUUAGGUCCCCCCCAAUUUUUAUUUAGGGCCCCCACCCACCGCUCACGGGUGGGGGCCAGGGGAGAGGACAUUAGGUCCCCCCCAAUUUUUAUUUAGGGCCCCCACCCACCACUCAUGGGUGGGGGCAAGAGGGAGGACAUUAGGUCCCCCCCUUAUUUUAAUUUAGGGCUCCCACCUGCCGCUCAGGGGUGGGGGCCAGGAGGGAGGGCAAUAGGUCCCUGUAAAGGAUCCUUCUAUUCGUGCAGGGUUGAUCCUUGCAGCUUCUCCCGAAAUCCAGCUGAAACGAAGUGAUUAUAACUCCCAAUCCCCCAAACAUGAGUCGAGACUUCAUGAAGGGGUAAAACGAUCUGAUUUACUGUGGGCUACCCGCCCGGUAUUUAUGCAGGUCUUCCACCUGGUGGACACUCCCCUAAGGGGACCAGAUGGAAGACUGGGACAAAAGUAACACAGUAGCCAAUCACAGUGGCUAUAGCAUAAGCACUCCCCUUUUACAUAAAUCACUCCCUCUUUUCCAUCCUGGAGAUAAUUAACUUAAGGUAGCAAAGAGAGCCUUAAUUAUCUCCAGGAGGAAAGAAACAUGGCUUUUCUUAUUUUAGCAAAACAGCAUAAAAAUAUAUAACUUUCUUUUUACACAACAUAAACUUUAAGUUCCACAUAUCCCCAGAUAGCUUGGAUCUGAGUGCAUAUUCUAGGCGAAUAGCGCUCAGAUCCCACGAACACAGUUCUCAGAAUCGUCGACUGAAGUUUGACUUUCACCGGCCGUUCGUGUGUUUGUAGCCAACUGCAAGUUCCAUACUAUAGCUAUCUGGGGUUGGUCACUUUCGCAUACUUUCAGCGCACGAAUGAAGUAGUCUCCCCUUCAUUCGUGUGUUUUUCCACCGUAUGAACGAGGAUGGGAGAAGGUAGCAGCGGUGUUCGACAAAACAAGUAGCCGAAAUCAGUUCCAGGGAAUCCUCGCCAUUUACCGCUGCGCAUUCGACAAUACAAAAUGGAGAUUGCCACGUGUUCGGUAAACGAACGCGGACCACCAGCUAUUCCCCAAUUAGUCUGUGGUUAACCGCAACAGUCAGGGUGGUCAAUAGGCGCCACACGACCUCAGUGGGAGGUCGGUGGUUCGGUAGUUUAUUCGCUUUUAUUGCUAUUUCCACGAAAUCCCGCUGUAAUCCUCCAAAUAACCGAACAGGCUUGUUCGUAUGGUCUGUAAAUGGGGGAUUUCGUUACAGUCCCCCCCUUAUUCUAAUUUAGGGCCCCCACCCACCGCUCAGGGGACAAUAGGUCCCUCCCCUUAUUCCAAUUUAGGGCCCCCACCCACCGCUCAUGGGUGUGGGCCGGGUGGGGGCCGGGGUGAGGACAAUAGGUCCCCCCUUAUUUUACUUUAGGGCGGGGGCUCAGGAGGGGGGAACCUUUUUUUUUUGACACACAGACACACACACUCAGAUACACUGACACAAAGAUACACAUUCUGUCACAAAGAUAUACACUCUGUCACAAAGAUAUACACACACUGGCACAUACACACACUCAGAUUCACACACUGACAGAUACACUGGCACAAAGAUACACACACUGGCGCAAAUAUACACACACCCAGAUACACACUGGCACACAGAUACACACACUGGCACACAGAUAUACACACUGGCACACAGAUAUACACACUGGCACAUACAACACUGACAGAUACACUGACACACAGAUAAACACACUGGCACAAAUAUACACACACAUACACACUGGCACAUAGACACACACUAUAAGAUACACUCACACACUGGUACACAUACACAGAUACACACACUGGCACGUAGGCACAAAGAUACACACAAUGACAUGUGACACAUAUACACACUGACACACAGAUACACACACUGGCACAUACACAAACAUACACACUCAGUUACACACACUGACAGAUACACAGUCAUUUUUACACUGGAACAAAGAUAUACACACACUGGCACACGGACACACCGGUAUGUACACACACACAUUGACAGAUAUACUGACAUAUAGAUACACACACAUUGGCACAUACACACACUGGCACAUACACACACACAUACACACACAAACACACUGGCACAUACAAUCACACAGUUGCACACACUUACACACUCACACAUACAGAUACAUACACACACUGACAGAUACACUGACACACAAAUACACACUGGCACAUACACACAAAGAUACACACACUGGCACAUACAAACACUGACAGAUAUGCUGACACAUACACACACACUAACACACAGAUGUAAACACUGGCACAUACACACAUUGUCACACAGAUACUUACAGUGACACGAACACAGAUACACACACACUCACAUAUACACAGUACACAGAUACAUACACACACAUGCAGGUAUUUUCAGUCACCCUCUUGUUAGAUUACCUUUUUUCCUGUAGGAGGGUGACUUGCUUGGAGUGCUGCAGGCUGCUGGCUGAGGCUGGUGUGCUGCUCACUCCUCACUGCUGCAUAUUCUUCCCGUCCCGCUUGGCGCGGUCUGUCUGGGAGGAAGUGACAAGCUGCCAGUUCCUCCCAGCAUUCCAUGCUACAGGGGCCUGGUCGUGGUCUUAAAUGGCCACGGCGCCUGACUGGGCCCCUCUUCAGUGAUGCUGAUUGGGUGGCUCUAAAUGCUCGGGCCACCCGAUCAGCAAAUUGCUGCAGAACCCCAAUUUUGUUCCGCGGAACACCAAUUGGGAAACGCUGCUCUAAGGAAUAUUUAUCAGACUCCCGUUUCUGGGUCUGUUUCAUUGUAAUAGAUUACAAUGAUCUAGUCCAAUCCCAGGGUGGGGUCUGCUCUCAACAAGAUUAGAAAGAAAAAGAUUCACUAAACAGUUACUUUCCAUAUAGACAAUUUAAAAUGGGGAUAUCAAGAGAGUAUUGCCACAUUAAGGAUGAUGCUAAUUAUAGAGAGGGGACUAGGGAUAGUUAUAGGAGGUUACAGCGCCCACACAUUGGAGUCUGAUUCAUUAUCUCUAGAGGGAUUAUUGAUACUCCCAUAACGUUAAUAGACACCCUAAUUUAAUUGGUAAACAGAGUUACACUUUAUGUCAGUUUUCAUUUUGGCACCUAAUAAAUAAAGCCUAAUAAACUACUGAAUAAGUAACACAGUGAAUGACUCUGUUACCACGUUGUAUCUAUUUCCCCUCAUUCUAUCACAGCUGCAUUCACUCUAAAGUGAACUGUAAAGUGUUCCUUGUAAAUACCAAUCUAGGGAUCUCCUCCUGGGAUCUCUUGUAUUCUUUUUACAGACACAUGUUUAUUUGUACAAAGCAAAUAGGAAUGGAUACUUUUUAACAAACUAGGCAAUAUUUUUAGCAUUUUGUAGUGACAUGCAUGGGAUCUUGCAGAGUUUCUUUCUCAUGAAAGAGUGGGACAAUAUCCAACCUUUUCAAGAAUUCACCAAUUCUUGAGAAACUGAAAAGCAAGACUAUUGUCACGAGUACCGAGUAAUUUCACUUCUAUGGAAAAAUAGAUAAACUAUUGCCUCUCUUCAUGGUUUAUGCCUUUUUAUGUGAGGUUUACUUUGUAUUCCUUUAUUUGUCACUCAGUGGAGCUUACCACUUUCACAAUUUCAUCUUAAUAAGUGCGGUUUACUUACUGUGGUACUGAAUACUCAGACGAUUGGUGGGUAUGACAUCACCCAAGCAAGCUGUAUCCCCUGUAUCUGCUAGGACUACAUCACUCCAGUCCUCCACUCAAUCCAAUGCUAGGGUCUGCCAAGCAUGUCACUUUCUGAAGCUCCCUUUGACUACUCUUUAUAGACUGCUUUAUUUAUAUAAAUGUGCACAAACAUGUCAUCCUUGCACAUGCCUCAGAGCACACACGUGGUUAUUAUUAGCUCAUUCCAUAGUGUAGCCUUUGAAUUGUCAAUAUGUAUCCUCAUAUGGAUCCAUAAUGUUGUUUUACUCUUAUUAGUGAAUUAUUGGAAAUUCUGGAAUUUGAUAGUUGUUAUGGAAAGAUGGUUGAUACUCUUAUAAAAACUGCAAAAGGGUCCCCAAAUAGAGUCACUCCACUUUUUCAUUGACCAGAGACUGUGGGUUCUUUUUGGCAUGACUGUAGGUUUUCCUUUCUUGCUAUCAAAUCCUAUGACUAGCCAUAGCGGGGUGGUGGGAUUUAAAUUGGUGGGAUAUUUACUUUGUUCUUCUAGGAGAGGGAUUUCAGACCAGCUCAAAUCAACUUUCCUGCCCUGCCUUAAGUCCCCAUUAUGUUUACCCUCCUUUGCCAUUGUCUAAUGCCCUGUGUUAUAUACAUUUUAUUAUGUAUAUGCACCCUGUGAUCAGGCCUAUUGAUCACUAUAUGUUCCAACUGCACUACGUUCUGGUAUGUAUUGCAAAUGGGGCUUGAGCUGCUAAUUUUCCAGAGUGAUUCCUGUAAAGGUUAACCUGCCAAUUAGAUACUCUUAAGGAACAAUCAUUGCUGCUCAUUUUGGCAUUUGGCAUCAGCAUGUACCGUAGGUGGAUGCCAAAUGCUGUGUUCCUUUAGUAUAGCGUGGAUUCAGUGCUUCUCAAAAGGAAAAAUGGAUUGGUGGAUUGCAAUGAUGGCUUCACAUUCGUCACUUCACUGUGUGUCUUCAAUGCUUCUCUAUCAUCUGACUGGACAAAGGUCAGUAGUCUUGAUCACAUCACUGAGCUGGAUUACAGGUAAGUGUUUUAAUGAUUUUAAUAAUUUAAAAAUAAAGCCCAAUAUUACAAAAAUAAGGAAUACAUGUAAUUAAAAAAGUGUUGCUGUAAAGUUUAAUCACAUAUACAGGUGUCAAGAUUUGCUCUACCUCCAAGACAAUUUGUGAUGUUGUCUGAUAUUCUUCCCCCACAGUCAACUAUGACAGCUACCAACAUACUCACAUACUCUCUGAAACACAUGCACUCAUACACUAAUACCUACAAGUAUAUAAAUGUGCCUAUUCAUAAGCUUUCACUGUGGCACCUACCCAUAUACACUUUAAUGCCUAUCUACUCACACUGGCACCUGGAACACAAAUACCUGCACACUCACACCUAUUCACUAACACUAAAUUGUAUUUAUAUCAGCACACUGCACAUGUCUUCCGCUCUGAAACCUAACUACCAUUUAUGACACUUUCUAACACGUUUGCAAAAGAGGAAAAUUAUUAGGCAGGGCCACGGAGGAGAACAGGGAAUUUGGUGCCUUAAGUAAUGACUUGUAAAGUUCAAGAUUAAAUAGUUGAAUUUGAAAAGAAAAAAAAAUGGCAAAUAAUAACAAUGUUCUUCACAAUUAAUUCCUGAAUAUUAUCCCUUAACAACCCUUCAAAUAUUUUCCCAGCCAUAGAAGUUAAGCUCACAGGUCUAUAAUUUCCAGACAAAGAUUUUGAACCCUUUUUGAAUAAAGGAACCACAUCUGCCUUCCUCCAAUCCUUCGGUACAAUUUCUGAAAGAAAAGAAUCUCGAAAGAUUAAAUACAAAGGUUCACUUAUUUCCACACUGAGAAACAUUAUGCAAUGUCAAUCGACAGUUGCUAAGGCCAGUAAGGUAUUGCCAUGUAUAAAUAGGGGCACUAAUUCUCAGGAUGAGAAUAUAAUUUUGCCUCUUUGUAAAUCACUGGUUAGACCACUUUUCUUACUCUGGGAAAUGUUGGGCACCUGUUUUAAAGAAGGAUUUUAUGGCACUGGCAAAAGUGCAGAGGCAGGCUACAAAAUUGAUAAAAGGAAUGGAGCAUUUUAGUUAUGAAGAAAGGUUAAGACAUUUUAUUUCUUUAGUUUGGUAAAAUUGUGCCUCAGAGGGGAAAUGAUUGCAUUACAAAUUGUCUGGAAAUCUGUUCAUAAACAUGACUAUACUUAGGAUGUAAGGUUAUGCAUUUUGACUGAAAGAAAGGAGAUUAAGUCUCAGGCAAAGGAAAGGUUUUUUUUACAGUAAGAACAAUAAGGAUAUGGAAUUAUUUGCCGGAAGAAGUGGUUUUAUCAGAGUCCAUACAGAUGUUUAAACUGCAAUUGGAUAAAUACUUGCAAAAACAUAAUAUACAGGGAUAUAAUUUUUAAUUAGUGGGGUAAUAGCUUCUUGAUCCAAGAAAACAUCUGACUGCCAGAAUGGGGUCAAGAAAUGAAUUUUUUUCCUGAUUUUUUGUAAAAUUGGAAGCACUUCAGACUGUGUUUUUUUUCCCUUCUUUUGGAUCAACAGCAAAAACAGAUUUGAGAAAGGCUGAACUUAAUAGAUGCAUGUCUCUUUUCAGCUAUGCAACUAUGUAAUAUUACAAUUUCAUAUAAAUAGCUGGAGGGCCAAAGGAAAGGGGUGGGGGUGGUGUAAAAUAAAACUAUACAGUGAGAUUUCUGGAACUUUAUUGUAUAGUCCAUAUAGAAUGUUAAUUGCCUUUCUUUGUCCAAACUAAGUCACUAGAACUUGUUGUAUGGUCAAUAAAUGAAAUUAACAUAGUAGUUUUUCAUAUUUUAACACAGGAAUGUAAAAACGAGGCUCACAUCUUGAAUACCAUUCCCUAAGCAGGGAAAAAAACAGACAUUAAAAAAUGGUGUUUACUCAAGGACAUCUGAAAGUUCUCAUCAUUGCUUAAUUAUUGUCUUCUAAUAUUUCUCUUUACUGCUAACUGCAUUUAUAAUACUUUUGGUUACACCAUAUUGCAUGUUUGUUUAUUUUUUUCCUUUCUUGGUUAAUUUAAUUUAGGCCUAUAACUAAUAUAUAUAUAUUCUCAUUCAAAUAGUUUUAAAACAAUAACGUGGCACAAGGUAUGCCGGGUGUGUAAAGUGACAAUCUUCCAUGUCUCCAUGUGGGUACCUCUCUCUGCUUAAUAUCUUGUUGAAUAUAAUAAGCUUGGAAAUGAGCUGCUAUUAAAUAUACCUGAUUGUAUAUAGCAUGUACUAUGUGAAAUUUAGUUGGUAAUUUUUUAAAAACAAAUGUUUUUGAUAGUUAUUAAUUCACCUAUAUUUACACAUCUCUGGUUAGCAUGUGUAAUAAUCUAAACAAAAUUGUAAAAACUAUCUCAAAAGCAAGCGCAGUACAUUUUAUUAGAGUGUGCUUUCUGUGAUGUUUAUUUUUUUCUUUUCUAUGUAAUAAGCUAUCACUUAUUAAUAGCUUAUUAUAUAUAAAUUCAAAACGAAAAAUCACUGAAAGCACACUCUAAUAAAAUGUACUGCGCUUGCUUUUGUGAUAGUUUUUACAAUUUUGUUGAGAUUAUUACACAUACUAACCAGAGAUAUACAAAUAAACAUUAAUUGGUUAACUUGGCAGGUAUCUAAAUUGUAUUGACAAUUGUUUAAAAAUCUACACAACAAUUUAUAAAGCAGUACGACUGAGUCUUUAAGGUAUACAUUACAGUAAUUAUUUAGUAAAUAUUAUUUGACAUAUUGCUUUUUAUUCAAGUAAAUGUGGCUUAGUUAUUUGGCCAGAAGUGCUCAAGCUAUAUACAUAUAGAUACAAAAAUGGUGCAUGAUGUGGACUGGCUGUGUGUUUAAACUAAAUAAAGUCAACCGUAUACAAUACAGCUAUUGCUAGACUACACAAUGUAUGAUAAUACAUCCUACAGACAUCAGCUCUUUAAAAAAGAUUUAUAACACUAACUAUAGUGUGCAAUCUAGAAUCCCAUCUCAUAAUCUCAAUGCUAGGAUAUGAGAGAUAUAAUCUUUUUCUCUAAAGGAAAUGCCUGUCUGAGUGUUUUAAAUAAAUUGUAAGAACUUUGUCAGAUGGAGAAAUACAAUUAUAUAUUUAUUUUUAUGUAUUAAGUGAUAACUGGUAAAGUAAAAAGAAAAAACUACAUUUGUAUUGAGACAAAGAUAUUUAACUCAUAGAAAUAAGGUUAAGCUACCUAGAGAUUUCAUAUAAAUAGAUCACAUAGAUUGACAUAAAUAAUUUGACAAACAAACAUGUACAUAGCCACAUAUUUAUAUAUAUAUAUAUAUAUAUAUAUAUAUAUAUAUAUAUACACUGCUCAAAAAAAUAAAGGGAACACAUAAAUAACACAUCCUAGAUCUGAAUGAAUUAAAUAUUCUUCUGAAAUACUUUGUUCUUUACAUAGUUGAAUGUGCUGACAACAAAAUCACACAAAAAUUUAAAAAAUGGAAAUCAAAUUUUUCAACCCAUGGAGGUCUGGAUUUGGAGUCACACUCAAAAUUAAAGUGUAAAAACACACUACAGGCUGAUCCAACUUUGAUGUAAUGUCCUUAAAACAAGUCAAAAUGAGGCUCAGUAGUGUGCGUGGCCUCCACGUGCCUGUAUGACCUCCCUACAAUGCCUGUGCAUGCUCCUGAUGAGGUGGUGGAUGGUCUCCUGAGGGAUCUCCUCCCAGACCUGGACUAAAGCAUCUGCCAACUCCUGGACAGUCUGUGGUGCAACGUGAUGUUGGUGGAUGGAGCGAGACAUGAUGUCCCAGAUGUGCUCAAUUGGAUUCAGGUCUGGGGAACGGGCGGGCCAGUCCAUAGCAUCAAUGCCUUCGUCUUGCAGGAACUGCUGACACACUCCCACCACAUGAGGUCUAGCAUUGUCUUGCAUUAGGAGGAACCCAGGGCCAACCGCACCAGCAUAUGGUCUCACAAAGGGUCUGAGGAUCUCAUCUCGGUACCUAAUGGCAGUCAGGCUACCUCUGGCGAGCACAUGGAGGGCUGUGCGGGCCCCCAAAGAAAUGCCACCCCACACCAUUACUGACCCACUGCCAAACCAGUCAUGCUGGAGGAUUUUGCAGGCAGCAGAACAUUCUCCCUGGCGUCUCCAGACUCUGUGACGUCUGUCACAUGUGCUCAGUGUGAACCUGCUUUCAUCUGUGAAGAGCACAGGGCGCCAGUGGCGAAUUUGCCAAUCUUGGUGUUCUCUGGCAAACGCCAUACGUCCUGCACGGUGUUGGGCUGUAAGCACAACCCCCACCUGUGGACGUCGGGCCCUCAUACCACCCUCAUGGAGUCUGUUUCUGACCGUUUGAGCAGACACAUGCACAUUUGUGGCCUGCUGUAGGUCAUUUUGCAGGGCUCUGGCAGUGCUCCUCCUGUUCUUCAUUGCACAAAGGUGGAGGUAGCGGUCCUGCUGCUGGGUUGUUGCCCUCUUACGGCCUCCUCCAUGUCUCCUGAUGUACUGGCCUGUCUCCUGGUAGCACCUCCAUGCUCUGGACACUACGCUGACAGACACAGCAAACCUUCUUACCACAGCUCGCAUUGAUGUGCCAUCCUGGAUGAGCUGCACUACCUGAGCCACUUGUGUGGAUUGUAGACUCCGUCUCAUGCUACCACUAGAGUAAAAGCACCGCCAGCAUUUAAAAGUGACCAAAACAUCAGCCAAGAAGCAUAGGAACUGAGAAGUGGUCUGUGGUCACCACCUGCAGAACCACUCCUUUAUUGGGGGUGUCUUGCUAAUUGCCUAUAAUUUCCACCUGUUGUCUAUCCCAUUUGCACAACAGCAUGUGAAAUUGAUUGUCACUCAGUGUUGCUUCCUAAGUGGACAGUUUAAUUUCACAGAAGUGUGAUUGACUUGGAAUUACAUUGUGUUGUUUAAGUGUUCCCUUUAUUUUUUUCGAGCAGUGUAUAUAUUAAGAAAGGAAAUAUAUAUCUUGAUGAGAGAUUCAGAGUAGCUAUGACCAGUCUAUUCAAUAAGAACAUCUUGUGCUGUAGUGUUGGAACCUAGAUUUUGCAGUAGGUAGCUUUUCUUUUCUGCCAGUAUAUAUAUAUAUAUAUAUUUAUAUAUAGCAAAAAAUCAAUAUCUGCUUGGCACUCUCCUUACUUCCAAAGGUUGAAAAAAACAAAAUAUUUUUUGCCUAGGUGCAACCCGCGUUAAAUAUAUAUAUAAACAGACAGGGGUGCACUCACAGGUCUUGAACAAGAACGACAAUCAAAUUCUUUAAAGUGAACAAGUCUUCAUUAUAGCCGUGAAUAAAUCAACGUUUCGACCCCUAAGGGUCUUUUUCAAGAUCUUGAAAAAGACCCUUAGGGGUCGAAACGUUGAUUUAUUCACGGCUAUAAUGAAGACUUGUUCACUUUAAAGAAUUUGAUUGUCGUUCUUGUUCAAGACCUGUGAGUGCACCCCUGUCUGUUUAUAUAUAUUUAUAUAUAUAUAUAUAUAUAUAUAUCCAAAAUACCAGAGUAUUGCAGUAUGCAAUGAUAUACUUUUUUUAUUGGACUAACAUAAUAUUUAAAAGACAAGAGUUUUCCUCUCUUCUUUGGUUCUGAAGCAAUACUGAUCAAUCUUAUCAGAGUUUAACACUUAAAACAACUGAUGUUAGAGAAGGGAAGGGAGGGGGGUGUCAUAAAUAGCAGAAGAUGUCCGUGAAAGUGAAUGGUUCAGGUUGGCUCAGGUUGGUUCAGAAAAAGUAAAUAAACAGAGGAGAGUCAAUGAGCUAGUUAACCCCUUCAGGACGGAGUCAAUAGUGCACGUUCUGAUCAAAACAAAACGUAAACAAAAACUGGAAUUUGCGCUAUAUGUCUGUCACCGCUGUCACAUUAAGUGCCCUCACACUUAUUAUAUAUCAUUUUGUUCAGGAAAAACAGGGCUUUAAUUUAUCAUUAACUAUUCAUAUAUGGAACAUAAUUUAUUAUGAAUACAAUUUUAAAAAAAUUGAGAAAAUAAGAUUUUUUUAAAAAAAUUGUAUUUCCGUCUGACAUUUUAGCUGUUAAUGUCAUAAUACGGUUUUACUGCAAAAAAAUGCACAUAUUUGUAAUCAGCGAUGUCUCACGAGUACAACAGUACCCCCCAUUAACAGGUUUUAUGGUGUUUUGGAAAGUUACAGGGUCAAAUAUAGAACGUUCCAUUUUCACAUUGAAAUUUGCCAGAUUAGUAAUGUUACCUUUGAGACGGUGUGAUAGCCCAGGAAUGAGAAUUACCCCCAUAAUGGCAAACCAUUUGAAAAAGUAGACAACCCAAGGUAUUGAAAGUGGGGUAUGUUUAAUCUUUUUUAGUAGCCACUUAGUCACAAACACUGGCCAAAGUUAGCGUCCAUAUUUGUUUUUGUUUGAAAAAAGCAAAAAACUAAUAUUUGGCCAGUGUUUGUGACUAAGUGGCUACUAAGAAAGACUGGACAUACCCCACUUGCAAUACCUUGGGUUGUCUACUUUUGCAAAUGGUAUGCCAUCAUGGGGGUAAUUCUCAUUCCUGGGCUACCAUACGCUCUCAAAGGCAACCAAUCUGGCAAAUUUCAAUGCCCUCUAUGUACAGGUUUUAUGGUGUCUUGGAGAGUUACAGGGUCAAAUAUAGUGCUUGCGAAUUAAAUUCUCUGCACUUUCUCCCUGUGUUGUCAGGCAUGUCAAUCAAAUUGUAAUUAAUCAAAUCGCAUAAUUAUGUUAAAAGAUUACUUAAAUAUACACGUAGAAUUUUAAUAUAUAUGCAUUUAUAGGUAUUUAAAUUCUACGUGUAUACUAAUGUAAUCUUUUAUGUAAUUAUAUGUAUUUAUCUAUAUAUAUAUAUAUAUUAUAUAUAUAUUUGCGGUUAUUUGUAUUUUAUAUAUAGAUAGAUAUAUAUAGAAUGUCAUUCUAAGUGUAUUUUGUUACCAAUAUAUAUAUAUAUAUAUUAAUAACAAAAUACAGUUAGAAUGAAAUUGCAUAUGAAUAUAUAAUUUAUAUUACAUUUUGUUUCAAUAUUUUAUUUAUUUAUUUUAUUAUUUUAUUUAUUUAUUAUUGUAAUUAUACGUAUAUAUAUAUAUAUAAUAUAUGUGUAUAUAUCUAUUAUAUAUAUAAUAUAUAUGUAAUGUCAUUCUAAGUGUAAUUUAAUAUUAAUAUAUAUACUAAUAUUAGUAUUAAAAUACAACGUAUGACGUUAUAUAUAUACACAUGUUUAUUUUUAUUUUUUUUUCAUUUCCCACCAGCAGGGGGACUGUCUGAUAUUUCAGACAGUCCCCCUGCUGGCAGAUCCAUAGCUAGCUAUAGGGGGCCAUGUGAUCGGGGGCCUCAUUCGCCGUGGGAGGGCUGCCUGGGCGGUCAGGCAGCCCUCCCGAAUAGGAUCGCGGCGGAGGUAAGUAAAUUGGAGGUCCCCAGGGCUUAAGCCGUUACGGCGUUCUAUGCCGCCGCAACGGCUUUAAAGCCCUUUAAAGCCGCGACGGCAUAGAACUCUGUAACGGCGUUAAGGGGUUAAAAAAAAAAAAAAAAACAGCAGAGCAGGGCAUGCAAGUAUAUAGCUGCAUAUAUGUAUGUAUAUAAAUUGAUCCAAUAAAGGUAAAGCGAAAAUAUUGAAAAAGAACUGUAUAAGACAUUAAGAUGUGUAUUUAUAGAAAGUUUUCGUAGCGUGUGAGAAAUCCAGAAUCUACAUUAAGUCCUUCAUCAUUUUCAUCUCAAAUGUCUUUCUUUCAUGCAAGUCUUUGAAAUUCCCUUUAAGAACUUCAAUCCUGAGGUUUUGGAUGGAGUGAUCAGUCUGGUUACAGUGAUGACCAACAGGGUCAUAUAAUAAUAUAUAUAUAAUAUCCAUUUUCCUUGUGGUUCUUGAUUGAGUGUCUGUGUAGAUUCAUUCUCAGAUGCAGCUUAAGGCAACUUUCUCCAAUGUAGCAACCUUUGUCACAUACUGUACACGGUAUCAUGUACACCACAUUCGUAGAUGUGCACGUAUAUAGUCCCUUAAUGUUGUAUGAUUUGUUAUUGUUUCUAGUUGUAUUAUUGCCACAUAUAUGUUGACACAGUUUUCAGAGUGAUUUGUUGCAUCAUACAGUGCCAUUCUGUGUGAGCUACUGUUCUGUGGUCAAUUUGCCGCGGACCAAUCUCUGUCUCAGGUUAUGCGGUAGGUUGAAUGCUAGUAUUGGGGGAUUCAGGAAAUAUUUCUUUGAGUGUGGGUUCCUCUUAAAUUAACAAAUCAUACAACAUUAAGGGAUCAUAUUCGUGCACAUUUGCGAAUGUGGUGUACGUGAUACGGUGUACAGUGAUCCAUUGAUUCACGAUCUCUUCAGUGAGAGACCUCUAAUGGCAUAUAAGAGUUUAAAAAAUAUUAAACGUUUAGUAUCACCUUCUAGAGUUAGAAUGUCUACUAAGCCUCUUACAACUUGGUUGACACCAAUCAAGGGCAUGCACUGGUGUGGACAUUGCGCCAAUUGUAACAAUGUUCACACAUCCAAGAACAGGUACAAUGUUCACCAAUAAGGAAUUUUUUAAUUGUCAAACAGAUUGCGUGAUUUAUUUUAUCAAGUGUCCUUGUGGACUUGGUUAUGUUGGACAAACUUCUAGACCCUUAACCGUAUGCAUUGGUGAGCAUAAAAGUACCAUUUGCACGAAUAAACGGCAUAUUCCUCUGGCUAAACAUUUCAUUGACUCGGCCACUCUGUGGCUCAAUUGCGAUUUCAGGCUAUAGAACGAAUAAGGAUACCCUAUUCUGGCUGUUCCCCUGCAGAUUUUCUCAAACGGGCAGAACUCCGGUGCAUUUAUCGGUUGGGCACAUUAUUUCCUCGCGGGUUGAAUGAAGAUUGAAACUUCAAUCCCUUCAGGUAAAACCAUUGGAGUUAAUCAUGUGACCCGUCACAUGGAAUGUACUACACCCAUUUUUUUACUUUGUGUGCUUUGAUCACAUUGAGGUUGUUCCUCACUUUUGACCUCUGCCUGUAGUUUGUGGUUUUUGUUGUUUCUUUUGGUAUUACAUGAUUUUAGUCUUUUUUUCUUCUUUUUUAUUAGUCUCUUUUCUUUUGGGAUUUUCUCUACCGGGUGGCCCUUUGAUGAUUCCCUCUUCUCACUAGGUCUGGUAUGUAUUUGUUCUUUGUAUAUAGAUUUAUUUGUGUUGUUAUGAUUCGGUAUAUCAUAUAGCUAUUUACUACACUGGUAUUCAUUCAUUUACUAUAUAUUUCGCUCAUAUGUCAUUUUAUAACUUUUGUCAAUUUCUCUGUACCAUUUGUGUGGGAAUGUUUGCUUUUGCUUUGAUUUAUUGAUACGUAUAAUGAGAUAUCCAUUUGCUGUGGAUCCAUCUAAUAAAGAUUUUUGAAUAUAUUUAUGGUUGUGCUCCUUGCUUUGGUAGUACUUGAAGAUACAUUACAUAGUCAGAUAGGCAGGUGUGAAAGCCUUGAAAAUUAAUUUUUUUGGCGGACCUGGGUUAUUUUUUAGCACUUCUGUUGGGGUGUGUGUAUGUGUGUGUAUAUAUAUAGAUAUACAUGUGUGUAUGUGUGUGUGUGGGUAAGUGUAAUUUAUUUGUGUAACGACAGAUUUGCGCUGACAAAGGGGAAAGCCAAAACAUCUGUUUCUUUUUGGUCCUUCAAAUGAAUUGUUGUUAGCACUCCUUGUGCACACUUAGCAACUAGUUGUACUUUCUUUAUUUCCAGUAGUUGGAUUUAGCCCUGCUUUAAGCAACAUGGUACAAGGCUAGCAGCACAGAGUUAUCUGGUCUUGUUUUGAUUUUUGGGCACUGCAGUAACCCCUCCUCUAUCUCUAUGUGGCUUCAAAUAUGCACCUGGGAAGAUUCUAGUCAGAUAUCAAGAACAAUGCCAUGCAGAUCGUCAAUAUUUGCUUGCACAGGUAAAUGUUAUAGUGCAACGAACAAUCUUGCAUAAUAUAAUCAAGUAUAAUUUAAAUUAGACAGACUUAAACCAAUGAAAUGAAAGCUGAUGCAGUAAGAACUGAUGACUUGUUUGAUCAGUAAAAAUCAUCACAUGAAGCUCCUCUUAAAGUGCAUAUCUUAAUAUUACAGUCAGAACUGUAAAGGAUGUUAAGAAAGGAAAUUCAGAUUCAGGGUAGCUAUGACCAGUCUAUUCAAUAAGGAUAUCUUGUGCUGUACUGUUGAAACCUAGAUUUUGCAGUAGGUAGCUCUUCUUUUCUGCCAAUUUCGGUUUUAUUUUCAGCGUUGUUAAAUAUAAUGCAAUUUCAUUUAACAUCCGGUUAAAAAGAUCAGCGAGUGAAUAUGAUGUCAUCUAUUACAAAAGGACCAUUUAAGGUCAUUGCAGGAAAAAACAAAUUGGACACAACGAUUUGCUUUGAAAAAAUAACUUUGAUAAAUACUUGUUACUCUACUCUAAUACUCUAAUAGAGAAUUUUAAAAUAAAUAAUUCUUGUCUCUGAUAUGCCUGUAAUACAAUAUUGCAGAAUUUCCAACAUAUAUCUGUACCAUGUGGUGCAGAGAGUUACCUACAUGGUUUGGAUGAUAAAGGGAUUGCAUUGGUAGAGUACGCACAUGUGCUGACAUUGGGAGAGUACUCACACAUGCUCACAUUGUGUGUGCAAACAUUGCACAGGUUAUUUAUUAAUCUUCUAGCAGGUUUACUAGUGAUGUUAAAGCAAGCAGCAGAACUGCUACCAAUUAGUGUUAGUAUAAGAAAUACUGCUCUGAACACUAUUGGAAGUGAAACAACGUACUGUAUAUACUCGAGUAUAAGCCGAGUUUUUCAGCACAUUUUCUGUGCUGAAAAAACCCCACUCGACUUAUACUCGAGUCACUGUCUGUAUUAUGGCAACUUACAUUGCCAUAAUACAGACCUGGACCGCUGGUCUCAUUACAAGUCCUGUUGGGGGCUGGCAGUGAGCUGUAACUUACCUUUCCUGCAGCUCCUGUCAGCUCCCUUCUUCUCGGUGCCGGUCAGCUCCCCUGUCAGCUCUCACUGUAAGUCUCGUGAGAGCCGCGGGGUCAGAGCGUUGCCACGGGUUACUGAGACUUACAGUGGAGGAGAAGGGAGCUAACCGGAAUGGAGGUGAAGGUAGCUGACAGGAGCUGCAGGAAAGGUAAGUUACAGCUCUCUGCCAGCCCCCCUCCUGCACAGUACAUCACCAGGGAAUGAGAGCCCCCCUCCCUGGCCAUGUAUCAAGCAGGGAGGGCGGCGAAAAUAAAUAAAUAAAAAUUUAAAUAAUAUUAAAUAAAAAUAAAAAUAUUAAUAAUAUAAAAAUAAAUAAAAAAUAAUAAUAAUUUAAAAAAAUAAUAAAAAUGCCCACCCCCCACCAAGGCUCUGCAUCACAUACACACACUGCAUUCAUACACACACACACACUGCAUUCACACACACUGCACUCAUACACACACACUGUAUUCAUACACACACACACACACACUGCAUUCAUACACACACACACACACACUGCAUUCAUACACACACACACUGCAUUCAUACACACACACACUGCAUUCACACACACUGCACUCAUACACACACACACUGCAUUCAUACACACACACUGCAUUCACACACACUACACUCAUAAACACACACACACACACUGCAUUCAUACACACACUGCAUUCAUACAAACACACUGCAUUAUAUAUAUACACACACACACACACUGCAUUCAUUAUAUACACACACUGUUAAUAAAUAUUCAAUUAAUAUAAUUUUUGGGGGAUCUAAUUUUAUUUAGAAAUUUACCAGUAGCUGCUGCAUUUCCCACCCUAGUCUUAUACUCGAGUCAAUAAGUUUUCCCAGUUUUUUGGGAUAAAAUUAGGGGUCUCGACAUAUAUUUGGGUCGACUUAUACUCGAGUAUAUAUGGUAUAUCAUGACCAGAGCCGGCGCCACCUAUAGGUGAAGUAGGUGCUGGCCUGGGAAACACAUUUGGAAGGGGUACCGCAGCCGCCGAAUGCGGGCAGUGCUUGUACAUGUGCCACGGCUAAGGGGCCCUGGUGCUGCUCUGAAAAGAGCAUUUAAGCGAGAGCCAGAAAUCUAAUUGCAGCACCCGGUUUGUGUGCUGAGUGGCUGCAUAUUAAACCUUGUGGUCUCCACUCACUCCAGCUCCUCCAUCUUGCAAAGAGGAACUGGAAUUUAAUUUAGCUGGGUGCCCUGUCUGUCAAUGCAGGGGGGGCGGGUCAUGCAUAUGACACUCUCACAUGAAUCCAACCCCCUCCCUUUGUUUUUCCCCUCUCCAUCUAUUAGAAUAGAAGGAGGAGGAGUAGGGGGGAGUGCAGACCCUCCCUGCCCUGUUGCUGAUCCAGCCAAAGCCAAACCCUGAACAGUUCCAGUAGGAGAGGGGUCAGGAGUAUUGGCUUGGUGAACAACAAGGUACUGUACCUAUUUUUUUUAACAGACAUGCCCCUUGUAAAUACAGACUAGGGGACAGCAUCAACCUGAUUUAGAGGUUGGGGGUGCUGCAUAAACUUACUUAGGGCCUAACCUCAAAAUAAAGUUGAUGCUGUUCCCAUAACCUCAUAAUUAAAUAUAUGAUGUCCCCUAAUCUCAGGAUUUGAGAUUAAGGGACAUCAAUUAUUUUAUUAUGAGAUUUUGCCGACAGCAUUAACUUUAUUUUGUUGAUGGUUUAAUAAUAAGUUGAUGCUAUCCCCAUAACCUCAUAAUAAAACAAUUGAUGUCCCCAAUAAGGGCCGCCAUCACGGGGUGACAACAGGGGGCCCUGCCAGCACCAUCUUCUUUUUCCAGCUGCUCUUCAUUUCAAACAACCCGAGCCCAGCAGCCGUCAGAGCAUUGCCAUGGGUUAAUAUAGAAACACAGGCCGUUCUCACAAGAGUUACAGUGAGAAGCAGCUGGAAAGACAAGAAGGGCUGGGUCCCUUCUCACCACGUGCUAUGUUGCACUGCCCCCUCUCAUCUCAUCCUGACACAUAACCAGGUACCUCCUUGCACUAUACACACUGCCACUUUUCACUUCACUCUACCACCUUGCAUUUUGUACACUGCCACUGUAUAUACUUCCACUUUACACUGUACACACUGCCACUUUACACUAUACAUACUGUUACUUUACACACUGCCACCUUGCACUAUACAUACUGCCACUUUACACUAAACACACUCUUACCUUGCACUAUACACACUGCCACUUUACACACUGCAUCCACUACAUUAACACACACUCUGCAUCCACUACACACACACACACACACUACAUUCACUACACACAAGUAAACUGCAUCCACUAAACAAACAUACACUCUGCAUACACCACACACACACAUUAAACAUACUCUUACCUUGCACUAUACACACUGCCACUUUACACACUGCAUCCACUACAUAAACACACUGAAUCCACUACCCAAACAUACACUCUGCAUUCACUGAACACACACGGCAUCCACCUUACACUAUAUCCACUAUACACAAGCACUACAGGGAGUGCAGAAUUAUUAGGCAAGUUGUAUUUUUGAGGAUUAAUUUUAUUAUUGAACAACAACCAUGUUCUCAAUGACCCCAAAAAACUCAUUAAUAUCAAAGCUGAAUAUUUUUGGAAGUAGUUUUUAGUUUGUUUUUAGUUUUAGCUAUGUUAGGGGGAUAUCUGUGUGUGCAGGUGACUAUUACUGUGCAUAAUUAUUAGGCAACUUAACAAAAAACAAAUAUAUACCCAUUUCAAUUAUUUAUUAUUACCAGUGAAACCAAUAUAACAUCUCAACAUUCACAAAUAUACAUUUCUGACAUUCAAAAACAAAACAAAAACAAAUCAGUGACCAAUAUAGCCACCUUUCUUUGCAAGGACACUCAAAAGCCUGCCAUCCAUGGAUUCUGUCAGUGUUUUGAUCUGUUCACCAUCAACAUUGCGUGCAGCAGCAACCACAGCCUCCCAGACACUGUUCAGAGAGGUGUACUGUUUUCCCUCCUUGUAAAUCUCACAUUUGAUGAUGGACCACAGGUUCUCAAUGGGGUUCAGAUCAGGUGAACAAGGAGGCCAUGUCAUUAGAUUUUCUUCUUUUAUACCCUUUCUUGCCAGCCACGCUGUGGAGUACUUGGACGCGUGUGAUGGAGCAUUGUCCUGCAUGAAAAUCAUGUUUUUCUUGAAGGAUGCAGACUUCUUCCUGUACCACUGCUUGAAGAAGGUGUCUUCCAGGAACUGGCAGUAGGACUGGGAGUUGAGCUUGACUCCAUCCUCAACCCGAAAAGGCCCCACAAGCUCAUCUUUGAUGAUACCAGCCCAAACCAGUACUCCACCUCCACCUUGCUGGCGUCUGAGUCGGACUGGAGCUCUCUGCCCUUUACCAAUCCAGCCACGGGCCCAUCCAUCUGGCCCAUCAAGACUCACUCUCAUUUCAUCAGUCCAUAAAACCUUAGAAAAAUCAGUCUUGAGAUAUUUCUUGGCCCAGUCUUGACGUUUCAGCUUGUGUGUCUUGUUCAGUGGUGGUCGUCUUUCAGCCUUUCUUACCUUGGCCAUGUCUCUGAGUAUUGCACACCUUGUGCUUUUGGGCACUCCAGUGAUGUUGCAGCUCUGAAAUAUGGCCAAACUGGUGGCAAGUGGCAUCGUGGCAGCUGCACGCUUGACUUUUCUCAGUUCAUGGGCAGUUAUUUUGCGCCUUGGUUUUUCCACACGCUUCUUGCGACCCUGUUGACUAUUUUGAAUGAAACGCUUGAUUGUUCGAUGAUCACGCUUCAGAAGCUUUGCAAUUUUAAGAGUGCUGCAUCCCUCUGCAAGAUAUCUCACUAUUUUUGACUUUUCUGAGCCUGUCAAGUCCUUCUUUUGACCCAUUUUGCCAAAGGAAAGGAAGUUGCCUAAUAAUUAUGCACACCUGAUAUAGGGUGUUGAUGUCAUUAGACCACACCCCUUCUCAUUACAGAGAUGCACAUCACCUAAUAUGCUUAAUUGGUAGUAGGCUUUCGAGCCUAUACAGCUUGGAGUAAGACAACAUGCAUAAAGAGGAUGAUGUGGUCAAAAUACUAAUUUGCCUAAUAAUUCUGCACUCCCUGUACACACUACAUAAAUUACACAGACACUGCGCACACUGCAUCUAUUACACAAACAUACAAUCUACAUUAACCAUAUAAACACACACACUACAUCUAUUACACACACUACAACCACUAUAUAUGCACACCUCAUCCACUACACACACACUAUAGGAGGGGCGGGGUCAAGGGGACGCAAAAUGAGGGUUUGCCUAGGGUGGCAAAAAUCCUUGCACCAGCCCUGAUAAUGACUGCUAUUCAAAAUGUACUAUCGUAUUUAAUCCUUAGGAAUGUCAUACACAUAUCUUUCUAGUUUAAUUAAAAUGACAAAAUAUUCAGUCCACAGCACCUAAGUUAUUAACCCCUUAAGGACACAACUUCUGGAAUAAAAGGGAAUCAUGACAGAAUAUUUCCGUCAUGUGUCGUUAAGGGGUUAAAGGACCACUCUAGGCACCUAGACCACUUCAGCUUAAUGAAGUGGUCUGGGUGCCAGGUCCAGCUGGGGUUAACCCAUUUUUAAUAAACAUAGCAGUUUCAGAGAAACUGCUAUGUUUAUGAAUGGGUUAAGCCUUCCCCCUAAUCCUCUAGUGGCUGUCUCAUUGACAGCCACUAGAGGCGCUUGCGUGCUUCUCACUGUGAUUUUCACAGUGAGAGCACGCAAGCGUCCAUAGGAAAGCAUUGUAAAUGCUUUCCUAUGCGACGGGCUGAAUGCGCGCGCAGCUGUUGGGGGCACCCUCAGGGCACUAUAGUGCCAGGAAAACGAGUAUGUUUUCCUGGCACUAUAGUGGUCCUUUAAGACUGAUUAAUACGUCUUCUCCUUCCAUAUGUAGUAUACCUGUUGUUUUUUUUUAUUAAUUCUUUUUACUCCAUUAUACACACUCAAAUUGCCAUCCAUUAGUACUAAGCAGCUAACAGAUAUACCUAAUUAUCCAUUCCAAGGAGAUGAGUUCUUUAGAACACCAAUUUAGUCCACAAAGUGUAUUGUUUCUUAUAUUAUGUAUAUUGUAUUGUUUAGCUAAAUUCGGAAAUUGCCCACAGAUAUAUACAAAUGAAAAUAAAAAUGAAAACAUCACUUAUUGUUAUUUUUAAAAUAAAGAAAACAUCUUAAAAUAUCACACAGUGAGAAAAAGGUACUAUCGUGAAAAAAUAUAUAUAUGAAUUUGAUAGACCCUAUGGAAAAAAAGAAGAGAGAAAAUAAUAUAUGUUUGGCUGGAUUCUAGUUUGCUCCAGAUCCCUUGUAUUGUAAAGAUUAGCAACAAAUGAAUAUAAAAAACAAAAAUAAACUAGAUAGGAAGAAUAACCCCCUAGGGGGCCAUCCUAAUGGCUGGUAUAGAUAAUAUGUACACCAUAACAUAGCUAAAACUAAAAACAAACUAAAAACUACUUCCAAAAAUAUUCAGCUUUGAUAUUAAUGAGUUUUUUGGGGUCAUUGAGAACAUGGUUGUUGUUCAAUAAUAAAAUUAAUCCUCAAAAAUACAACUUGCCUAUAAAUACUAAAUACCUAUAAACUUCUUGGAAAAAUAUAUAUAAAGUGUAAACAAUGAAAACUCUAGCUUCUCUGGUAUAACUAAGUAUCUUGAGGCGACAAUUAUAUAUAAACAAAAAAACUUAAUUAGACUUGUGCUACCCAGAGGAUACUAUGGUAUCAAUGUAACCAAUAGCUAGUGUCUGUAUUACCCCUAUAUCACAUAGACUUGGUAUAGUAAAAUCACGAUCCAUAGCAGUGUAAAUGCUUGAAAGGUACAAAUGAACAACCAAGAGAAAAAGGGGGGAAUAAUAAACGAGGGAAUAGAUAGACAAAAAAUAAUAAUUAGGUACCCUAUCGGUAUAUAACGGGAUCCUAAGUAGAACAAUAAAUUAAUCAAAUCUAAGACACCGGGGAUAGAGCCUUCUGGUGGAGAGAUAGCAGAGUAUCUAUAAGUUAGUUGCUCCAAAAAGAUAACUAAUAAAUGAAAAACAGCAGCCUCUAACUUGUAAGCGACUAGUGAAUAUUAAAGUCUUAGGAGUAUGGCUACUGGAAACUGGAGUAAAAAAGAGAAAAAUGGCUACUAAAGACACCACUAUGCUAAUACCCUAUAAACUCCUAUUAACACCUUCAUGGGUGUUCUAUGCUAAGGCUAAUGCUUAACCUGGUGUCUUAAAGUCAGUCAGCCCUCGAAAAAGAACUUGAACACGCUUGGACUAAAUACACAAAAAAGGAGUAGCAACCAAAGAAAGGUGUAAAACGAAAAACAAAUCCCUUCAUGUGCAUGGUGAAGUGCUCAAGUGAGAUGAAGGGGUAGUGAGCUGAAACGCCCACUUCAGAUUUGUUUUAUAUACAAUAUCUGGGUUCAAGCCCAUAAUUGGUGGAGCUGGUACCACCAUCCUGACCAAAUUUCCAUAGUCUUCAUUCCAACUUUUUGUUGGUUGGGGAAAAAAGGAAAAUAACUCUACUUCUAUUAGCAACAAAUGUAUCUCGUAGUUGCAACUCAGAGAGAAUAGCAAAAUGUUAUAAAGUAAAUAUAUGCUCAAGGGUAAACGCGCGUCGGGGUUCGGCUCAGAAAAUCACUCAUGUCGGCUUCCUCAAUACUUCAGAGUUGUUAAAACUCCCCCUUGAUGGCACUUUACCGUUUGAGCAGAUGACAUUCAUAGGAGACUGGAGUGCAGCCGUUUUUUUUCUGAGCCAGAAUUACCUGAUUAGAAUUACCUGAUUUACGAUAGGCGCUACCUUGAUUCUAUGUGUUAAGCUUAAACUUAUGAUAUGUGCCCCUGAAGGCACACAGAGACAGCAAGUGUACUGUAUCUUAGACACUUAUUACCUUGAAGGCACAGCAUAGGUAUUUACUCUCUCUCAGACAGCUAGCUAUAUGGGCUGCAUAGUCAGUACCAUAGGUAAGAAUAGAAAAAGGGAAGAGUCUGCGCUGACUCAAUUGAGCAGCAACCCUGAAAGGGAAUCCCUCACAAAACCCUUAUAAGGCAAGAAGAUACAGAAAAAGGAGUUGAGGGCUGCGCUUUACAAAGAAUAAGUAAAAGAGUAAAAAUAAAUAAAGGUAAAAACCAAUGAGUUCAUCCAAAUAUAAAAGAAAUAUAAGUUAAAACAAUCUCACUGAUGUGCAGUAAUAUAAUAUAAGUCCUCAAGUGUCACUCCGUCCUUAUGGUAGGUGGUCCAUAUAUGUGAAGACAAAAAUAAGAAAAAAAGCUUCCAAUGGUGAAAUAUUGUAUGUCCAAAGUGUGAUAUAUAUUCAAAGGAAAGGUAUUUCACUCACAUUUGUUGGAGCUUUAACCAGCUCUCGGAGAAGAGGCACUUAGUGGUUUGAUCCCCACUAUCGGAUAUACUAAACGGUUGGUCCGUCCGUCCGGUUUGAGGAUUCUUUGGUGUAGGCUAGGACCUACUCAGAUGUGCAAUAUUCGUUAUGCUGGGGAGAUGGGUCCGCCUUUCCGGUAUUAGAUGGUAGAUGUCCACGAGAUAUAUAAAACAGCAGAUAGUGCUCUCAGUUUGAACAACACAGUAAUAUGUAUAAAUAAGUUAUACUUACAAAAAUAGAGCAGACAGAUACUGCUCUAUUGCCACAGCGCUGGUGGAAUUAUCCCCACCUCAGGAUUUCUUUAGACGGGAUACACUCCAGUAAUAAAAAAUAAUAAAAUAAUACAAUAGUAAUGUAGAAAUAAAGUAAAAUAAAAAUAAUGGAGUAAUUUUAAAAAUAAUAAUAUAUUAUAAAAAUAUUAUAAAAAAAUGCCAGGAGUAAAAAAUAAAUAAAAGUGUAUGAAGUGCAAUAAAAUAAGUAUAAAAUUGGUCCUAUAGUAAAGGGUAACCAAAAAUAACUUUUAUUGACUAAAAUACACUUAUUACAACCAUUUACGCGUUUCACCUUUAGGGUUUUCUCAAAAUGGUAAAAGAUUUUAUAAUAUAUUAUUAUUUUUAAAAUUACUCCAUUAUUUUUAUUUUACUUUAUUUCUACAUUACUAUUGUAUUAUUUUAUUAUUUAUUAUUUUUUUUAUUACUGGAGUGUAUCCCAUCUAAAGAAAUCCUGAGGUGGGGAUAAUUCCACCAGCGCUGUGGCAAUAGAGCAGUAUCUGUCUGCUCUAUUUUUGUAAGUAUAACUUAUUUAUACAUAUUACUGUGUGUGUUUUUUAAACUUGAAUUUUCAAGUGAGCCCAGCUACAGUUUUAUGGAGACAUUUGCAGCUCUCUGGUAAUUUAGAAAUUCUGGCAAGAAUGAUUUGUUAAGGAAUUCAGGUGAUGACAAUAGAAACAUGGGCUUACUUAAUUCUAUUCUACUUACUUUACAGCUUUAUUCCAUCUGGACAAACUGUAUCCAAAAUUAAAGAUAAGAUUUAUUGUAAAACAUUUUGCUCAUAAAUAAUGGUAUGUACUGAAAUACAAUUAGCAUUAUUUCCUUCUUUUUAAACUCUGUUUAUUUUUGAUGAUGCAGACAACCUGUUUUAGAAGUCUGCUAUAUCAUUUUACUCCAACAACAUCUUCAGUUUUUCUAAUUUGUCUGUUUUAACUUUAUACUUCAUUGCUAUCUUCAAAGUUCUGAAUGCUUAUUGUGAUGCAAUCAUCUUUUUAAGCUUAGUUUUGUUUGUCCCCUUUUGACUAUGAACUUGCCGACAAACCUAAAAGCUUGUUGUUUGCUACCCAAGACACUGAUAUGUAAAUAUGUGCAGAUGUGACACUUUUUAAACCAUAUUAAGUCUGGAAUCUGACUGAAUCUUGAAGUGUUCAGUCCAGUGAUCAAGGUGAAGAACAGAUGCUGUGAUUCAUAACUGCAGAAUGUCCAGUAGACCGGAGUAAGACAUGUUACCACUCCAUCGUGUAUGUGGCUUCUUAUAGUGGCAAUGUUUCCGGCACUAAUGACUUUCUUAACAUUGUGGUUUUUAACAUUUUUGUCUAAUACGCCUUACAUUUGAAUACCUCUUCCUAUACAUGUGCAUUUCGAGAUUUUAAAGCACGUCAAUUUAGGAAGCAAAUGAUCAACUCCAAACGCAAAAAUAUUUGCAACAGCAAUAAAAAACUAUCAACAAAGAUGUAGACCCCAUAUUAUAUAUUUACUAUUUCUGUCAAUGUAGUAGUACCUCUCUUUAUGGUACCUCUAGAAAAAGGCAGAACAAGACAAAGUGGCUGUAGAGCAGAGAUUUUUUUAUUAGUUCCUUUUACAGGUAACCUAAGUCCCUUAGAUCCUUCAGAUACCUUUUUUUUUAAAUUGCAGUCAAUGUGAAAACAUAUCUAAAAUAUACAGAACAUCUUUAGUAAGGUAGCUAGUUACCAAGCAGAAUUCAUUUCUCAGGAGGCCCAGGCCUUGGCAUAGUCUAUAAGGCUUUUCUCGAGUGACCCUUCACAUAAUGAGGUGACACUGACAUUAUAAAGUCCUUUAAUAAGCUUCCAUGAAACACCUGUGAAGAUUAAUUAGUACUCUUAUUAACCCCUUAAGGACACAACUUCUGAAUAACAUAGCAUCACAACGGAAUAUUUCCGUCAUGUGUCAUUGAGGGGUUAAAUGACUACAUAAUAGGCAAAUCAAUUUAGAAUGCUACCUCUCCACUUCUGAUUUGGAUCAUAUUUAACUCAUUGGAGACUUUUAAUAGUGAAAUAUUUGUACAACCCUUUGGUUGGAAAGGAUUAGGGUUUCUGUGUAAUGAUGUAAGUGGCGAGCUGCCUCAUAAAGAGCCAAAGUGUUUUAGAUAGUGUGCAGGUCUGGUGAAGAUAUUUAACCCCUUAAAGGACCACUCUAGGCACCCAGACCAUUUCAGCUUAAUGAAGUGGUCUGUGUCCCAGGUCCAGCUAGGGUUAACCCUUUUUUUUAAUAAACAUAGCAGUUUCAGAGAAACUGCUAUGUUUAUAAAUGGGUUAAUCCAGCCUCUAAAGCAUCUAGUGGCUGUCUCAUUGACAGCCGCUAGAGGCGUUUUCGUGCUUCUCACUGUGAAAAUCAUAUUAUUAAUUCAAAAAAUCAAUUAUAAAUGCUUUCCUAUGAGACUGGCUGAAUGUGCGCGCAGCUCCUGCCGUGCAUGCACAUUCAGCUGAAGAGGAGGAGAGCUCCCCGCCCGGCGCUGGAGAAAGGUGAGUGUUUAACCCCUUCGUCUCCCCAGAGCCCGGCGGGAGGGGGUCCCUGAGGGUGGGGGCACCCUCAGGGCACUAUAGUGCCAGGAAAACGAGUAUGUUUUCCUGGCACUAUAGUUGUUCUUUAAGGACCAAACUUCUGGAAUAGAAGGGAAUCAUGACAUGUCACACAUGUCAUGUGUCCUUAAGUGGUUAAAAGGUAAAAUGUUUCUUUACUGCUUGUUUGAAUAGCAUUGAAAACUGGAGAUGACACUAUCCAAUUUCAGUGAUUUCUAUUUUCUCAGCCUUUCUUAUGUCUUAUCUCCAGAGACUGGCCCUCCCUUUCUGGAGCACCCUGUAGGAUGUAUUCCCCCUUUUUAGUGUGUGAAUUAUACUCUUGUUUCCGUGCAAACAACUAAUGUAAAGGCAAUGAAACAAUCCCUAGUUAUUAAUAAGUACAGUUAAGUAUUGCUUAGUAGGAUUUUGUUGUUGCCAUCUUUGGAAAUGAACUGCAUAUGAAUGCUGUACAUAAAGCAAUGUAAUCUGGAUAAGGCAUAUGACUUUUCAAUGUAAAGACUUUAUUUCAUACUAUGUAGAGUGCAGACCAUGUGUAUUUGUGUUAUAUCAGUUUUUAUUGAUAACAGUUCAGGAAAGAGUUUUCACACGCAGGGGAUGCAGUAUACAUGCAAUAAACGGUAUAUAUAGCAGUGAAAGUUAAGCAGUGUUAAAGGCUUAUGCAAAGGCUUUCGAUUUGGUAGAGCAGUUAAGGCUAUGGUGCAGUUAGCAUGGGACAUGGUUACCGCGGUUAAUGUGGUUUAUUCAUAUUGGUAAUGAGUAUAGGCGUUUAUGAGCAUCGUGGCUGCCUAUGAUUGGAAUAUGUAGCUUAGGGUUGGUUGUUCGUCUGUGACUUGUCAUCCGUUUCCAGGGAUUGUGUAGGGUGGGAGGUGUGGGUCCAUUUCCAUGGAGUAUAUCGGAGAGCUCCCGUCAGGGGUCGUCUACUAUUUGUCUGGUUCUGUGUCAGGGUAGUGGGCUGGGCCCUGGUUGGAGGGUCAGGUGUGAAAAGGUGGAUGGGAAAGAGAGGGAGGGAGAGAGGGUGAGAAGAAGAAGUAGAAGAAGAGAUGGGAAAAAAAGACCCCUCCAGUUUUGCCCCGGUCACUGCCCCAGCCCUCCGUGCCAUGAGGGCUCCCUCAGGGGUAUCUCUUUGGGUGUCCCUCAUCUGCCCUCCGACUGUUCAAGUAGUAGCCAGGAGUUGGACCAUGUGUAUUUGCUUUGAAAUAAAAGUAAUAAAUAUAAAAAAGUCCAGUGAAAAACAAAAAAAUUUCUUUAAUUACUAAGAUAAUGCAUAUUUAAUAAUGUCAUGCAGUUUGUUUUUGCUUAGACAUAAUUUAUGCUUCCCACAUUCUGAAAGGAUUUGGAUAUAAACCUCGUAUAUUAUUAAAGAAGAUGUUUUCUAUGGAAUUAUCAUACAAUAGACAUAAUAUGCAUUGACACAUUUUCAGCUGCUGAAGUUUUUGGUCCUGUGGCUUUACAGUACAGUAGCCCUUUAGUUUCGGUGAUGCUGUUAGUAUAUAAAUUCUCUCCUUUGGAAGUGUUGGUCAAAUAUAUCAGGGUUUUGCCCAUAUUUGGUUUUGCCAAGACUUUAUAUAUAUUUUAAAAUGUACCCUUUACUUAAAGGAAAAAUGAAAUUUUUUUUUGCAUUGCUAUGUAUAAUUUUAUAACGAGCUAAUAACUCUGCUUGGUUUCCUUGAUUUGUGGGGGCCGCCAUUUAUAUUCCUCUUUGGUUAGAGGCACUACCUAUCUGUUAAAACUAUGCAAAGUUGUUUUCCUGGCACUAGAGCACCCUAUAGUGCCCACCUUCCUCCCCUUGGUGCAGAAGGGGUUAUAAACCCCUUCUGUCACGUAACUGAGUCCAGUGCCAAUGUCUUUUGGCUCUGGGUUGGACUCCGCCUCUGCUACUAAUGUGCGUGCAUGCAUGCUAAUGGCUGCACUCACAUUAAGACUUCCCCCAUAGGAAAGAAUUACACAAUGAUUAUGCAAUGCUUUCCUAUGGGGUUUUGGGUGACGCUGGACAUCUUUAUGCAUAGCGUAAGGACAUCCAGCAUCAGUUAGGGUAGACAGCCACUAGAGUUGGAGUUAACCCUGGAUAGUAAUUAUUGCAGUUUCACAUUAACUGAAAUUGUUACUAUUGCAGGGUUAAGGGACCUGGAAAUAUGCACCCAGACCUCUUCAAUGAGCUGAAGUGGUCUGGGUGCCUAUAGUGUUCCAUUAACUGUCCUGCAAGUUGUUUUCCUGGCACUAUAGCUCCCUUUAGUGCCCCUUCUGUCCCCAUGGUGCAGAAGUUGUUAAAAACUCCUUCUGUCAUAUACCUGGAUCCAGCGCCAAUGUCCAACAAAAUGAAGAUAAUGCAGACGUCACAAGUCUCCCAGAAGUUCCGGGUCUUGAAUGUGACUCCUUUACACCCGCAAAUAAUAUCCAAUAUACAGGAAAUCCCAUUCACUCUAAAAUACAAUGUUUUUUAGAUUGUAUGUGAUUUCUUGGAUAUUGUAUAUCCAAGACCAUGCCCCUAAUAUCAGCAGGGAGGGAGGGACAACCCCUCACUUUCUCCCAGCUUAAAAGAUAGCCAAUUACAUGGCGGCAAAGAGGAGCCUGUAGUGAGCUGUUUCUGCAUGCUCACUCCCAACAGCCUCAGCCAGGACCAGAAGACUGAGCAAGCCACCCUCCUAGACACAAAGCUAACAGGAGGGUGACUGCAAAUAACUUGUGAUGGAGCUCCUGGAGUUCGACUGAGUACCUCCGUUCAAUCCUAUUUCUAUUCAUUGGUGUGACAGCCUGGAAUGCUUCAACCCCAGUUUCCGAAGCUUAACUGCUGUCUCUCUGGAGCUUUUCCACCCGAUCGGGCUGCAGCUCUCCUUCCAGGCAGGUAUCGUCCCUUCUGCUUAUUCGGCUGCAGCCCUUCUUCCAGGCAGGUAUCGUCCCCUCUGCCUAUUCCUCUGCAGCUCUGCUUAUAGUGCUUGCUAUUGCCUUUAUAAAGGCACUUGCAGCUCUCAGACCUAGCUGAGUGUGUAUGUGUGCCAGUGUGUGUAUGUUCAGGUGUGUAUAUGAGUGUAUGUUCCAGUGUGUUUAUCUGUGUGCCAGUGUGUGUAUCUAAGUGUGUCAGUGUGUGUAUCUGAGUUUGUUUUGAAAUAUGUGUAUAUGUGUGUGGUGUGUAUCUGAGUGUGUGUUUGUAUGUGCCAGUGUGUGUAUCUGCGUGUCAAGGUGUUCAUACAUGUUUGGUGGAUGUGUGUGUGGGGUGGAGGGGUUGGAACAGAAGCAGGUUCAUCCACCUCCCCGAAAUGCAGUUUUGCAUGUUGGAAUGUCUGAUUAUGAACAUACAAUACAGUGAAUAUAAAAAGGCAGGAAAAGCAAAGCAUUAACAAACUAAAGCCAGUAACAGGUUAGAUUAUCAGCCAGUGGGAAGAAAGUCAGGAAAACUAUGUAACUGGUAACUAUCAAACAAUGGCAACAACUUGGGUUCAGGCAGGUAAUGGAGAAGAGAUCCGCCAAUACAGCAGCCACUAUAUGAAUAACACACAUAAACAGAAGAGGAACCACUGCAAAGCAUGUACAAAUGAGAGCCAGAUUGCAGCAGCAAAUUCUUGGGGAAAUUGUAUUGCAACAUAAAAUAAUUGUGUUGCAUGUAUCAGAUGGACCACACCAAGUCUUUAAAACUUUCACAUGUGUGCUAGAUAGUGAAGGAGAUUAUCAGCACAAUACAGACAGUCUCAGUACUCUGGUGAGGUAGACUGCCAAGCACAAUGGGGCUGUGAUGGAACAUGGUGAGAAGAUACUGCCAAAGCAGCAGAGAGUUCAGUGUGGGUUCUGGAGACAGAUGGAUAGAUAAAAGGAACCGAUUCCUGCAAACUUGACAGUCUGGCUUUUAAAGCUGUAUGGUCCCAUAAACUUUGUUUCCAAUCCCAGUAAAAUUCCCAAUGGAUGUAUAACAGUACAUGGAAUAACUGACUGGAGACAGAGAAACACCAACUAGUCAUACCUGCUGAUUAGCUGACACAAGAGUUCCAUGUCACAUUCUGCCUAAAAAAGACUAUUGACCUUCAUAUAUCCUGCUUUAUGUUUUUACAGAGGCAUACAUUGCUCUCCAAGAUAUACCCAUAUAUAUAAAUAUAUCCAAAAUGUACCUAUUUUUAUAACCCAGCUCUAAGUAUAACCCAUUACAUAAACAACCAUGUGCUUUAUCUGUCUUCACAACAGUCUCUAAAACUGACUACUCUAACAGCUCAUCAAAUAUUAUUGUAAUCUCUAGAAAAAUGACUUCCUUUCCAGUUUUAUACAUUCAGUAAUGUAACACUUUUCAAAUUUCUUCCCUCACUUUUAUGUGUUGAAUAAAGAGUUAUUUCACUUAAAAUUGCUCACUGACACUGUUAUUUAUAAACUAUGCCAUUGAGAAUUUAGCUAUGAAUCCGGUUCUCUUUCCCUAGGGAUAGGGAAAACUGGUGGAAACCAACUUUCCCAGGGCCCAAACCCACAAUCCCCAAACAAACACUCUCAGAUGCCUUGCAUGCGAUACAAAAUUUCCUACAUGACGACAAACCUAGCCAUUUCUAGACAUGUGCAAUUUGUUUCGGUCCGAAUAUGAAUUUGGACGAAUUUCAGGAAAUUCGGACAUUCGGGUACUUCCAAAUGUCCGAAGUGCCGAAUUGCCGAGGUCCCGAAGUUCCGAAAUUACCGAAUUUCCAAAGUGUCGAAGUUCCGAAGUGUCGAAGUGUCGAAGUGCCGAAGCACAGUAUUGCCUAAGUACUAAUAUACUUACCCAGUGAAAGAAGGAGAAUUGUAUACAAUUUUAAAUAAAAAGUAUAGAAACAUAGCCAGGAUUCAGCUGUAAGCAUUUGCAACACUUACAACAAUCAAGUAACAUACAUUCAUAUAAAAUGUAAGUUACUUAGCCAGUCAGUGUAAUGACAGGAAUGAAUAAGUAGAUAACUCACUAAUUCCCACGGUAUUAGGGAGCUAUCUACUAAAAGGCUGAAAGACCUAAAUUGGUCUUUCAGCCAAAUUUACUAAUACUAAGUAAAGAUUACGUAGUAUUCAUAAAUUAUGCCCCUACUCGCUAUACCGUGAGUAGGGGCAUGUCUGUUAAACAGUGAGCAGCCUGUUUAACAUAAUUUACGGGGCAUAAUUUACGAAUACUAAGUAAUCUUUACUUAGUAUUAGUAAAUUUGGCUGAAAGACCAAUUUAGGUCUUUCAGCCUUUUAGGUCCCCCCCUUAUUAGUAUUUAGGGCCCCCUCCCGCCACUCAGGNNNNNNNNNNNNNNNNNNNNNNNNNNNNNNNNNNNNNNNNNNNNNNNNNNNNNNNNNNNNNNNNNNNNNNNNNNNNNNNNNNNNNNNNNNNNNNNNNNNNCAGCCACAAAUUACCUGCGAUGAAUUAUUCAAAUCACUAUUCAGGAGUAGAGUUGACCGAACCCAAACUGAAAAGUUCGGGUUCGUACCGAACAUUACGUUUUUUGNNNNNNNNNNNNNNNNNNNNNNNNNNNNNNNNNNNNNNNNNNNNNNNNNNNNNNNNNNNNNNNNNNNNNNNNNNNNNNNNNNNNNNNNNNNNNNNNNNNNGACCCCGGACUCGAACACGGACAUUUCAGUGUAUGUUCGGGUUGGAGUUCGGUGUUCGGCGAUUUAAUGCACGUUUUGAAAGGCUGCAGGGCAGCCAAUCAACAAGCGUUUGACUCGUGUGCCCUUAGAAGCCAUCACAGCUAUGCCUACUAAUGGCAUGGCUAUGAUUGGCCAGUGCAGUAUGUGAGCCAUAGACAUAGUAUACAUGGACGCCACAUUGACUGCUGAGCGGCGAGAAAUACACACAGAUAAAGAGAUAUCAACUGCCACAAAGGGAUAAUGAGAAUGGCCGUACUCAGUCAGGGCAGGGAUAAUGGGAAUGGCAGUUCUCAGUUAGUGCAGAGCAGGGAUAAUGGGAAUGGUAGUACUCAGUCAGUGCAGGGAUAAUGGGAAUGGUAGUACUCAGUUAGUGCAAAGCAGGGACAAUGGGAAUGGUAGUACUCAAUUAGUGCAACGCAGGGAUAAUGAGAAUGGUAGUACACAGUCAGGGUAGGGAUAAUGGGAAUGGUAGUACUCAGUUAGUGCAAAGCAGGGAUAAUGAGAAUGGUAGUACACAGUUAGGGCAGGGAUAAUGAGAAUGGUAGUACUCAGUGCAGAGCAGGGAUAAUUUGAAUGGUAGUACUCAGUCAGUGCAGAGCAGGGAUAAUGGGAAUGGUAGUAUUCAGUCAGUGCAGGGAUAAUGGGAAUGGUAGUACUCUGUUAGUGCAAAGCAGGGAUAAUGAGAAUGGUAGUACACAGUCAGGGCAGGGAUAGUGGGAAUGGUAGUACUCAGUGCAGAGCAGGUAUAAUGGGAAUGGUAGUACUCAGUCAGUGCAGGGAUAAUGGGAAUGGUAGUACUCAGUCAGUGCAGGGAUAAUAGGAAUGGUAGUACUCAGUUAGUGCAGGGAUAAUGGGAAUGGUAGUACUCAGUCAGUGCAGGGAUAACGGGAAUGGAAGUACUCAGUGCAGAGCAGGGAUAAUGGGAAUGGCAGUACUCAGUGCAGGGAUAAUGGGAAUGGUAGUACUCAGUCAGUGCAGGGAUAAUGGGAAUGGUAGUAUUCAGUGCAGAGCAGGGAUCAUGGGAAUGGCAGUACUCCGUUAGUGCAGGGAUAAUGGGAAUGGUAGUACUGAGUCAGUGCAGGGAUAAUGGGAAUGGUAGUACUCAGUGCAGAGCAGGGAUAAUGGGAAUGGUAGUACUCAGUUAGGGGCAGGGAUGUAUUUACCACAAGGCAAACAAUGAAUUUGCCUAGGGUGACACUUUCAGGGGGGCGCAAAAAAUGCCACCCCAAGCUCCCAGACAAAUGCCUUGUUUGCCUUGUGUUCUGGGGACACACCUUACUGUGAGUGAGUGAGUGUAGCUGCCAGUGUGUGUUUGUGAGUGAGAAUGGGUGAGAAUGGGUGUGCCUGUGAGUGUGUGUCAGUAUGUGUAUGCCAUUUUAUGUGUAUCUGAGAAUGUGUGCCUGUCAGUGAGCUGGUGUGUCAGUGUGUGUCUGUCAGUGAAAGUGUUGGUUAAACAGUGUGUUCCAAUGACUGUAUGUAUGUGGCAAUGACUGUGUAUCUGUCAGUGAGUGUACAUCAGUGCAUGUAUCAAUGAAGGCAUGUGUCUGUCAGUCAAAAAAAUGGCCUUGACACAAAUUGGGGGGGGCAAAUUUAGAUUUUGGGGGUGCCCGAAUUUAGUCGUGCCUGGGGCAGCACAAAUCCAAAAUAUACCACUGGUUAGGGGGCCCUAAAUAACAAUGAGGGGGGGACCUUAGGAGGGCCAGGGGGGAGGACAAUAGCUUCCCCCCCUUAUUCUAAUUUAGGGCCCCCACCCGCCACGCAGGGGUGGGGGCAGGGGGGAGGACAGCAGGUCCCCCCCCUCAUUGUUAUGUAGAGCCCCCACCCACCGCGCAGGGGUGAGGGCCGGGGGGGGAGGACAGGACUGCUCACUGUUUACUAGACACACCCCUACUCGCGGUAUAGCGAGUAGGGGCUGAAUUUACUAAUACUAAGUAAUAUUUACUUAGUAUUAGUAAAUGUGGCUAAAAGACCAAUUUAGGACUUUCAGCCUUUUGGUAGAUAGCUCCCUAAUAGGGAGUUAUCUACUAAGCGGCUGCUUAUUUUAUGUUAUUUUAAGUUAUUUGUAAGUGAUUUCCCUAUCCACAUUUGUUUGCAGGGCAUUUGUCCUACUCUUACCCCCAUUUUACUUCCUUUUGCAGCCCUGUAGCCCUUUCCAGGACUUUUUUAGAGGCAUUUUAGUGCCCAAAAGUUCGGGUCCCUAUUGACUUCAAUAGGGUUUGGGUUCGGGGUCAAGUUCGAGCCGAUCUCGAACUUUUUGACGAAGUUGGGCCGAACUUGGUGAACCCGAACAUCCAGGUGUCUAUAAUAACUCUAUUCAGGAGCAGUAUUUGUAUAAUUCCUGUUAACAUGUGGUUUUGCUGUUGUUUACAGUUCUUGCUUGCACUAAUUUAUNNNNNNNNNNNNNNNNNNNNNNNNNNNNNNNNNNNNNNNNNNNNNNNNNNNNNNNNNNNNNNNNNNNNNNNNNNNNNNNNNNNNNNNNNNNNNNNNNNNNGCUGAGAUCAUCAAACUUGGUGAUCUCACGCAAUCUAAUGCUUUCCCAUAAGAAAGCAUUGGGAGGCUAUUGCGCAUGUGCAACAAAACUGCAAUGCGCCAAUCAACAUCUCCUCAUAGAAAUGCAUUGAAUCAAUGUGUCCCUAUGAGGAAUGUUUAGCGACUUCAUGCAGAGUGUGGGACAUUUUUACGCACUGAACUAGGAAGCAUCUCUAGUGACUGUCUGAGUGAUGGCCACCAGAGGUAUUCCUAGGCAGGAAUAAAAAUGUAGUGUUUACAUUACAAAAAAUCUGCAGGGACUGGCUAUACACACCAGAACACUAUGGUAAGCUGCAGUUGUUCUAAUAACUAUAGUGUCCCUUUAAUUUUCAUUCCUUCUAUGACAUUGUGUAACUUUGCAAUGUCAUUAUAAUUCCAGUGGCCUAUAAUUUCAUGCCAAGUUUGAAUAGCGUGUCUAGAUAGUAAAGUGUAUUGUAUUUUUGAAUUAUGAUUUUUUUUCCAUUUUUGCAAAUUAAUUAAAUUAUGCUUUGUUUAAAGUUAAUUGAUUCUUCAUGACUUAUCUUUAAACUGUAAAUCUUUGCAUCACCUCUAUUCAGUGUCACACCUGAUGUCUUUUCCCCAUAUGUUAGAUCUAUGAUCUGUUAGACCUGUGAGAAUUUUCUUGCCUAAAGGUAUCAUCAAUGCUUUGAAUUUUCUUAUGUUAAUUAUUAUGUGGGAUAUUGCCUCAUGUGUCAACCUUUUGGUAUUAUCCUAUCAAGUUUGUAAUCUUUUAUCUUGAAAAAAAUCUAUUUUGUCUAUUAUCAUAAUUAUGAUACUGUUGCUGCUUGUUCAACUGUGUUUUUUGGCACCUACAUUCUGCAUAUCUAUGUGUAGUGCUGUUGCAGAAGUUACACCACAGUGAUUGUCUGCCAUUUUGACAGAGCACACACUGGCUCUGUGCCUUCAUUGGCCCAAUUAUGACAAGUACCGUAUUUUUCCGUGGAUAAGAUGCCUCCAUGUAUAAGACAACCCCUAUUUUUUGAGCCCAAAAUUAAGAAAUCAAUAUUUUAAAUGUCAAAUAGAACAACUUGGAUAUACCACUACGGCCUGCCGGAUGGUGGGUCUCUCCCAGUGGCCCUGCUGGGGGCGCCCUCCGGUCUGGGUCAUGGGAAUUUAUUGCCCAAAAAGGAGCCUCAGGGCGGGGGCGCCUGGGGUGGGGCCAGGGUCGCACCCACGCCCCGUUGGGAUGGCGUUACGACUGCAGACUACACACAUGAGGAGGUAUCCCUCCCUAGGGAGAGAGCAGUGGGUGGACCUAUGUCCCUUACUCUCCCCUCCCCUCCCAUCUUCGUGACCCUUCACCCUAACCCUGCCUGUAGAUGCUUCUAUGUGGAUAAAAUACUGUCAUUCAGGGGUACCCCAUGGGAAGGCAGAUACCAUAUAGUAGUUUGUCUAUAGGUGAUUGUCACUAAUAAUGGAUACUGUACCAAUAUAUUUAACCUGCCACUGUAAUCAUUAUUUGCAAAGUAAUGUAUGGUACAAGAUGUCCUGAAGUAAUUUUUUAUUAUUUUAUUUUUUGUGGGUGAUACUGAGAUAUGUAACAUGGUUGAUGUUCCAGGAGGGAUACGAAAAAUGGCAAAUGAUUUAGGUAAACUAGAAAAAUGGUCAGAGUUGUGGCAACUGACAUUUAAUGUGGAUAAGUGCAAGAUAAUGCAUCUUGGAUGUAAAAACCCAAGGGAAGAGUACAGAAUAUUUGAUAGAGUCCUAACCUCAACAUCUGAGGAAAGGGAUUUAGGGGUGAUUAUUUCUGAUGACUUAAAGGUAGGCAGACAAUGUAAUAGAGCAGCAGGAAAUGCUAGCAGAAUGCUUGGUUGUAUAGGGAGAUGUAUUAGCAGUAGAAAGAGGGAAGUGCUCAUGCCAUUGUACAGAACACUGGUGAGACCUCACUUGGAGUAUUGUACGCAGUACUGGAGACCGUAUCUUCAGAAGGAUAUUGAUACCUUAGAGAGAGUUCAGAGAAGGGCUACUAAACUGGUUCGUGGAUUGCAGGAUAAAACUUACCAGGAAAGGUUAAAGGAUCUUAACAUGUAUAGCUUGGAAGAAAGACAAGACAGGAGGGAUAUGAUAGAAACAUUUAAAUACAUAAAGGGAAUCAACACAGUAAAGGAGGAGACUAUAUUUAAAAGAAGAAAAACUACCACAACAAGAGGACAUAGUCUUAAAUUAGAGGGACAAAGGUUUAAAAAUAAUAUCAGGAAGUAUUACUUUACUGAGAGGGUAGUGGAUGCAUGGAAUAGCCUUCCAGCUGAAGUGGUAGAGGUUAACACAGUAAAGGAGUUUAAGCAUGCGUGGGAUAGGCAUAAGGCUAUCCUAACUAUAAGAUAAGGCCAGGGACUAGUGAAAGUAUUUAGAAAAUUGGGCAGACUAGAUGGGCCGAAUGGUUCUUAUCUGCCGUCACAUUCUAUGUUUCUAUGUUUCUAUGGUACUCACUGGAUGAUGGAUAUAAAUGAAGAAGUUUAGAGACAGAAGAAUAGUUAAACAUUUUCUUUUUUUUUUUACUAAAAAGGAGGGGAAACUAGAGCGGUACUCUGGGUGUGCAAGAAUUGAACUCUCGGGGGGUGAGGACGACCGCAGCCUCGCCUGUCAGGCUCUUUUGAGGGAAGGCCGGUUGGGGUCACGGCUCGAGCCCACAAAGGAGCCAUGGCCAUUAGACUCUCGGGCGUAUGCUCUAGCAAUGCGGGAUGAGCGGCACAUCCUUCCGAAACCUAUAUGCAGCGCAGUUGGGUUAUGUUCAGUUAUUUCGAGGGAGAAGAAUCUCCGUGCCUACUCAGGCCUACCUAGGUGGUGAAUGGGGUGGACGGCUGCCGCCCUGCUAUCAUGUCUAUGUGCACAUUUUAGAGUGGCCUUUUAUUGUGGCCAGCCUAAGGCACACCUGUGCAAUAAUCAUACUAUCUAAUCAUCAUUUUGAUAUGCCACUCCUGUGAGGUGGAUGGCUUAUCUCGGCAAAGGAGAAGUGCUCACUAACACAGAUUUAGACAGAUUUGUGAACAAUAUUUGCAAGAAAUAGGCCUUUUGUGUUCAUAGAAAAAGUGUUAGCUCUUGAGUUCAGCUCAUGAAAAAUGGGGGCAAAAACAAAAGUGUUGAGUUUAUAAUUUUGUUCAGUGUAUUAUAAUUUAAAAAAUGUGCAGUGAUUCAGACAUGUGUUGUGCUGUUAUAGUUAAUACUUUCUGAUAAUACCCUCUGCAAUGUUUACGUUCAUCUGUGAACUACAAUGAGAAUAAUAAAAAUAAAAAAAGCAGACUUUUCCAUCAUCUUUUUGUAAUGUGAACUGCAAAUGACUAAGCUGAUGUGAAAAAACCCUGUAGUAUCAUUGCAAUUAAUAAUCCAUCUCAUGUGUUUCUCCCGAAUUUCUUAACAUUUCAAGGUUUGUCGCUGCAUUUAAAACAUAGUUCGUUACACUCUCAUUUUUGCCUUUCUGAAGGGACAUUAAUUAUGUACAUAAACUGACUAUUCUAGGCUUACCCUUGCCAACAUAAUAAUCUUUCACUCAUAGUAAGCACUUUCCGUCCAUCAUCAGUUGCCUCCCUCAUUAUUAAACACAGAAUUGUAUCAUCUAGAAAUGGAAUUUGUUCAGCAUAAGCUUCCUCAUUCUUACAUGUGUCUUCCUCAUCCAUGAUAUCAUCUAUCUUCUUUAAGAUUCACCAACUCCAGGUGGCGUAAGAUAACUCAUAGUUUUUUUUUACCUUUGUAGAAAUAUAGCUAGUUUAAUCUGUUUCCAGAUUCCCUUUUGGGCCCAUGACUUGUGGCAAUCUACAUGCUAUGGGUUUGAUAACCAGUUAAAUACACACAAAAUUAAGGACCAAAACCACAAACUGAGUUUAGUGCUUCACUGUUACACUGUUCACACUGUUCACAAUUACUUGUUGUAAUUGUACUGUUUGUCGACUUACAAUGAGAAAGAAAGGAAAUAAAUGGGGGGGGUGGGGAAGAAUGAAAGGAAAGAUCAUUAUAACUUGUCAUAUUGUGUGUGUGUGUGUUUUUUUUUUUUAAAUAACAGAUGAAAAUAGUGUAAAACACUUUGUAUUGGAUUAACAGAAUUAUGUGAAAGCUUUUGGGAGCUUUUAGAAAUGCUUUAGACAUGAGAAAAGGGGUAUCUGAAAGCUUGUUGUUCCAAAAUUCUGUUAUUCCAAUAAAAGGGGUAUUACAAGAUUCUAUUUUCAUCUGUUACUUUACAUCAGCUAUUUAUUGAAAUAUGACUGUAACGGAGCUUCCCGUACUCCGACCGAGUACCCUCCGUUGAUGGACGCUUCCUAGCUUGCGCCGAGGACCACAAGCACCGCACCGGACACCACAAACGCCGUAGCUUAACUGGAGUCUCGCCGUCUUCUGUCCACCCUGGAUCAGCUUCUGUCCUCCUGGACCGUGUGGGGAAGACCUCUUCUCCAGGAGAACGUAACAGGAACAGCUCUUAAAAGAGCUAAGUGAUUAAAAGCUCAAGGGAGAAUGCAGAGCAUAGCAAGCCCCAAUGUGAUUAUAACAGCUCCCUCCAAUAACGAGACAAAGCUACAUUUAGAGGGAUCAAGAAGAACUGUCUAAACUUUUAUUUUACUUGGGCUAGCCCAUAUUGUCAUUACAUUAACAUUGCUGUGAAAACUCAAUAAAAUUACAAACAGUCAAAUCAUAGCAGGCAACAUACAGGGACUUAUUAUAAUACAAUGGCAUAUUUUUAAAGGUGUGGGGGAGACAAUAUUUAACAGAAAAUAUCUCACGUUUCUGCAGAAUUAGCAAUAUGCAAAUCUACCCGAAUAUGCAAAUGAACCAGUCUUGCUAUUCAGGUAGUGCAUAUUGCUGUUGCUACCAACAGAGGACACUAGACAAGCUCCAUAGCCAAAUCCACCUAGUUGGUAGCAAACCUCAGCAGUACAGGAGAGCAGGCAAUACAUUUCACAGUACACACACACUAUAAACAAUUACAUUACACACACCCUGCACCUAUAAUGGGCACAGGGUGACUUAAACAUAAGAGAAAUAAAGCAACCUACAUAAAUAGUCUGUCUGAAGGUAGAAUAGGGGCUUUAAAGCCAAAUACAUCAAAUAGUCAUAGUCACAGGGGAGGAGGCUGGCAAGCAGGCCUCUCCAGGACCAAGUGGCGAAGGGCACUUCGUCACAAUGACCCUUCCAAUUUCCAUAAUAAGGCACCUUUAACGGAGAUUUGUAUUUUGAGCAUCAAGUGGAAUAAUGGGGCUUUUCUAGAAGUUCUGCAUGUAAACAGGGGUCAAGUCCUGUGGAAAAAAGUGUGGGAACUCACCCAAGAUUCCCGCCUCACCCCCCUCCACCCCCCCUUAAAAAAAAAAAAAAUUACAUUCCUAUGCAUAUAGUGCAGUGCAGGGUGUGUAUAAUGAAUGUAGUGUGUUUGUAGUGAAUGCAGAGUAUGAAUAAUAAAUGUAGUGUGUUUGUAGUGAGUGCAGUGUGAAUAAUAAUUGUAGUGUAUUUGUAGUGAGUGCAGAGUGUGUAUAAUGAAUGCAGUGUGUUUUAGUGAGUGCAGAGUGUGUAUAAUGAAUGCAGUGUAUUUGUAGUGAGUGCAGUGUGUAUAAUGAAUGUAGUGUAUUUGUAGUGAGUGCAGUGUGUAUAAUAAAUGUAGUGUGUUUGUAGUGAGUGCAGUGUGUAUAAUAAAUGUAGUGUGUUGGUAGUGAGUGCAGUGUGCAUAGCGAAUGCAGUGUUUUUGUAGUGAGUGCAGAGUGUGUAUAGUGAAUGUAGUGUGUUUGUAGUGAGUGCAGAGUGUGUAUAAUGAAUGUAGUGUGUUUGUAGUAAGUGCAAAUUGUGUCUAAUGAAUUUAGUGUUUGUAGUGAGUGCAGAGUGUGUACAAUGAAUGCAGUGUAUCUAGUGUGUUUGUAGUGAAUGCAGAGUGUGUAUAGUGAAUGUAGUGUGUAGUGAGUGCAGAAUGUGUAUAAUGAAUGCAGAGUGUGUAUAGUGAAUGUAGUAUGUUUGUAGUGAGUGUAUAGUUAAUGUAGUGUGUUUGUAGUGAGUGAAGAGUGUGUAUAAUGAAUGCAGUGUGUGCGUGUGCUGGAUGAUGUGUGUGCUGGAUGAUGUGUGUGUGUGUGAGUGCUGGAUGAUGUGUGUGUGUGUGAGUGAGUGCUGGAUGAUGUGUGUGUGUGAAUGCUGGAUGAUGUGUGUGUGAGUGCUGGAUGAUGUGUGUGAGUGCUGGAUGAUGUGUGUGAGUGCUGGAUGAUGUGUGUGUGCUGAAUGAUGUGUGUGUGAGUGCUGAAUGAGUGUGUGUGUGAGUGCUGGAUGAUGUGUGUGUGUGUGCUGGAUGAUGGGUGUGUGUGGAUUGCAUGAUGUGUGUGUGUGGAGUGCUGGAUGAUGGGUGUGUGGUGAUGUGCUGGAUGAUGUGUGAUGAGUGCUGGAUGAUGUGUGAUGUGUGCUGGAUGAUGUGUGUGAGUGCUGGAUGAUGGGUGUGUGAGUGCUGGAUGAUGUGUGUGAGUGCUGGAUGAUGGGUGUGUGUGUGCUGGAUGAUGUGUGUGUGUGUGAGUGCUGGAUGAUGUGUGUGCUGGAUGAUGGUGUGUGAGUGCUGGAUGAUGGGUGUGUGUGAGUGCUGGAUGAUGGGUGUGUGAGUGUGCUGGAUGAUGGGUGUGUGUGUGCUGGAUGAUGUGUGUGUGCUGGAUGAUGUGUGUGUGUGCUGGAUGAUGGGUGUGUGUGUGCUGGAUGGUGGGUGUGUGAUGUGUGUGUGUGUGUGAUGAUGAUGGUGUGUGUGUGUGCUGGAUGAUGGGUGUGUGUGUGCUGGAUUAUGUGUGUGUGUGUGUGUGCUGGAUGAUGGGUGUGUGUGUGUGCUGGAUGAUGGGUGUGUGAGUGCUGGAUGAUGUGUGUGUGUGCUGGAUGAUGGGUGUGUGUGUGAGUGCUGGAUGAUGGGUGUGUGAGUGCUGGAUGAUGUGUGGGGGGUGGGGGGGGAAGCAUUUUUUUACUUUAUAUAUAAUAUUUAUUUUAUUCCCCCCUCCCUGCUUCUUAGUUUGUCAGGGAGGGGGGAGAUCGCCUGGUGGUCUGGUGGUCUGCUGGAGGGAGGCAGCCGCUGCACAGAGGGGCCAUCACACGCUGUGUUCCCUCUCCAGCUCUAACUCUCGCGAGACUCGCCUGUGCGGAGCAUUGCCAUGGUAACAGCCGCGGGUCUCGCGAGAGUUAUAGCUGGAGAGGGAACACAGCGUGUGAUGGCCCCUCUGUGCAGGUAGCAGGGCCGGUCCUGCAGGACAGGUAACGGGAACGGCGUUCCUGCUUUGGAAAAAGUGCAGGAACGCCGUUCCCAUGCGUUCCUGCAGGACUCGAGCCCUGCAUGUAAACCUCCAUGGAGAUUCUUAACAGCACUAUGGCAUGAUACAUUGACUGAGUGGCCUUCACAAUCUCAGGUAAUCUUCAGAAACCUCAGGAUUUGUGUUGACUUCCCUUUAUAUACUCAAAAUCAGUCUGCAUGUGUACGUUGUCCUGUUUGUCUAUAUAUAUUGAGGUAAAAAGUGUGAAACCACAGCAUCAGGGUACAGAAAGUAAGAGGGUUCCAGUUUUUAUAGCGUUACAAUAUAGCGAAUGUGAUACAAAGAGACAUAAUUCACCUUUGGUACUUUGUUCAUGUUAGGUUUGUUUUGCACUCAUGCUUGACUUGCGUCCCAGUAAGGAUGUAAUUUAGGACGAUUAAAAUACAAUUGUAGUUCUCAGUGUACAUCAGUUCGUAAUAUAUUGAUCUAAGCACCCGAGUACGUAACAUCUUUUUUUUCCUUUUAUUUCUUCUCUUAUCCGCUCCCCCGUCCCCCAUCUAUGUAUACCACCCCUCCACCCGUACCUCAGGUUUUCCAUAAGUAAGGAAAGGAGGGAAAACAUGUAGUAAGUAAACAUAAAAUUAAAGCAAGAAUGAGCAGGGAGAAAGGGAAUGAACUAGAACUGGUGGGUAGUUGUGCAGGUAUGCUAUCUAUUGGCACUAUGAUUUAAUCUAGUCAGUGUGGUCUCUAGAUAACUCUGUUGUAGUAGCGAUCGACUGUAGUAGGUGUCGCAACUCUCUAUUUUGCUUGGGCAGUAUGUGUCGUUAGUGUUGUUCGUGGGCCAUAACUUCAUAAUCGAAGUUCUGAGAAACUUGUCGUACAUGGGCAGAUCUUGUUGGUGUCAUUGUCAUUUUCAAUUCAUAAAGCAGAUGUGUUAGUGAUAUACGGGACAGCCUAACAGGUACUAUAUACCAUCUGUAUUGGAGUUUGCGCAUUAUCUCUAAAUGGGAAGUGCAGCUCGUUCUGCGUUUAUGCACUGCUCCACUGGUCAUUGGCAAAGGUUGUUCCCAGAUCUAAAUGCCCUGCUACCAUGUAUUUGUCAUGUGUCUGCAUUCUUCUUUUGUUCAGUAUAUUUUAUGUUGAGGAUAAUUAAUUUUUUUUGGAGAGCAGAAAUGUCUGCACAUCUGUUCAAAGUAUGAGAUUAUUGUUUCCCUACGUGUUUUAGUAGAUAUUUUAUUUGGAGAUAUGUGAACAUAGUAAAGUGAAGUGCAGACAAGUAAAGUGCUUAUUAGACAUCCAUGUGGGGGGUCCAACUGCAAUGAAGUGGAAUUUAGAAGCAGGUCCAGUCAUAAGGUUUUACCCUCUCAACAAUGUUAAUGCUUGGCUUUGAUUGACAGACAACCUUCUACUGGCGUUUUUUUUUAAAUCAAUAAUACGCUAGGAAUAUUUAAAUAUUAUGAAUCAAUUCCAAGAUAGCAACCUCCCACCUUCCAGUGGUACAGAUAUCUAAAUAUUCCUGUUUAAUGUCCAGGGACAUUCUAAGCACCAUAGCUAUGUCAUCCUAAUGCAGUGGAUCUGUUGCUCAGACAUGAGCACAACAUGAUGCCGCCAAAUGCUGUGAUUCUGAAUGCUUCUCAUAGAGAAACGCUAGAUUAUAUGUUUCUCUAUGAGAAGCAUCUGAUUGGAUGAGGCUGUCACACACCAAGCAUUACCUAUGCUACUCUGAGAAGAAUAGCAAAGAUCAACUGGACAGAUGAUAUCAGAAGAAGAGCAGCUGCUGGACACACAUUUUAUAUCAAGGGUUUGCACCAACAGUGAAACAGCUAUUGUAAGACUAACCCUUAUGAUAUAUCUCUCUUAAAACAUAAAAGGAUCAGGUCAGACUUGAUUAAAAACACAAGUUGAACAAAUCUACAGAUCCUUUGUGGGUGAGAAUUGUGAGAACACAUAAUAGGGAGAACUUGAGGCUCUUUCACAUGCUUUAUUAAGAGUAAAUGAAUGAACAAUGGAACUAAUGAAAUGUGAAGUCUAUAAGAUCUCACAAUUGAGACCCUUCAAUUUCUACCACUUUUCUCCAUCCUAAAUUGCCCCUGCAUUCUUAGAGACGGGACAGAAGGUAAAAUACAUAGAGGAAGUAGAAGGUCCAAAAAGACUGAUUUCAGAGAAACCAUUAGCUCUUGUUUUUUGGGUUUUUUUUUUUGUGUAGGAUAAAAUAAAAACUAAAAAAUAUAUUAGCAUCCUGCAGUAGUUUGUAUUCUCUGUAUUUACUCUGCAAAAUACUCUGCAUUUUUGGUACAUAAAAAAAAAAAAAAACAUGAAUAAAUAGUACGACAAAUAUCAAACUGGAUGUUCCUCUGUGCUCUGUGGAUCAGUCUGGCAGGGAUUGUAUCCAUGCAUCACUUUCCUAUUCAUUAUGAAACAAGACUUACUGAUAUUAUUUAAUUCAAAGAGCAAACAGCCUGUCUGGUAAACAUGGCUGACUUAGAUAACAGUUAUUCUCCCCUAAAACAGGCCUUAAUUAUUGCAAAACCAUCUGUGACAAGACCAAUCUUUUGACUAUGGACCGGCAUUUAAAUACUUUAUUUUCCUAUGCAGAAAGGUCUUUUCAUGUAUUUCUGCCCUGGCGUUCGGUAGAUUCUCGGAUUUACUGAAUUAACUAAUUUAACCCACAUAGCUAUGCCGUGGAGCCUAUUCGUGUAAUAAAAGACUUUGGCUCCAUGGCAAUUGAACUGUAUGUGUGGGGUCUGAGCGCCAUUCAGUAAUAAUGUGCGCUCACACCUAAGCUAUCUGGGGAUAUGUUGAAUGUACCUGUUUUAUGCAAUAGCUGCACAGUUAUAUAUUUUUAUGUAUUUUAUUGUCUUUUGCUGCCAUGUGUUCAAUGGAGUUUUGCCUCUGUCCUUGAAGAUAAUUGGAUUACUUCCCAAUUAUCUCCAGGAUAUAAGACUCUGUGGAACUGGUUUUGGGCAGAAAAGCCAUGCUUCAUUUGGUCACAAAGGACUAAGAUCUAUCUUUUGAACCACUGGACCAAUUUGUAUGAUUUUGACGUAUGUUUUUAUUUGGAGUAUGCUGAUUCUGAAAAUAAUUCUUUAUGUGAAUGUGAUGCAUACUUUUAAAAUUAUGAAUAAUGUGGAAAAACUAUAUGUCUGUGCCUGUGAUAAUUACAUUACCCAUUAUGUAAGGUAAUUGUAUCACAGGCAUAGGGGAGGAUUUUGUGUGGGAGUGUCUGAGUGUAUUGUACAUGUUUAUUGGUUGUUUUCCAAAACCCUGUGGGUGGUACUAUUGUGUAAGAAUGUAUAAAGUAGCAUAUAUAUGUAUAUAAGAACAAUAAACCCACAGCACUGUCUGUUCCUGCUUGACCCUCAAAACGGAGCCUUGUCUCGUUCUUGGAGGGAUUUAUUGUAUGCUGUUCCAGUUUGACUGCUAGGAGUAUAAACCUAUUCAUAUGGUUUUUCCUAUUCGGCUGUUUACAGCAUUCCUGUUCAGGUGGAUUGGUGUCUACAGUAGCUGCCUGUAUAUCUGGAAGGGGAAUAUCUACUAAACGGAUGUUAACCCCCUUUAUGCCUGGGGUGCCGUUACACCAUCAAUUGUCUGAUUACUGUUGCGUUGUUCUCUCAGAUAUUUUAAUUUUGUAUAAUUUUAUAUAGUCAGUAUUCCUGCACCUUAACCCUUGUAAUCGAUGUGAAUGUAGCAAAGCCCUUACAAUUACUGUUUAUGAAAAUCACAGACAAGGCCACUAACAAAUAGUAAGUUAAAUGCAGAAGGAGAGGAGGCGUUGGAGGUAGAGUACAUUAUCAAUCAAAGUCAGCUUUGAAUAUUAAUGUUAUAAUAAUAUAAUCCAGGGUGGUACAAAGGCUUCCUAAAUCACGUCACAUCAGUACUGAUGCACAUGUAGGGAACAUGUUGAAAAUUGUGAUAUGGUAAUGAAAUAUUAGCUGGUUAAUUAAUGAGGAGAUGCGAAAAAGACAUAGACCAGAGCAACAUGAGAAGAUCCACAGGAUUGGGGUGGCGAAGGAACACUAAGGGUAGACACAUGGCUAUUCAAAGAACUAGCAACUUCAUUACAGCAUAGAGUUUGGUCACCAUCAUUUGCUCACUCUUAGGUUAGGAGGCCAUAGGUAGAGAGAGUAAAAAGGGGUAAUGAAAAGAUGUUAAACCAUUAAUAAAAAAAUCUGCACAAUAUAUGAAUGGAUUUUUUAGAAGACAUUGCCAGAGAAAAAUGCACUCCCCAUCGCCCAAUUAGCGGGUAUAGGCUAUCCUACACUAUAUAUAAUGGGAUAGAAUGGUAAAAAGAGCUGCAAUACCACAUUAGCAUUCCAUUUAUAAAAAAAAAAGUUAUUUUCAGGAUGAGCUCUAAUCAAUAAAAUCUUUAAACAUUCUGCUAGCAAAUUUACUCACUGGGUGCAGCAGUGGUCAAGAGUACAGUUACAUGCUGGGGUUUGCACAGCAUUCCCGAUGAUGAUAUCACAUUACGUUAUUGUUACAAAAGAAAUUAUAUAUUGUACAGUAAUGUGAACCAGGAAAAAUGGCCAUUUGCAUCUCAGACUGAUGUCAGCCUGUAUUUUGGAUCUGCUCUGCCCUUUUGGGUGGAAUCAGUCUGAGAUGCAAAUGGCCAGGUUCUCUCUGUAACUGCACAACAUGAGCUAAAACCAGCUUGAGAAUUAAGCAGGGCCUUACUGAAGGGGAGGCCAAUUGAGCUGUUGUCCAAUCUCAGCACUCUCUUGCAACUGUUUUUUUUUUAAUAUAUAGAUAUUAUUGUUUUAAUGUAUUUGUAUGUUAAGGUCACAUGGGUGCAAUCAUGUUUGCUUGACUAUGAGGUAAACUACCUGUGAUUUUCAAGAUCCUCCAUCCUUAUAAAAGGAGAAGACAACAGGAAUUGGUACUUCACUUGAAAAAGCGUAUUUGUGAAGUGAAGCGCAUUUUGUGAGAGUUUUUAGCUGUAUUUUUAAUAGGUUUUUACUAUAAUAUUUUCACAAUAAACUCUUUGAUUAAUAUACAAUUUAUGGUAAAGUAAUUAUUUUAUAAUGUAUAUUUUUUUGCCUGGCUGCAUUGGAGGACCAUCAUCAUAUCCUCUGAACUGUGGGAACAUAUAUCCUUGGUGGGAAUUAUUUCACCUGUGCUGACUUUAUAGAGCAUUAUUUUACUUAUAUAUAUUUUUUUUUUAUUAUUAUUUUUUUUCAUUUAUUUAUAUUCAGAGUGUUGAAAUUACUGCACUAUUGUUGUCUCUUGUUCACGUUUUUUCUCUUUACAUAUCUCAUUGUGAUAGUUUGAAGACACUAGGGAGUUGUAAAUCCACAAGCAGGGAUUUACCACUGGAUACUGUGAUUAUUUCAGCUUGUAUUAAACUUGAUUAUAUGUGCGUGACCAUUCACUGUUAAUUGUAUAUCCAUCUCUUUGCUACUAAACAUACUACUAUUGGACUUCUCUCUUUCUUUUCCAUGACAUAAUGAGGUUGUCAAACAUUUAAGAAUCAAGAUACUACUGAAACUUCAAUUAUUUCCAAUCCAAUCCAGUAUACAGGAUGCCAAAAUACCAGAGUAUUGCGGUAUGCAAUGAUACCUUUUUUGUUGGACUAAGAUAAUUAAUCAUCAUCCAUGAGUUACAGAAUAUGCAUGAAGGCCUAUAACCAGCAAAUUGAUCAACAUUGGAGGGGAGGGGACAGAUUGAGAUCUCUGUCCCAAAGUGAAACCUUUUGGAUACAUAGAUUGCAGACACUAGAGCCGAGGGGAUUAAAUUUGGAGCUUUACUUGGUUUGCUUUCUGUAAAAUGCAACAUUGGUGUCAACAUGGAGAGAGACAAUUUGAAAUUCAAGAGGGAAAUUGACACUCAACAUAUAAAGUCCAUUAUUUUUAUUAUUUAUUUUUAUUUAUUUUGUAUCAUUUAUAUAUUCACAUUUUUUUAAUUAUUUUAAUAUUUUUUCAUUUAAUUAUUUUUUUUUAUUUUUAUUUAUUUACAUAUAUACUUUUUCAUAUUUAUAUAUAUUUAUUUUCAUUUUCUAUUACUAUUUAUUAUUUUUGGUAUUAAUAUAUAUUUUUUUCAUCUUUAUUUUCACAUUUAUAUUUACUUCAUACUUAUUUUUAUCUUUAUUUCAUUUUAUUUUUAUGUUUAUUUUUACUUUCAUUUUUAUUUUAUUUUAUUUUUAUCAUUAUUUAUUUAUUACCGAUAUAUUUAAUUUUAGAAUGAAUAAUUUUUGUCAUAAGGAGCCUAUUUUGGGGCUUAUUAUUUAUUAAAAACUUUUUUUGUAAAAAAAAAAAAAAUAAAUAAAAAUUUGUAAAGAAUUAUGGAUUAUUUCAAAGUGGACAAGUUCCUUACUCUAUGAAUUUCGAUUUGCCAUAAGGGGUCAUUGUGAUAAAAAAGUAAAAACACAAAAAAAUACACACAAUAGAUCAAGUAUAACUACGGUAUUUGCUCUGAUCCAAAUAACAAAGGUUUAAAAAAGUAAAAAUACUGUCGGCUAUUGAGUAAAUUCUUCUCUCUCUAAUAGAUAUUAAACUAUUCCGAGAUUGCUCUGUGAUUACAUGGACAAUAAAGUUUUGUGAACAUUUGGAACGCACAAAAUGGAUUGCAAGCCAGAAGUAUAGCAGCCACAUGGAGUUAUACACGACAGAGAUUAAGAAGAUUACGAUCAGUGGUGUGAAGGAGAAACAAGCUUCAGUGAUUAGUAAAUUAGAAGACAACACCCACGAACACACCAGAAAGAAUCAGGAAGAACCCUAUUUAAAAAGGGGAUGAAAAGGGAAGGGUAGGACAUGAAAUUGUUAGACAUAUUUUUAUGUUUUUAUGAUUGUAUAAAAGGUGGUCCCUGAGGAAGUUUCCAUAGAAACGAAACGCGAAGGACCGGUGCUAUACCACCAAUUUUUAAAAUAUUUAUUUUAUUUAAUUUAUUUGCAAUAAAUCAUUUUUCACCUACCUACCUGAUUCCUGAUUUAGAUCCAAAAGCACCACUCUGACUGUGAAACCAGACCUCCCUUGGGGGGAAGGCAACCUCAAUGCGCUCUUUUCAUCUGAAGUCUGUGAGUUCCAUAUAAAGUGGGGGCACUGCAAACCUUCUCCAACAGUGUUGCACUAUUAUUUGUUAUUUUUUGUUUUAGAUAUCCAUCUAUAUCCCAUUUUCUGAAUAUUUUUAUUUCUAUGUCAAGCAUAACCAGACACACACACGCAAAUGUACAUAUACAUAUACAAAAGUAGUUUAUAUGUACACGUAUACACAAGUACAUACACAAUAUACAUAUAAAUACAACCAAAUGCACUAAUAUAUGUACAUGCACACCUAUACAUACACCAUAUAUUUAUAGGCAUACUCAUACACACAUGAACACAUACAUACACAUGUACAUACAUAUACAUACACACACACACACACACACACACACACAUAAAACCUGUUCCAAAUUAUUAUGCAAAUUCUAUUUAAGAGUCACAAAGAAUAAAUAUUUUGUUUUUCAGUUUAACUCAUGGAUGGCAUUGUGUCUCAGGGCUCUUUUGAUCACUGAAAACAAUCUCAGACACUUGUGAUAAUUAGAUUGCCAGGUGAGCCCAAUUUAAGAAAAAACGACUAAAGGAGGGUGUUCCACAUUAUUAAGCAGAGCACCAUUUUCAUGCAAUAUGGGGAAGAAAAAGGAUCUCUCUGCUGCCGAAAAGAGUGAAAUAGUUCAAUGCCUUAGACGAGGUAUGAAAACAUUAGAUAUUUCACGAAAACUUAAGCGUGAUCAUCGCACUAUUAAGAGAUUUGUGGCUGAUUCAGAGCAGAGAUGGGUUUGUGCAGAUAAAGGCACAUUGAGGAAGAUUUCUGCUAGAUCCAUGCAUCGGAUCAAGAGAGUAGCUGCUAAAAUACCAUUACAUAGCAGCAAACAGAUAUUUGAAGCUGCUGGUGCCUCUGGAGUCCAACGGACAUCAAGGUGUAGAGUCCUCCAGAGUCUUGCAACUGUGCAUAAACCUUCUUUUCGGCCACCACUAACCAAUGCUCACAAGCAGAAACAGCUGCAUUGGGCAGAAAAAUACAUGAAGACUAAUUUUCAAACAGUCCUGUUUACCGAUGAGUGCCGUGCAACCCUGGAUGGUCCAGAUAGAUGGAGUAGUGGAUAGUUGGUGGACAGCCACCCUGUUCCAACAAGGCUGAAUGUCAGCAAGACAGUGGUGGAGUCAUGUUUUGGGCUGGAAUCAUGGGAAGAGAGCUGGUCAGUCCCUUUAGGGUCCCCGAAGGUGUAAAGAUGACCUCUGCAAAGUAUGUGGAGUUUCUGACUGACCACUUUCUUCCCUGGUACAGAAGGAAGAACUAUGCUUUCCAUAAUAAAAUCAUCUUCAUGCAUGACAAUGCACCAUCUCAUGCUGCAAAGAAUACCUUUGCAUCAAUGGCUGCUAUGGGGAUAAAAGGAGAGAAAGUCAUGGUGUGGCCUCCAUCCUCCCCUGACCUCAAUCCUAUUGAGAACCUUUGGAGCAUCCUCAAGCAAAAGAUCUAAGAGGGUGGGAGGUAGUUUACAUCCAAACAGCAGCUUUGGGAGGCUAUUCUGACACCUUGCAAACAAAUUCAAGCAGAAACUGUCCAAAAACUCACUCAAAGUUCAAUGGAUGCAAGACAUGUGAAGCUGCUAUCAAAUAAGGGGUCCUAUGUUAAAAUGUAACGUGAUCUGUUAAAAUGUUUAAAAAGUUAAAAUGUUGUUAUAAGUUUGAUUGAAAUAGCUUUUGAUUUCAGUAAAUAUGCUGCAAACACAACUAAUGAUAAUUUUCAGUUCUUUACAACCUAUAAAGUGUUUUGAAAAUUACUGUGCAUAAUAAGUUUUUUAUGUUUAAAAAAAUACUGUUAUCAUUAGGAGGUUUGUUCAAUACAAUUUGAAUUGUACUCUUAAUAGUUGAUAACAUGAGAAUUAUGCUGACUGUUAUUUACAUCAAUUAUUUAGGUAAAUGAGAAAAAUAUCAUUUGCAUAAUAAUUUGGAACAGGGUGUAUACAUACAUGCACAUGAACUUAUAUAAACAAAUAUAAAAGCACAGCCACAUAUAUAAGCAUACAUGCAUAAGAGUAUGGGAAAGCAUAUGUCUAUACAUAGUAAUUUGUAUAUUGAUAUAACAUGUCAUUGGAAUGCAUUUUACGAUGUGGAUACAUAUGACAGAACAGUGAGAUAAUGCUGUUGGUAAUGUAAAGUGUUGGUAAUGGGACAGGAAACACAAAUCAAUAUUUAGUCCUCUGUUCUUGCUGUUAAGAAAAAUUGGAUCAUUCUGGCUUCAAAAUAUUUUUUUUCUUGGGUAUUUUUAAAAUCCCCUUUUGCUCAGAAAUGCUUGAGACUUGAGAAAGGGAGGUUCUCCCAAAAUCUUGUCAUUACAAAAUUCUGUCCAAUAAAAAAAUAUAUUACAAGAUACAAAUUGUAUCUGUUUUUUACAUCUGCAUCACUGGACUAAAACAUCUACAAUCUAUAUCCAUUAGUAUGAUUCUUCCUUAAAAUGCCUCUAUACCUAUUGAAGAUUUAAACUAUUUAACUCCGGCUUUUUUAAGCAUCAGUACAAACUCUAAAUGCAGCUUGAAAAUCUUGUCACUAGGCAUGCAACAUUACAUAGUACAACAAAUAAGAACAUAAAACCAGAGGGGGAUUUCAGCACUAGUAGUUUACUGGUACAGUUCAAGAGGCAGCUCAAUUACUGAAUCCGGGGUCUCUCUUGUCCGGAAGGGAAAAAUUGAGAAACAGAAGGGUGGUGUAGCGCCAAGUAUGUCCUUAAAAAAGAACAUACGGUUGCAAUAAGAUAACAGUAUGAAACUGUGACGGACCACCUGGCACCCCAACCAGAUACCUCCACCAAUAGCUGCUUCCUUCUAAUCCUUGAGUACCAUAAGCACCGCACUGGACACCAUAACCACUGUAAACCCCACAAACCGCCGCAGCUUGGUUGGGGUCUCACUAUCCUCCACCUACCCUGGACCCAAGACCAGGAUCCAGCUUCCAGAGAGAAAAGCAGGUUGCAAUUGUUGUAAGCCAAGGGAGUAUAGUGAUUAUAGCAAUCCCCAGAGUGAAUAUAGCUCUCCAAUCCCCCAAACAUGAGCCCAGACUUCAUGAAGGGUAAAACUAAUCUGUUUACUGGCAGCCACAAUUGGCCUUAUAUUCUGGUCCCCAUGUGGACCUGAGAGAAGACUACGGUAAAAACAUACACACAAUUACAUUGGCUCUCAGGUCCAGGACACUCCCAUACAAAAUAGGUCAAUCCCUCCCCUGUGUCUGGGAGAUAAUUGAGUCAGCACUGUAUUAGACUCUAUUUUCUCCAGUCACAGAAAACAUAAAUUUUUACAAACCCCCAAAAUACCUUUAAACCCCCACAAACGUUACGUCCCCUGAUAGCCCUGAUCUGGAUGACCAACAUAUCCAAAAAUCACCCAGAUCGGUUCAGGGGUUUAGGAAUUUCCUGGAAGUUAUAAUCUGACCAACCACACUCAUGGUCCCAUGCCCAAAACAGUUCCAGAGAAUCAGGGCUUGCGGUCGGUCUAGUUCGGUAGUUUAAAAACUGAACAAACUGCCGAACAUAGUCAGUGUUCUUACUCUGGAGCUUGUUCACCUUAUUCAUGGGAACGUUUCCACCGAACAGUGCCCUUCUAAGUUAUGUAGAACCAAACAAAGGUGAUCCUGGAAAUCCAACAGUGUUUGAGAGUUUCAGUAUCUGAAAAUAGUUCCAUGAACUUGACGACCAAACACUGCUGCCUGUGUUUGAGUGAACAAGAUGGCCAUCACCUCGUGGUCGUUCAUGCAAACAGAUGCCACCCAGAUGAACACUUAGAACACUGCGGUGGAAAGUGUUACAAACUGUCAAUUAGGCUUAACAAGCUUCCGGGUGGUCUCUGGUUCAAGCGGCUGUUCGGGAACCAAACCAUAUAAUCCCAAUUGCAUUAACAGAGCCUUUUAAAAGUAUUUUUAGCUAGGUCUGUUGCAGGGGGCCAUAGUCCUGUGGCAGGAGGCUGGGUAGCAGGCCCUACAAGAACCCAUGACGAGGUUCAGUUCAUCACAGAAAUAUUCACAAUAAAACAGUAAAACAGAACCAACAGUCAGAGAGAGACUUUAAAUUUAGUGGUAAUACUAGAGAAUGUCCAAAUAAAAGCAAACUUGUAAACACAGCAACCAGAUUUUGUGGAAGAGUUCCUUUUCUUUGUCAGAUCAGGAGAAAGCUGGGGCUCCGUAUGAAAUACAAGAAACAGAGAAACAACCAAAUGGUGUAGUAUAUCACAAUAGUUUCUAGUCCUAUUAGUUCGUAGAUCUUAUGUAAUCGUACUCAUUUUUUUAAGCGCUAAUGCCAGAUCUAGUGUAAAUAGCAUAUAGUUGUAUAAUCCCCAUUUAUAGGAUACGUAUGAAGUAGUAGUCAGCGGAUAUCUCAGCAAUAUGGUGACCCUAAGAACCUAGAAUAAAUAGAAAAGACAACAAAAAUAGUGCUCUCUGUGUAAAUUAAAACCAGGAGUAGUAUAUGAGAAAUUUGUACCCACAUUUGACUGAGCAGACAUAAAGCUCGUUGGAUAAGGCGUGAGUGGUAUAAUCCCCACCUUGGAUUUCUUUGGUAAGGUCCUCACUGGAAAAAUAAAACUUGGUGCCAGGCAAUAAAAUAUAAUUGAAAACAAUAAUAACAGAAAGUGGCACACUCACAAUAUAUAAGAAGACAAAAUCACUUUAUUAAAAUAGUUAAAAUAGAUCCACAACGCGUUUCACCAACACAGGGCUUUAUCAAGUUUUUGUCUCCACUUGAUUGUGCAAUUCCUGCACAAUGAGCACAUUCAUGUUUGAAUUUGAAUGUAUUCAGUCAUUUACACUGCUUCUUAUUAAAUGAUCAAUAUAUUCCAUGUUUCAACACAUUUCCACCUGGGGAUAACUUAAUUAAUCUUUUGGGACAAUAUCAGAUUAAGUCAUAAACCUCUUUCAUGCCCAAUUUUAAGUUUAAGUGCACUAUUAAUUUCUGGUAAAACAGGUCAUCAUAGGAAAACCAACCCAAAUUUCCAAAAUCUUUGCAUGCUUCCAAAAAAAUAUCCCAAUGCUGAAAUAUGCCACUGCAUUUUUUACUGUUUCUCACCAAAAAAACUGCAAACAUGCAAAAAGUAUGAAUCUAGUUGUUGAAGGAUUUAAGUAUGGACCUACGUCUAUUCUCCUCUUUCUCCAUUUUAGAUAAGCAGAAGGACGGAGUGAUAAAAUAUCUAAAUAUUUGCCUUGCCACUCUUCUCCCCAACCUGUUGGAGCAGUUUGUCCAUGCUUCAACAAAGACUUGGAAGUGGCUAGUGGCAGUGAUUACAGUGAAAUGCUUAAACUCUUAUAUCAAAAGGUCCGCUUCUAAGAUAAUCAACACAGUCACGUCAACUGCGCAAUGCACCUCUUUAUAUAGCACAAAUUUGAGCUGUUUUAGUACUGUGGUAACUCCAAUCAGCUCAUAUACUUCAACGUUCCACAGGGCAAACCACUAACCCAAGUCCAAUCAAAAGUCUCUAGAUUACUUUAACCCCUUAAGGACCAAACUUCUGGAAUAAAAGGGAAUCAUGACAUGUCAGACAUGUCAUGUGUCCUUAAGGGGUUAAAGGUUUUAUCAGCAACCUGCCAAAAAAAGGCUGCACUUAACCCCUACACUGCCUAACUGCAAAUCUUCAUAACAUGCUCACUGGAAUUAUAGCCCAGGGCAAUUUAUUAUAUUAUAAUGCUGUAGAAAGUAUUGGAUCCAUAAAAUGUACAAAUAAACAAUUUUAAGCUAAAUCAAAACUAGAUACAUUCAGUAGGAUGUACUUCUUCAAGUUGCCAAUCGCUUGCUUUUUGUAAGAGAUCACUAAUAAUUAGUACUAUUUGCCCGCAGGCAGAGUCCACUGGCAAAUAGUGAAAAAGCCAGCAGGCAAGUUCUAAACAGCCAGACUCAGAUUUCAGCUGUCUAGCAGCAUUUGAUCCAGCUGAAAUCUGUGCAAAAUUCUGGCUUGUGUAGAGCAAGAAUUGCAAAAUCGGUAAAUAAUGUUAAAGAUGUGCAUAUUUUGCUCUUUGAAUGACCUUUACCUUAUUAGUUACAGGUUCAUGCUUGUUUUAUUUUCUGUGGAUUUGUAUGAAAUAUACUUGCAAUUUAGAUAAUAUAGAUAGAGAGAUAUACUUCAUUUUGUAAUUUGUUUAUUUUAUAUUUUUAGACAUUUAACCUAACCAGCGCAGGCAAUCAGAAGUCUACAAAUGAGCCUCUGAAAGCCAAAAUUGAAUCAGUGGUCAGACCGUUGUUUUUUAAUUUUAAAUAUUAUACUUUGAAUGAUAUUUCAAAAUUAUUCUGAAUUUGAAUUUCUAUUUCUAGUCUGUGAAUUUGAUCAUGAAUUGGCUUUUGCUAACAUCUGAUUGACUAUUAUGAAUCCAGACCUUAAUAACAGGAUAUUUGUGGAUUUUGGUGAAUGGUAUGUAGCUUGAAAUUAACAAAUUAAAUAAGCUAAAGCUAAGCACUGCAGAGGUUUACAAACUACAUUUAUCCAGAUGUUUCACCAUGCAGAUAUCCACAUAUGCGGAUGACACGCAAAUCUGUAUGUACUCUUCUUAUAUCUCCCCGCCCCUCUUGACUCGUGUCUCUGACUGCCUCUCUACUAUUUCUAACUGGAUGGCUGCCCACUUCCUUAAGCUCAACUUGUCCAAAACAGAACUUCUGGUCUUUCCUCCCUGAAGUGUUGCUACUCCCGUUUCUGUCUCCCUUUGCAUUAAUGACGCUACCAUCAGCUCCUCCAUGCAGGCUUGCUUCCUAGGUGUUCUCUUUGACGCCAACCUCUCCUUCGCCCCUCAUGUCCCGUCGAUCACCAAAUCCUGCCCCUUCCACUUCAAAAACAUUGCGCACAUCCGCCCCUACUUAACUCCAGAUGCGGCUUAGGUGCAGGUCCAUGCUACUGUCCUCUCUGGCCUUGACUACUGCAAUCCACUUCUCCAUGGUCUUACGUGCUCCCAACUUGCCCCGUUACUGUCUAUAAUGAAUGCAGCGUCAAGGCUCAUCUUCCUGUCCGCCCGCACAUCCCACAGCUAACACCUCUGUUGCCUGCAUUGGCUUCCAGUAAGAUAUAGGGCUCAAUUUAAAAAUCUGGUUCUUGCUUUUAAAUCUCUACAUAAUACAACUCCCACCUAUCCAUCCUCCCUAAUACACAAGUAUCUCAUUGAGCAGGGCCCUCAACCCCUCUGUUCAUGUGCGUCAAACUCUGGUUACAGUUAUAUGUUUGUUAGUCCACCCAUUGUAAAGUGCUAUGGAAUUUGUUGGCACUAUACAAUAAUAAUAAUAAUAAUAAUAAUAAUCAUUGGUUUAAGGUCAACUUAUCAAUUAGUUAGGUGACUUAUACUAUGUAUCACCCAGCAUCGAGCAUUAUUUUAGCCCUGCUUGAUUCUCACCAGCAUACGCCGGGUGAAUUUAGACUAUGACUAUUAUUAUGCCGUAACACGUAUAUUAACUCUCAUUGUCUUUCUCAUUGUCUCACUAUCUCAUCUCAUUAAGUCCACUGUCAUUGGGGCUUCUUUGCAGCUCGGGAUGUCAGCACUGAGUGGCAGCAGUAGUUACUAACAUGCAUUAUGCUUUACUGGAAUGUCAGAAGAUAGAAAUACUAAUUAAUAAAGUUUGUUUCUAGGGAAAAGAAAAAAAAAAUUGUGUUUUUUUUGCAGAGGUUAAAAUCUUUCUGUUCUUGCAGAAGGCUGGAUUUGUUUCUGAAAAACAACAUUUACUGCAGAGUUUGCUAGAUAUUUCUUGUGUCAAGAGGAUCCGGUAUGAGUUUUGAGACAAAAUAUGAGUCUACUGGUUUGGAAACAAACUGAUAAAAAAAAAAAAAAAGAAAGAAAUCAAAUUCAAAGAGUAAACAAAAAAUAUGUUGUUCUCCUCAGAAAAUGUCAACAACAUGAUUCAUUCUAGAGAUCUGUCUAAUGCUACUCUCUUUGUCAGACUACCCACUCUUUUAAAAAUAUAGUAGCCAUAUCUGUCUAUAUUCUUCCUGUCUUGCAUGGAUUAUAUUUCCUACAACACCCUUCCAUAUUUUAGUUAGAAGAUAGUUCUGGGAAAUUAUAAUGCAACAACUUCUCUAGUACCAAGUUUGGACACCUAUGCUCUGGGAUCUGAUUUAGAAGUAAUUUCUGCUAAUUGUAGACUCUUCAUCAACCAGUCAUCAUCAUCUUCCUCUACAUUUAGACCAUUAAUGCUGCAGCACUAAUUUUAGAAACUGCAUCUGGCAUUGCCUAGUUCUGCCAUCAAUGGGGAUUCCCUAAAUGAUACAGUGAAGGAGCAUGUCCUUAUAGUGGGCAAGAUAGUCCUUAAAACAGGCAAACUAAAUAUGUACAAGCAGACAGACAGUAAAUAAGAGACAGGCCGAAGUCUAGAAUAACACAGAUAUACAGAAUCGAUAGUCAAGCCAAGGUCAGGAUAACAGAGAGCAAGAGUGGUCAAACAAGCCGAGGUCAAAGAAUAGUAAAUAGAGCGUGGAGUAGGUAGCAUCUUCUAGAAUGAGUAUAAAGAUGAUGUUGCAAUAGGAUCGGUCUGCCAAGUCUGCUAUUUUGACUGUUCAAGCCUUCCACUUUAUAUUAUAACUUCAUAUCUGAAGAAGGCUAUUAAGGCAGUUGAAGAUGAGUUCUACAGUAUUAUAAUUUAAAUGAAGUGCAAAUAAAAAGAAGUAAAGAAGUGCUUGAAACUGGAGGAUAAAAUGGCAGCUGUGAGUAGGUCUUUGAGGAGGUGAAUGAUAAUGUGGUGUUCUAAAUUAUAAGAAUGUCUGCAAUUUCAGGUACAUUACUCAAGUCUGGGAAUCUAUGGCUCGAUGCUCGUUAGGUCUUCUCUUGUCUUACUGGAAAAAUAAAGAUACAUGCCGAUAGCUGGUACUACAAGAAUUAGAUGUGACUUCUCUUUUACGGAUUACUGGGGAUUUACAGGCUGUGCCUCGGUGCACUCUGAAAUGACGUCUUCUCAUUGCAGCAAACCACCUCCUGUGUAUGUGCUUUAAUCUGUCACUUUACAUUAGUAAGGUCAAUGUCUUUUCACUGGAACAAUAUGUAUUUAUAGCCAUAUUGUUGCAUUGUGUCAAUAUGUUAUUGACAUUUAUUGAUAUUUGCAUAAUAAAUGCAUUCAUUGAGUACGUAUUGUACUAAUUAAUAUCUCGAUGUAGAUGAGUGAAAGUGCCUGCAUAAUGGUAAAAUGAAGCAGAGUCAGAAGAAGAGCAUUAACAAAUCUGCUUUGUUUUAAAUCUUCAAAAGGAUGCUAGAACUAAUCAUAUAUUAUUUUAUUUUUUAUAUAAAUCCUGUUGUCAAUAUUUUGUGUUUGGGGUUUCAGUUGUAUCCCAGCCUAGUCAGCUAGUUUGAUGAUGCAGAGGGAUCUGGAGCAAUGACACAGGUAUUCUUCCAAUGCAUAGCAGAUAGUGAGGUGCUUGACGCUAUUCUCCUAAUUUACUUAGGCCCCUACCACCCCCCAAACACCCCAAUUGCUGUUGCUAAAAAUACAGCCAUAGAAUAUAGGGCAAUGCACAGACCUGUCUUUUAGGGUUCUUGGAUAUGACAGCCCACACGUAAAGCCAAUAGGUGAUAUCAAAAAACUUGUUUACUAUAGAGACUAAGUAUACAUAAGGGACUUAGAACCUGAAAAUUAGUUGUUUUUAAAAUUAAUCCCCAAAUCAUCACACAAGUCAUAGUUAAUUAGCCUAAGGAGGAACCUAUAGAACAAAUCACGCCAGUCACAACGUGCUUUUUCUAAUGCAUGCAUAUUAUUAGUCCUUAGCAUGCUAGAAGAGUUGUUUUUUUUUUUUUGUGUUUUUUUUUGUACCAGAUAUUUAGGGUACAAAUGGACCAGCCUCACUGGAGCAUAGAUAAUUAAAUUCAUACCAUGAUUUAUGCUAUUAUAACACCAAAUCUGUGCUUUGAAAUGAGGCAAGGCAGACCAUUGACAUUGAAAUAUCAAUAAGCAUCCCAUCCCAAGCAACUCCUCUUUUCCCUUUUCACUGACCAUCAAAGAUUUCCAAUCAAUGAAAAAUGUUUCAGCUUUGACAUGGAUGGGAGAAAAUGAUAACCCACCUCUAAUCAAAAAUAAAUUAAAAAGCUAAUAACUAUCACUAUAUUGAUGUAUUAUAAUCAUAACAUCUCUUUCCAUGACUAAAAUUCACAUUUUCCACUGUAGGCAAACCUAAAUUGAUUUCACAAAGUAGAAAAAAAGAGGCUAAAGAAGAGUUGGUUUGGAUUUAACAUGCAGCUUCUGUGGGAUUAAAAUGAACACAAUGAACAGAAGAAUGGAUAAGGUAAAGGUAAAAGCUAAAAGGUGUGAUGGGCAAAAAGAAGGCAAUAUUAAAUGCGCAAGUCAGGGUCAUAGAGGAAAACUGACAAUCAUCAAUGUCUCAUCAUACCAAAAGCAAUAUUCUUGUUUUAAUAUUUUUGUAAAUGCUUUUCAAAUGUCAGGAAAAUGUUUACAAUGAUUUAUCUACAGAAGUCACCAUUAAAGGGAAACUAUAAUGCAAUGAAAGCAAAGUUGGUUUCCUGGUACUAUAGCUACCUAUAGUGCUCUCCUCUGUUGCAGAAGGGGUUAAAAAUGUAAUAGUCACUUACCUGAUUCCAGCGCUGAUGUCUCUUGGUGCUGUUUCAGGCUCCCCCUCUGCUCCUCCACCGCCGAUGUCAGCCUGGCAGGGGAGACCUAAUGCGCAUGCAUGGCAAAGCUUUUCUAUGGGUUUUCGGGUGACUCUGGAUGUCCUCAUAUGUGCAUAGCAUGAGGCCGUCGAGCGUCAGCCGACCAAAAGUCACCUAACAAUCUGGAAGUCCCUCUAGUGGCUGUCUGGAAGACAGCCACGAAAGGCAGCGUUAACCCUCAAAGGUAAUUAGAGCACUUUAUUAAAAACUGCAAUAAUUACCUUUGCAAGGUUAAAAGACUUCAAUGAGUCUAAAUGGUCUGGGUGCCUAUAGUGUCCCUUUAAAGUCUACAAUAUUUUUUGUGGAUGAAUCAUUUGAUACGUUUUUCUAACAGAUUGUGAUCAUUUGAAAAGUUUAUACAAAAAUAUUAAACUGAAGCCAUUGUUUGGAAAUACUUUAAGAAAGGGCUGCCCAGGUAAUUGUGCUGCAUACUGACAAGGAACAUGCCCCAUAAGGAUACAGAAGAAAAGCAGCAGGGUGCAUGUUUGCUCCAUUGGAGCAAACAUAAAUCAGAGGAACAGGAAAGUGGCCACAUAGAAAAAUGUUUUGUGAAACAAAAAUGAAGAGGUGAAGUAAAAUGAAGAUGUGGAUGGCCCAUUCAGUGUUACACAAUCUCAUUUAUCCCAUAAUGUUAGCACACAGAACAACAAAUUUCUCUUCUGGAGUUUUACAAACUGAUUCAUGAAAACUCCACAUUUAUGUUGAAUAACCAACAAUAUAUUUUGCUUCUCCCUAGUAAUUUGUUACAGUAAAUAUGAAAUAUUACAGUGAUUUUCCAUAAUAAACAUGUGUUCAUUAAAGGUGUACUCCGAGUAUCAUAACCACUACAACCCACUGUAGGAGCCUUGCACCAUUUCCAGGGUUAACAGGCAAACCAUUUUGCAACCUGGAUUUGAGCCUCCUCUAAUGUCACCAUGGUCACAACCAGCUUCUACAGAGAUGGAGAAUACAGUUCUACCAGUCAUUCUUUAGCUAAGAGCAUCAGCUGAGUGCUCUCAGCCAGUGAAUGACCCUCAGUGCAAAGAAAUUGCACAGAAUUGACAUUGGCCAAAACAGAAUUCUUGUUCUGUGCUGGCUAAUGAUAUUAACUGAGAUAGCGUUACACUUCUUGCAGCAAUAUAAAAUAUAUCAUACUUAUAAGCAGCAUACACAGAGUCCUUGUACCAUGACAAAUUCAAAACACUGAAGUGGUCAUGUUGUUUGCAAUAAAUGCUACUUAAUGAUACAUUAUAAUGAAUGCACGCAUUUAAUCCUAACAAAAAUCAUAAGAAUGUCAUGUUUACCCUGAAAGGGUCAUAUUCUUAGUCCGUUAGUGUAAUCAUUUUGAGGUAAGAAUGCAGUGCAUUAGCUUUUACCUGGCACUCCCAAUGUUAAAGAACUCCACAUGGGCACAUGAAGUGGUUAAAUCAGUGUUAUGCCAUACAACAAAAUUCUCUGCAUUUUUCAGACAAGAGCGAAAAUUAACUAUAAUAGACUUUGAGUUUUCUCAUGCAUUAUAAUUAUCUACAAAUGAGCUUCUCUGAGCAGCAGCAAACAAAAAUGCUCUAAGCACAGAUAAUAAUAUAAAAACAAUAGAAAGGAGGGGGAUUUUAUAGUGUUUUGCAACAAGACAAUCUCUAGCGAAUGGUGCCAUUGCAUAAUUUUAUCAGAUCAUUCCCACUGUGUAUAUUCCUGGUAUAAACAUGUUGAUCUUAGUAGUUUAAUACAGGACACCUUCUACUAAAUAAACAGAGAAUUAUAUUGAAAGAAAAACCAACAAUAAAAAAAACUACUGGCAUCAUUUAGUAGCCAUUUCCAGACAGAUCAUUACAUUUAAAAGGCUUUUCAUUCAUUUACGGCUAACAAUUGGUGUAUACAUUGAAGUAAACAAACCAGACAAAAGAAGGGGGAUGGGAUCCAUAGACUGAGCAUGGAAAGCAACCUGAAUAUAUUUGUUUUUUACAGGCACCCUUAACCCCUUAAGGACAGAGCCAAAUGUACACAUUGUGAACAAAACAAAAUGUAAACAAAACCUGGCAUUUGCGCUACAUGUCUGUCCAACCGUAAUACACCUCUUUCAUAGUGAAUGCACCCACCCUUAUUAUAUAUCAUUUUAUUCAGGGGAAACAGGGCUUUCAUUUAAUAUCAAAUAUUUAGCUUUGAAACAUAAUUUAAUAUGAAAAAAAAUGGGAGAAAAUACGUUUUUUUUGGAUUUUUUUAGUUCUACAUGACAUUUUAACGGUCAAUGUCAUAAUACUGUUUGCUUUUACUGCAAUAAAAUACACAUAUUUAUAUUCAGUAAAGUCUCACGUGUAAGACAGUACCCCCUAUGUACAGGUUUUAUGGCGUUUUGGGAAGUUAUAGGGUCAAAUAUAGCACGUUACAUUUGAAAUUGAAAUUUGCCAGAUUGGUUACGUUGCCUUUGAGACUGUAUAGUAGCCCGGGAAUGAAAUUUACACCCAUAAUGGCAUACCAUUUGCAAUAGUAGACAACCCAAGGUAUUGCAAAUGGGGUAUGUCCAGUCUUUUUUAGUAGCCAUUUGGUCACAAACACUGGCCAAAGUUAGCGUUAGUAUUUGUUUGUGUGUGAAAAAUGCAAAAAAGCCAAUUUUGGCCAGUGUUUGUGACUAAGUGGCUACUAAAAAAGACUGGACAUACCCUGUUUGCAAUACCUUGGGUUGUCUACUAUUGCAAAUGGUAUGCCAUCAUAGGGGUAAUUUUCAUUCUUGGGCUACCAUAGGGUCUCAAAGGCAACGUAACCAAUCUGGCGAAUUUUAAUGUGAAAAAAAUGAAACGCAAGCCUUAUAUUUGACGCUGUAACUUUUGAAAACACCAUAAAACCUGUACAUGAGGGGUACUGUUGUACUCGGGAGACUUCGCUGAACACAAAUAUUUGUGUUUCAAAACAGUAAAAAGUAUCACAGCAAUAAUAUUGUCCGUGUAAUGCUGUUUGUGCGUGAAAAAUGCAAAAAACGUCACUUUUACUGGCGAUAUCAUCGUUGUAAUACAUUUUACUGUUUUGAAACACUAAUAUUUGUGUUCAGCGAAGUCUCCCGAGUAGAACAGUACCCCCCAUGUACAGGUUUUAUGGUGUCUUGGAAAGUUAUAGGGUUAAAUAUAGUGCUAGCAAAUUAAAUUCCCUUUACUUUCGGCAUGGGUUGUCAGGCAGGUCCCGCUAAUUGUAAUUAAUUAAGAUACCUAAUUAUGUAAAAAUAUUACAUAAAUAUAUAUGUAGAAUUAAUAUAUGUAUAUAUAUACGUAUGUGUAUAUAUAUGUAUAUAUCUAUAUAAUUUUUUUUAAAUAUUUUUAUUUAUAUAUAGGUAUAUAUAUAGUGAUAUAUAUGUAUAUAUUUAUGUAUAUAGAUAUAUAUAUUAUUUCGUUCUACGUGUAUUUUGAUAUAUAUAUAUAUAUAUAUAUUAAUUUCACAAAACAGUUAGAACGAAAUAACACACAUCUAUAUAUUUUUUAAUUAUUUAUUUUUAAUUAUUUUUUUAAUUUUAUUUUUUAACGUAUUUACAUUUUAAUUUUUUUUAUAUUAUAUAUAAAUAUAUAUAUAACAAUAAUUAUAUAUAUAUUUAAUCAGUAUCAGUCUACGUGUAAUUUGAUAUUAAUAUAUAUAUAUAAUUAUAUAUAUAUUAAUAGUAAAAUACACCUAGACGGUGUAUGUGUGUGUAUGUAUAUGUGUAUAUAUAUACUUAGAUCAUAUAUAUAUAAUAUAUACAUAUGAUCUAAGUAUAUAUUAUUAUUUUUUUACACCAAUAAAUUUAAUUUUAAUUUUAUUUCCAGCCAGCAGGGGGACCACCUGUCAUUACAGGCAGCCCCCCUGCUGGCAAUGCAGGAGGCAGCCUACCCGGCCAUGUGAUUGUGGGGACCUCGCUAGGACCCCACUCUCACAUGGCCGGGGAGCACCGGAGGAGAAGGAUCUGCCGUGGGGGGGCUCCCUGGGAGUCCCCCCCACCGCGAUCGCCGGCGUGGGACUGCCGGCAACCGGGUAAGUUAACAAAAACCGGAGGGCGUACAAUUACGCCCGGCGGCGUUUAGAGCCGCCUAUAAUAGGGCGUAAUUGUACGUCCUCUGGUUUUAAGGGGUUAAGGACGGAGCCAAAUGUACACGGUGUGAACAAAACAAAACGUAAACAAAACCUGGCAUUUGAGCUACAUGUCUGUCCAAUCGUAAUUCACCUCUUUCAUAUUAAAUGCACCCACCCUUAUUAUAUAUCAUUUUAUUCAGGGGAAACAGGGCUUUCAUUUGAUAUCAAAUAUUUAGCUAUGAAACAUAAUUUAAUAUGAAAUAAAUGGGAGACAAUAAGACAUUUUGCUAUUCUUUUUAGUUCUACAUGACAUUUUAACUGUCAAUGUCAUAAUACUGUUUGCUUUUACUGCAAUAAAAUACACAUAUUUGUAUUCAGCAAAGUCUCACGUGUAAAACAGUACCCCCUAUGUACAGGUUUUAUGGUGUUUUGGGAAGUUACAGGGUCAAAUAUAGCAUGUUACAUUUGAAAUUGAAAUUUGCCAGAUUGGUUACGUUGCCUUUGAGACUGUAUAGUAGCCCAGGAAUUAAAUUUACACCCAUAAUGGCCUACCAUUUGCAAUAGUAGACAACCCAAGGUAUUGCAAAUGGGGUAUGUUCAGUCUUUUUUAGUAGCCAUUUGGUCACAAACACUGUCACUGUCCUGAUGAAAGCUCCCCAGUGGAGCUGAAACGUCGAAUUUUUCUUCCGCAAUAAAUGGAGAAGUUAUCUUCUGGAAAACCUUGUGUGCCGGUAUUUUCACUUUGUUUAUGAUUAAGCCACCAGAGCACCAGGCACUAUUUUUAUUUCUCUGGUUGGAGUGCAGGGGUAUUUUGUAUUUUUAUAUAUAUAUAUAUAUAUAUAUAUAUUUUUUUUUUAAUAGUAAAAUACACCUAGACAGUGUAUGAGUGUGUAUAUAUAUGUGUAUAUAUACAUAUACUAUAUAUAUGAUCUAAGUAUAUAUAAAAAAAUUACACUGAUUUUAACAUUAUUUUAUUUUGAUUAUCAGCAGGGGGACUAACUGUCAUUACAGGCAAUGCAGCAGCCAGCUAAUCCGGCCAUAUGUUUGUGAGGUCCUCGCAAGGACCUCACUCUCACAUGGCCGGGGGGGGGGAAUGCGGAGGAGGCAGGAUCUGCCACGGGGGACUCCCUAGGAUCCCAGGUGAGUCUCCCCAACUGGGUAAGUAAGAAAAACCGGAGGGCGUACUAUUACGCCCUGCGGCAUUUAGAGCCGCUUAGUAUAGGGCGUAAUAGUACGCCCUCCGAUUUUAAGGGGUUAAACAUUUGUUAUAAGUGUUUUGUCUUCUGCUUGGUUAAUAUUUCAGACUGUGUGUUCAGUGAUGGUAGCCCAUUCAUGCUAUGCUAUGUAUAGGGAUACAUUUUGCACAAUACUGUGUCCAUUUUCUGGCUGGUAUAACCAGGCGUAACUAGAAAAUAACAGGUCCUGGUGCAAAAUAUUCAUCCCCCCCCAACUUCUCCAUGUAUCUCAUUCUUCCUCAUCUCCUCCAUGUGUCACAUUCUCCCCUCCCCAUAUUCUUCCCCCAUGUGUCUACUUCCCCCCCAGCCCCUCCAUUUGUCUUCUUUCUUUCCUCCCUCCCUCCCAGCCUUUCAUGUGUCUCAUACACCCAGCACAUUCAUGUGUCUCCUUUCCCCCAGUCCCUCCAUGUGUCUCUUUUCCUCCCCAGCUCCUCAAUGUGUCUCCUUUCCUCCCCCAGCACCUCCAUGUGUCUCCUCCCUUCUCCAUGUGUCUCUCCCCCAUCCCCUUCCACUUCAUGUAGGCUGACUGAGCGGACCACGAUACACGGUCCGAAAGGAAGUGCUCAUACAUACAGAGACUGGCAUUAGGGGAGCACUGUGCCUGUAGUUAACUAAACCCCUGUUAUUUUUUGCCUAGUUGAGGGUUUUAAAAAAACAAACAAAAAACUAUUACAUUCUGUGAGACUUGAACUUUCUGUUUAGUAAAUAAGUGAGUGCGGUGGAUCUUGUAUGUUGUUUAAAAUGGCCCAGCAGCCCCCUAUAAUGUAUUCAAGUUGAGGUGAGUGCAGCCUCUUGGUUUCAUAUAUAUGUUUGGGAGUCCAUGCCAACUCCCCUGUUUUGCACCUCUCCCUGUCACAGGUGCUGCAUUCACAUGCCCUAUUUAACUUUGAGCUACAGAGAGUCCCAAAAGGAAGAAUGUCCCUAGUAAGUGGAUUAGGUGUUGGUAGGACCUGCCAAGAAUAGGGUGCAUUGAUCUUGUGGCAGGCUUAUGCAAUGUAUGAUCAUAUACUGUAAUUAAAUCACCAUUUUUUUUUCCUACGCGAGUUGUUUUUAAAUAAAACUAUUACAUUCUGUGAGACUUAAAAUAUACGUUUAGUGAAUGAGCAAAUGCGCUGGAUCUUGUAUGUUGUAUGAAUUGGCCCCAGAAGCACCCUAUAACCCUGUACUGUAUGCAUGUUCAGAUGAGUGUAGCCUCUUGGUUUUACAUAUAAAACCAAGAGUGUAGCCUCUUGGUUUUAUAUAUAUCAAAAAAAAUAAAAAAUAAAAAAAAAAUAUAUAUAUAUAUAUAUAUAUAUAUAUAUAUAUAUAUAUAUAUAUACACACACACAGGUGAUACUCGAAAAAUUAGAAUAUCGCGCAAAAGUUUAUUUAUUUCAGUUAUAAACCCCAAAUCCACAAUCUCAGUAAAGUAGAAUAUUACAUGCAAUCAAUAAAACAAGGAGUGUACAUAGAACAAUAUCGGACCUCUGAAAAGUAUAAGCAUGCAUAUGGACUCAGUACUUGGUUUGGGCCCUUUUUGCAGCAAUUACUGCCUCAAUGCGGCGUGGCAUGGAAGCUAUCAGCCUGUGGCACUGCUGAGGUGCUAUGGAAGACCAGGAAGCUUCAAUAGUGGCCUUCAGCUCUUCUGCAUUGUUCGGUCUCAUGUCUCUCAUCUUUCUCUUGGCAAUGACCCAUAGAUUCUCUAUGGGGUUCAGGUCAGGCAAUUUUGCUUGCCAAUCAAGCACAGUAAUCCCACGGUCAUUGAACCAGGCUUUGGUGCUUUUGGCAGUGUGGGCAGGUGCCAAGUCCUGCUGGAAAAUGAAGUCAGCAGCCCCAAGCUCGUCUGCGAUAGGAAGCAUGAAGUGCUCUAAAAUCUCCUGAUAGACGUCUGUGUUGACCCUGGACUUAAUAAAGCACAGUGGACCAACACCAGCAGAUAACAUGGCUCCCCAAAUCAACACAGACUGUGGAAACUUCACACUGGACUUCAAGCAUCUUGCGGUGUGUGCUUCUCCAUUCUUCCUCCAGACUCUGGGUUCUUGGUUUCCAAAUGAGAUGCAAAAGUUGCUCUCAUCAGAAAAGAGGACUUUGGACCACUGAGCAACAGACCAGGUCUGUUUUUCUUUAGCCCAGGUAAGAUGCUUCUGCCAUUGUUUGUUGUUCAGGAGCGGCUUAACAAGAGGAAUACGACAUCUGAAGCCCAUGUGCAGUAUCCGUCUGUGUGUGGUGGCUCUUGAUGGACUGACUCCAGCCUCAGUCCACUCCUUGUGAAAGUCCCCAACACAUUUGAAUGGCCUUUUCCUGACAAUCCUCUCCAGGCUGCGGUCAUCCCUGCUGCUUGUGCACCUUUUUCUUCCACACUUUUCCCUUCCACAUAACUUUCUAUUAAUGUGCUUUGAUACAGCACUUUGGGAACAUCCAACUUCCUUCGCAAUUACCUUUUGAGGCUUUCCUUCUUUAUGGAGGGUGUCAAUGAUGGUUUUCUGCACAACUGUCAGGUCAGCAGUCUUCCCCAGGAUUGUGAUUCCUACUGAACCAGACCGAGAGACCAUUUGAAGGCUCAGAAACCCUUUGCAGGUCUUACUUAGCUGAUUAGAGUGGGACACUGUGAUCCUAGAAUAUUGCACCUUUUCACAAUAUUCUAAGUUACUGAGAUUGUGGAUUUGGGGUUUUCAUGAGCUGUAAGCCAUAAUCAUCGAACUUAUGACAAAUCGCAGCUUGUACUAUCUUGCUUUGCAUGUAAAGUGUCUAUCUCAUAUAUUAGUUUCCCCUUUUACGUUGCAUUACUGAAAUAAAUGAUUUGUACAUAAUUAUGUGAUUUUAUUCAUUAUAAUUUUUAAAUUUGAGGGACCUGUCUGACAACCCAGACAGAAAGUUCAGGGAAUUUAACAUGCAAGCCCUAUAUUUGGCCCUGUAUUUUUCCAAAACUCCAUACAAUCUGUACAUGGGAGUACUGUUCUGAUCAUGAGAUGUAGCUGAAAAGAAAUAUGAGUCUUUUGAGCAGUAACAUGUAUAAUGCCGUGAAAGGGUAGUUUUCAUUGGUGAAAGGGUAGUUUUCUUGAAAAAUGCAAAAAAAACAAACUAAUAUGAACACUAAAUUUGGCCAGGGUUUGUGACUAAAUGGCUAGACUAGACAUAUCAAAUUUUGAAUAACCUGAGUUAUCUAUUUUCGCAAAUGAUAUGCUAUGAUGAGGCUGAUUUUUAUUCAUGCGCUGACAUACGGCAACAAAAGAAUAACAAACCAAUCUGGCAAAUUUUAUUCAAUGUAAAACCAGAAAUGGGGAAAUAUUUUCUCUUCUGUGUGUGAUUUGAAAGCUCUUAUAACUUGCUUAGCCUCUUUCUGACUAAUCUUAUAGAUCUGUCUGUCUUCCUCACUCUGUUUUUUUUUUAUAAUUACUAAAUGCUAACUUAAAUGUUUUACUAUUUUGGCCACAUCUGCGAAGUACCGCAGUGGUUUCUUAAUUUGUUUUGCUUUUACUGACAAGCCUAAUGCAAUUUUCUGUUGCCUUCAGCAGUGCAACUUUUAAAUAAUACCAUUUCUCUUGCACUCCAUUUAAAUUGCUCCAAUCUGAUAAUGACUCCUUUACACAUAUUCUAAUUUCAGAAUAGUCUGUUUUUCUAAAGUCUAAAACUUUUGUUUUUGUGUGGUGUGACUCAGUCACUGUUCCUAUAUUAAACUACACUGACUGAUGAUCACUGGAUCCUAAACUUUCACCUACAGUAAUAUCUGAUACCAAAUCUCCAUUUGUUAACACUAAAUCUAGUAUGGCCUCUUUACGAGUUGGCUCUUCAACAACUUGUUUUAGAGACAAUCCCAGUAGGGAGUUUAGAAUAUGUGUGCUCCUGGCACAAGUAGCUAAUUUUGUUUUCCAAUUCACAUCAGGAAGAUUAAAGUCACCCAUGAUGAUAACUUCCCCCUUCAUUGUCAUUUAGCUAUUUCCUCAACCAGUAGAUUAUCUAACUCUUCAAUUUGUCCUGGGGGCCUAUAAAUCACACCUACACUAGUUACUGUGUGAUUACCAAAUUCUAACGUAACCCAAACGGACUUUAUGUUCGCCUCACUAACUUUUAUUAGGCUAGAUUUUAUGCUAUCCUUCACAUACAGGGCCACCCCUCCCCCUUUCCUGCCUCCCCUGUCUUUUCUAUAUAAAGAGUACCCUGGUAUUGCUAUGUCCCAGUCAUUUUUCUCAUUAUACCAUGUCUCAGUAACAGCGACUAAAUCUGCACUAUCAGUUGCCAUUAUUGCCACAAGUUCAUGGAUCUUAUUCCCUAAACUGCGAGCAUUUGUAGACAUGACUCUAAGCUUAUCAUUUUUUAACACACUUGCUACAGGCACCUUCUGUCUUUGUUUUGGGGGACAAUUGAAUUGAUGUUUUAUCACCCUUUUGCCCCCCCCCCCUCCUAGUUUAAAUACAUCCUAGCAAAACCUCUGAACUGCUCACUGAGAAAAUUUGUUCCCUUUUGAAAAAGAUGCAAACCAUCUCUUUUGUACAGGUUAUUUCCAUUCCAAACAGAGCUACCAUGAAAUAAAGCCAAAUCCUUGCUCCCAACACCAUUCACCAAGCCACAAAUUAAAGUCCCUAAUACGCAUCCGCCUGUCGUUCUGAGUGUUAUGCACAGGCAGAACUUCAGAGAAUGACAGUGUGGAAGCAACCUGCCGUAUAUCAUUGGCAAAAACACUAAAAACUUCCUUAACCUCUGAAACCUCAUUGCAAGCCAAGUCAUUUGUCCCUAGAUGGACAAGUACAUCCAAUUCCCCUUCCUGCUUUGCUUGCUUAACAAUAUUACAGAUACGUCUCCUGUCUCUGUGAGCAGUAGCUCUGGGAAGACACCUCACAAGACCACCAUUGUCCAUCUCCACACCUCUUAUGAUGGAAUCCCCCAACAACAACUGCUUUCUAUUAGGCCUCACCAUAGUCUUUACAAUUACUUCCCUUUGCAGUUUCGCACUUUUGUUGCAGGUGUGAAUGUUCUGUUCAAUUGGUUUGAACAUUCUAAUGGGGCACCGGGGUGGUCCCCUGUUCAGGAGACGAAAAGGUUCUGUUCAUAUGAAUGCUCACGAAUGGGGAACAGGGCAUAAUACAUGAAAAGCUAGGGGAAACACUUUGGAUUUAGCUGCAAUAAGGUCAUUAGUAACUUUGAUAAGAGCAGUCUCAGAGCAGUCUCAGAGUGGAGAGGGCGGAAGCCAGACUGAAGAGGGUCAAGGAGAGAGUUGGAAUUGAGGAUGUGAAACACAUGGGUAAAGACAAGUCUUUCCAGAAGCUUUGAGGAAAAAGGGAGCAGGGAUAUAGGGACGAUAGUUAGAAGGGGAGGAUGGGUCAAGAGAUGUUUUUUUCAGGAUAGGUACUACAGUGGCAUGUUUAAGAUCAGCAGGGACAAUGCCAGAAGAGAGAGAGCAGUUGCAGAUGUGUUAGGGAAGGCACAAGACAAGGGGAGAGAGAUCUGGUGAGGUGGGAUGGGACAGGAUCGAGCGGGCAAGUGGUGGGUCGAAAGGAGAAGCGCAGCCACCUCUUGUUCAGUUGCUGGGGAGAAAGUCUGAAGGGUAGGAAAGGCAUAAUCCAGGUGUGGUUGAGAAAGGGGCAAGGUGGGGAGAAUUCUUUCCUUCUGUUCAAUCUUGUCGGUAACGUAGCAUGCAAAGCUAUAGGCUGUAAGGAUAGUUUGGGGGGUGGCAACAGCAGGGCGGAGAAGAGAGUUAAAGGUGUCAAAGAGAUGCCUGGGAUUGUUGGAGCUUGAACUAAUGAGAGAGGAAAAGUAUGACUGUUUGGCGAGGGCAAGGGCUGCACUGUAUGAACACAAUGUGAAUCUAUAAUGAAGAUAGUCUGCCUGGGUGUGGGACUUCCUCCAGGAAAUUCAGCACAAUGGGAGCAACUCUGCAGAUAGCGUGUUGACUUAGUAUGCCAAGGUUGGGGCGUGUCCUCCUCGAGGUGCAUGUUUGGAGCGGGGCUUCCGCGUUCAAGGCAGAGGUGAGGGUAGUGUUAUAUGUUGAGAUGGCCAGUAAGGGACAGGAGAGGGAAGGGAUGGAUAGCAGUUGUGAAUCAAAUUCAGCUGACAGCUGCUGGAGGUCAAUAGAAUUAUGUUCCUCCUGAGUUGAGGGGGGUUAGGCUGAGGUUGUUGGGUGAGGGGGUAAUCGAGAGCAAGCGAUAAGAGGUGGUGAUCCGAGAGAGGAAGUGGAGUGUUGCAGAUAUUAGAUACUGUACAUGCAUAAGAGAAAAUAAGGUUGAGGGUAUUGCCAGAUACAUGGGUGGGAGAAUUAGCCCACUGCAGUAGCCCGAGGGAGGAAGUAAUUGAAAGUAGUUUAGAGGCUGCUGAGGUCAAAAGUGGGUUAAUGGGAAUAUUGAAGUCUCCAAGAAGUAGGGAUGGAAUAUUAGAAGAGCGGAAGUAGGUUAGCCAGGCAGCAAAGUGGUCAAGGAAGAGGAGAUGGGAACCAGGGGGACGAUAAAUAACGGCAAUGUUAGCAGAGAAGGGUUUGAAAAGGCAAACUGAAUGAAUUUCAAAUGAUAGGAAAGAGAGAGAAGGGGGGGGUGGGCAGAGUUUGGUAAAGGAGCAGUGGGGUGAAAGGAGAAGACCUACACCUCCACCUUUACUCUCUGCUUAAUUAACAAAUACUUGUAUUAUCUUUUGUUUACAUGGAUGUAUUUACUCACUGUCUGGCUCUUUAAACUGACAAUGCAAAUCUUUGAGAAAAACAUCUUGGUUUUUUUUUUCAUUUGAGGCACCUCAUGGCAUAUUAGCUAAAUUCUGUUUUUGCCAUUAUGCGUGUAUUAGUUUUAUCCAACAAUACAUACGUAUUUCCUUUCCUACACAAUAUCUCUGACAGGGCCGAGGGGAGGACAAUAGGUCCCGUCCCCCAUUGUCAUUUAGGGCCAACAACCGCAACUCAUGGGUGGUGUCAUGCCAAAAGCAUGAGUUGGUGUUUGAUGUGUGUUGAUAUAUGUUAAGAGUUGUUUUUGGUAAACCUUGGGAUGACAUUUAUUGUGGUCUUUGAUCUUGCACCAGGCCUAGAUCAUAAAACAUCUAGAUAGCCAUCACCAGAGCUGGACACAAGGAAUUGCAUAGAGUGGGCAAUAAACUGCCAGACAAACCCCCUCUGAUUCUCCACUCCCCUCCCCCCCCCAGGGGUCUGCACACUGAGAAACAACUAAUGUAGAUAUAUCAUGAGGGUGCUGGACUAUCCAAGGAGCUAUUCAUUUUUUCUUUGGUCAGCAACUUCUAGGAGUCCUAUACCAUCUAAAACUCCCACAAGAAUUCUAUAUGGAGUAAAUAUAUGUAAGGAAUUUAUUUUUUUCUCCUAUUUUAUUUUAUGCUCUGUUUUGCAAUUUGUUAUCUGUAUGUCAUUUAUUUCUGUAUUUUGUACUCAGCACUGUGAAUAUUUUUUUGUCAGAUUAAAUGUUUACUUAAUCAGCUUGUGUCUCUGUUCUCUAUGAGCUUCACUCUCCAGAGGAAAGCUCAGGUAAGCACGUUACCAAAAAGGGUUAAUUAUAUGUGUUUGAUCAGUAAAAGUUAAUAGAUGCCCCACCAUGGGGCCAUUUGUUGGAAGGGUGGGAGGUUUUAUAAAAAAAAUGUACAUCAGUGAGCAGCCAGAGGCUGCUCACUGUUUAGUAGACAUGCCCCUACUAGUGGAAUACCCCCACAAGUUCCAUACUCUUACUACAAACAAAUCCAAGGGACUGUCUAUCCCCAUAAGUAGGUGAGGUGCCUUCACACUAGCCAGACAGAUAACAGACCCUUAUGGCAGAUUAAUUUUCCUCAUCUGCUCUCUUGACAAUGAAAGGUAUACAAUAGCAUAUAUUUAUUUCCCAUAUACCAAUCAAAUAAUUUUUUUACAUUAAAUAGUCACAAAAUUAUCUUUUAUUCAUUGUGAUACUGUAAUUAAUUAUAUGUGGAGAUUUCAACCAUUUAAUGCAUCUGAAUUAGGACUCCAGCUAAAAAGUCAGAAAGCCCUGUAAAGUCUUGCCUAAAUCAUUGCCAUGAUUUAAUUUCUAUGACAUAUGACAUUUACAACACCUACUUGAGAAUAGACUGGUUUCUUAUGUAAAACUCCCAUUUAGAUCAGAUAUGUUUCUAUGUUUCUAUAAUGGAUUGCUCUAUUGGUCUGAUCUCACAGUCGGACCCGUACCAGUAUUAACCCACACAGUGUAAAUGUUUUUAGCUAAUUUAACUACUUAAUAUAGAUGCCACAUUUUUGCAAAAAUGUAUGCUCUGUGUGUGGGUGAUAUAUCUCUAACAAAUCUCCAAAGACACUUACAAGAGUAUACCGGGCACAAUUAUUACUAACUAAAUGUGAGCAAAACACAGGAGAUGAGUUUGAGGGUUGAAGAUAGAGUUUAAUGUAGUCUUAAAGAAGCCUUUCCAUUCAACCUAAAUAAUCUAUUCUUAUCCAAAUAUGUCAGACUACUGGGAGAAUUUAAGGGGUUGCUCACAUCAUUUUGAAAAAAAAAAGAAUUUUAAAAGUGUAUCCAAAUAUAUUAAAUCAAGGCCAUAUUAUCAUAUCGCUGGUCAACCUCCAGUACAUUCACCUUUUACACACACAGAAAAGAGUAAUGUCAGGCCUCCAUUAGAAAUUGCAGGGCCCCUUAUGAAACCAUUUGGCAACAAUUCAUGGGGCACACUUCCAGGCAUGCACACAAGCUUAAUACACACUUACAGAUAAACUUUCAAACAAACAAAGAGACACACAGAGAUAACACACACACAAACAUAUACACUGUGACACAGAUACACAUAGAUUUACUCACAUACUUAUACACAGAAUUAUUAUUUUUUUUUAAUCCUGCCUGUUUCCAUACCUUUUGGUGAGUGGCUUCCCUUGUCACCAGUAGGAAUCGGCUGGGGUUCAUUCAGAUUGUAAACUGGCUUCUCCAGCAUGCUGCUCUGUAUGCACUUGGGGAAAGUAAUGUGUGAUCAUCACUUUCUCCCCUACCAUUUGAGUAAGAAAUCAAGCUCUUCAUGUCCAGUUGGUUGGUUGGUUGGAAAAUGUCAGUUUCAGGGAGAUAUUUCUAUCUGACCACAUAGCAUUAGGGCACCAGUGGGCUCUGGAACUUGAAUGGAUAUCUGACAAGAGGACAGUUUUAAUGCCCUGGCAACAACUCUAGCUAUGGUCAGUUACCACCAAUGGUACAGGGGCAAAAUUUUCUGGUGGAACAAUCGAAGUCACAAGUAACACGCAAAGUCACCUGCCACUAACACAACAAGAACCAGUAAGAUAAAUAAUUAUGUGGAAAAGAAAAUAUGUGGGCAAUGAAGAAUUGAAAGGGGAGAGAUACAAAAACAGGAGUACCGCAGGACAGUUUUUAAUUAUAGGAUACAAGGGAUAUAUUAGUUGAUUAGCAUAAAAGCUCUGACAGUGCAUUUUCGGCAGAAGCUUUGAUAACAAAUAAAAUCUGUCCAGAAAGAUAUAAACAGAUUUGCUUUAACCUCUAUGUGUUCCCAAGGUGUAUAUGUGCAGUCUGAGGAUAUGUGCUGCUCCUUCCUUGUGUAUUUAAAUCCAGACCAUGUCUACAUUGACUGCAUAUUGAAAAGGAUAAUGACAUACGUGAACAGAAGUUAAAGACAAGGACAUCACCUUCAAUGAAAGUAAGAGCAGACUAAUGAGCACCUGAAUUAUUACAGUGAAUGCAUGGGCUCGUUUUCAUAAGCAUGUUUUCUUUUUAGCUACUACUACUUUUUUUGUGUAUAUAUAUAUGUUUUAAUUGAAAUGUGUUGUAGGAUAAAUACACAAAAAUAUUGAAACAAAUGAAAAGUUAAAACUUUUAAACCAGUGGGUGUACACCAUAUAUUUAAGUUUUUUUUUCCAUUCCAUUGUUCUACUUUACAGUGCUUAUGAAGAAUAAUCAAAUCCACUUGACACGGUUUGUACUUCAUGGUAUUUUAUACAAACGUGACAAAUGUAGAUUUAAAAAGUGAGCACAAAACAAACAGUUUUCUCAUUACUUAGCAACUUAAGUUUAUCAUGAACUCCUUUUACACAGCACUUCACAAUUUAAAGUGCUAUAAAGAAAACUCAAAGGGUUAUAUUUCUAACAAAAUCUAGACUUGGACAUUCAUUUCGUUACAAACUGCAGUUCAUCCAAAUUUGGGAUAAUCUGUCUCAUUCCCAAAGCCCAAGCCAAAAUGUUAACAACUAUGAACCUGUCAGACUUACCGAAUCUCGAUCCCUCUGAGCUACUUACGGGUUUCGACGUUCAGAACUCCUCCCUCCUAUAUGAAGCGAGCUUUCCCCAACUUAUAGGGAAACCGCGCCAAAAGUUAAAGGCCUAGUCGAUUUUGCUCUUUACUAGGAAACUUCUCCUGCUAAGCUCCCAACUGGACCUCCUAACUGACCUGGCUGACUUCUCCAAUCCUAGACCCGGAAUUGUUUUACCGAUCUUCCUGAGCUCUAUAAACCUCUACCCGGAUUUGCCUUUAGACGUUGCUGUUUUCUCCUGCCCUCAAGACCCGGAUUGUUACACGGCCUCUCUCAAGGUUACAGGAUUCCUUGGCUGAAUAAGUAUUAUUUCAAUCCUCUGCUCUGUUUAUUCUUUGGCUGUAUUUAAUCUAUUGCUACACUCUGUUACUUGGCUGCCUCAAUAACAUUGUUACUACUAUUUGCUACAGUAUCUUAUUACCAGGACUUGCUAUUUUUUUCUCAAUUAAAGGACCACUACAGGCACCCAGACCACUUCAGCUUAAUGAAGUGGUCUGGGUGCCAGGUCCCCCAAGUUUUAACCCUGAAGCUGAAACUGCUAUGUUUACACUGAGGGUUAAUCCAGCCUCUAGUGGCUGUCUCCCUGACAGCCACUAGAAGCCGCUUCUGCGAUUUACAUGGAGUAUAUCGUACUUAUUUUUACCGCUGGAGUCCGUGAGGACGUCCAGCAUCAAAUAAGUGCGAUUUACUCCAUGAAUUGAGUCAUGACUUUCUAUGGGCGGGUUUGAAUACACGCGCACUGCUGGCCGCACAUGCUCAAUCGGCUCCACUCGGAAGCUGACGCCGAUGGAGGAGGAGAGGUCACCAGUGACCACAGAACCCUGCGCUGGAUUAAGGUAAGCAAAUAAACCAUAUAAAGUUAACUAUUUAUUCACGCGGAACGGGGCCCUUGUCACCUAAACGGUGACUAGGGGUCUAUAGCUUUAGGAAUACAUAAUUGUAUUCCUAAUGCUAUAGUGUUCCUUUAAUAUACCUGCGUAUAAUUGCAAGCCUUGCAACCACUAAACUACUGCUACUGGAAAACUGUUAUAAUUUUGUUUCAUAACAUUUUAAGGGAGAGUGUAAUUCCUGUUAAAAAUAUUCAUUUUUUUUCUCAAUUCAAGACUUUCUGAUUUUUUUUCCCAAUUUCGUCGAGAUUCCCUUAAAGGUACAGUCUUCUAAUUCAUUUUAUCUGCAGUUGUGUUUCUUACUAAAGCUUUAUUCUGGAAAUUGCAUAACAUUUGCUACAAAAUGAACCAAACAAAAUGCACACGCUGUGUGUCUUAUACUGCUACCGUAGCAUGCACAACUGAGCUAGUGCCAGGCAGCACGUUACCCCAGAGGAAAUUAUUAGUUCCCUCCCCAGUUUUUACUUUGCUAUCUUAUGUGCCCCCCUUUUUAUUGUUUCUAGAGUCGCUAUUGCCAUGCACAGAUCAAGGCACCUCUUGUAUAAAUUCUGAAAAAGAACAUUAGAGAUCUGUGCAUACUUUUCCAAGAUCAAUAAUGCUUUUUUAUCAGCAACAUUUACUUAUUCAACAUUACUGAAACAUUUAUCAUGGGAAAAAACAGGCCUGGGAGCUGUAAUGGUUGGUAAAUGUUUGCUUGUAAAUAGGCUUUAACGAUUCCAAACAGUGUAAUCAACCCUCCUUUCUCUUUUGUUAUACUCAGCACAAAUGCAUAUGUUUAUCCCUCAUUUCCUAAUGUAUUAAAUCUCAAAUUCCAUGCUCUAUAGAGUGGUCACCUGUGCAGAAAACACAUCUAUAGAUGCUCAGUUAUUGUCUGUGUAGUUACGCUGGUAGUUUCUUUGUUUACAUGGUUCGUUCAACGUGUGUGAUUGACAUCCUUGGAAAAUCAUAAAGUUAUUGUGGUCGUUUUGCUCUGUAAAGCAGCAGACUAUCCUCUGCAUAUUUAAGAUAUGUUUAAAGGGCCCAGAGGUUGGUAAUUCAAGAUUGUUUAAGAGUUAUGUGAGCAGCAGUUGGUAGCAGGAGUUUGUAACCCAAUGCAUCCACAAAAGCUACUAGACAUGUAAAAUGUUCCGUAUUCCCCAACAAAAUAUAAAUAGGGAUAAUAGAGAAACAACAUAGGGAUGGUUCAAUAAGUUUUCUUCAAUUUCUUAGAAAAGGUGUAAUAUUUUAAAAUAAUCAUUAAUCUUUAGUAAAUAAUCUAAUAUUAGUCAACGCAUAUUCAGUCUUAUUUGUAGUGAAAAUGAUACACAUUUUCUAAUUAUGUAGAGGAAGGUUAUUUUAAUACUCACCUUGAGCUGUCAGAAAUUGCUAGGAGAACAUUCCAGGUAGUACAUUAAUUGAAACAACAUUGAAAUGCUUAUUUAAAUUGUAUUCAAUGCUAUUAAAUGGUAAAUUUAAAAAAAAGUCUGUUAAUAGUACAAAAUAUGCAGGAUUUCUUUUUUUCUCCAUCAUUCUAACCUUUCCCUACCUGCUUCUUCUCUAAGAUCUAUUUUUUUGUUGUUGUCAGAGGCUGUCGUGAUAAUACAGUAGUCCAUUCAAUAUCGUUUACGCCCAAUGGUUUUCUGUUAAAAUCAAUAGAAGCAGCACUAGAAAGAGCAGUAUAGACAUGUUUUAGUUCCUAGUUCCCUUUAAUUUGUUUGAUUGGAGUACUGAACAUUCAAUAGGAAUUCCAUUCUUGGAAGAGUUUGAAGCACAAAUGUGGGGCUUCUUGCUGUUUAACAUGCUGUUAGUGAAUGCAAUGAAUGUGUUUAACUAUUCAUUGCAUGUUGAGUUUAAUGAUGUAGCCUCUCUCAAGACUUAGUUCAUUAUAUAUUACUUGGCAGUCUUUCAAGAGGAGAGUUAAAUAUGGCCUUAAAAAUUUUUGAGUACCCAGUGUCACAGAUCCCUUUCGCCACAUUACAUCCCAACAGCGUUCAGCGGAUAUAGGCUACAGAUGGGGGGCACCGAGAACCUGGAUAGUAACACUGAUAGUACCCCACAAUGGUACAGAGUACAGAAUUGGCUAAGCAGCAGAGGCACCAGCAUUCCUAAAGGCAUUGGGCCUACAGGCACCACCCAACAACAAGCCUCGUUCAUCUCACACUUGGGACCCUACCACCAUAGAACCCUUUAGUACCAAGAGCCGGAGGGAUUGCCCCGUCCACCUGACUACACCUAGUCCUUUUACUACUUCUGACAAUGCUACUGGGGUUUCAAUGUUAUCUAUCUGUUUUUGAGCUUGGUUACCUGUUUUUGCAUGCUUUUAUUUUCUUGACAUAUGUCAUAGCAAAAUCAUCCCAAGCUCACAAGCCACUGAAAUAUUUGCGGAGGAUUGACUCCAUUGGUUGGCUACUUGUCCAAACCUUGCCCUAGAUCACACCCUAUCUCACCGCUGGCAAACACGUAACGCCCCCCCCCCCCUCCCCAUGCUGCCCUCCUGGUUAGGGGCACACACAUACAUGAUGACUAUCAUCCCUUGCUGAAAAGGCCUUAGUUAACAUGCUAUGUCCACGUAAUACAUAACCCUGCACCUAGAUCCUAGAGCCAUAUGUAUUGUCUCAUGUUAUUUAAUACAUGAAUAACGCCCAUCCCAAGCCUUAUAUGCGCCCAUGCUGUUCCUAACAUGUUAACUCUUGAAGUCUCGAAAUAUGUUCAACUGUUUUUUCUGUAAAAAAAAAAAAAGUGUUGCAUACAAGACAUACCUAAGGUUGAUAAUCUAUCCGAUACUCUUACCCACUACAAAUGCCUGUUCAGUCUCUGUGAUGUACAUGUUCUAUACUGUGUUUAAUAAUACCAGCACAAGAAAAAUAAAGAAUUUUAAAAACAUGAUUUACAAAAAUUAAAUAAAUGUUGAGCACCAUGCUGAAAAUGUUCAACAGCAUCAUGGAUUUAACCAAAGAACCCAACUUCAAAACUUCAACUGCCUGCAGAGCUGCAUUUGAAAGCCAUAUGCAUUUAAAAUCCAGUGGUAAAGUGUCAAGCAACAGUAUGGUACUAAAUCAGGCAGUUAGUGUAGUUGCAGAGUGAUACAAAAUCAAUUAUACAUUAAGAGUUUGUGUGAGAAGAGAAAGGUUCCCAGCAUUUAAAGGUGUUAGUCACACUAAAAUAAAAUGGAUAUUGACCUGAAAACUCAUUGGAAAUUGCUUGAUAAAGUCAGCUUUUGAAAAGAAUGAAUGGCAUCACACCAAGUGAAAGAUCCAAUGGUCUGGAACCCCUUCAGAGUCAGGUGGAAUUUGUAAAACAUACUCCUUGAAGAGAUGGCGAAGGUGCGCCAGAUCAAAGGUACACUGACGUAGAGGGAAAAAAAGAGUGCAGAUAGUCUACAGAUAGCAUCAAACCAAGGCCAAAGAUGGAAAAAAUACCAGAUUAUAGCUAGAAAAUAGCUAAAAAUGUUCAUCGUCCUACCUCAUUCCAGUUCUUUUAAAUAUACACCGGAAUAUCUAUUCAUAUACAAUGCCCAUUUCCAAACGAGUACGGGUGUAGAAACAAUUCUCCUAAUCAGUAUUGAUAAAUAGCUCUUAGGAAAAAGGAAUCCUUAUGCUUAACAUAAUCCCUAUGCUUAACAUCCAAUGUGUUCAUGUUAACUGCUACACUAUACACUCAGUGUGCACUUCCUGUUAGUCCGGCCGGGUACAGGAGACAGCUGCUCUCUGUACCCGUCGGACCAUGCUGCAGUGAGGGAGCUGACAGGAGCGCUCCCUCCUGUCAGCCUCUCCUCAGGCUGCGCCCGGGCGGUGCGGUCCGCCCUCAUGGACGCACCGCCCGGGCAAAGCUGCAGCCGCCUGAGGCUCUUCACAGAGCGCUCGGGCGGCUGCAGCAUGGGGGGGGGCGGCGGGGCUGGUCAUGGCACCCCCCAUCCUGGUGGCACCCAGGGCGGACCGCCCCCCCCACCCCCCCCACCCCCCCCUUAGUACGCCACUGUGGCACCCCAACUGGUACGGCCAUUGAAGGAUGCUCCUAGCGCUUCCUGAGGGCUACAAGCACUCCAGCCAACACCAUAACCACCGUAGACUCCUUCAGAGAGCAAGACAGGAACAAGCUCUUACAAGAGUUUUGUAGUGAUAUAGCAAGAGAGUAUGACUAGCAUAGCAAUCUCUUGUAGCAGAUUCCCCCAAGAGAUGGCACUCCAAAUUGAGGGUGAAGUAGAACUGAACUUUUUAAUGAAACACUCUCCUUUUAUGCCCAUUCUACACACAUAGUACCCCCCACAGGGUUUUGUAAAACAACCAAUGAAAUACGUACAUUAUAGUAAAACACUCCCAGCAAUUACACACAAAUCCUCCUCUGCCUGUGAUAUAAUUACUGAACACAAUGGGUUAAAGUGAUUAUCACAGGCAGAAAAAAGUACACUUUUUACACAUGUACUGUAACUUAAAAAAUAUACAUUCAAUCUUCAUAAAAUACUACAUAUUAAAACUCAGCACACUUUAAUUACACACAUAUCCAAAAUUCAGCCAAAUCCUUCCAGGGGUUAAAAAGUUAGCUGGAAGUCCUUUAUGACCGACCGCAAGCCCAUUUUCAUGCCCAAAACAGUUCCAUAGAUUUGGGCUGUGCGGUUGAUCUAUUUCACACUGAAAAAAUGACUAAGUCCCAACGCCGAAUGGGACUUAGUCUUAGUGGAGGAGAAUGUAAGGGUCAACGGUGUUCGUGGAAGUGUGUAGGCGAUUUCAGUUUCAUGGAUUUGGCUACACACACCACUGACCGCGUUCGGCAGAAUAUUGCCAGCGGUCGGCAAUUUACCUACAGCAGGCUUCCAGCCUGGGAGGUAAAUUGCCUGCAUGCUUCCACAUCUGGGUGGUCCGCCUGUGUAAUACUUGGUUCAGUAAGCCCCAUUUACUGAACCAAGUGAGAGAAAGCCAGGAACACAGUAUAUUAAAGGUUUGGGGACACUGGGGACACCGUCUUAAAGGGGCGUUGUCCCCAACAAGUCUGGGGACACUGGGGACACCGUCUUAAAGGGGCAUUGUCACAAAAAGUCUCAAUAUGCCCACAUACAGUUCUUAAAGGGCAAUACACAGUCCAAUAGACCAUAAUCACAUGGCAGGAGGCGGGCAAACAGGCCCCUCCAAAAACUCAUGGCAAACUCCCUUAAAUGGGUGAAUUUGCCACAUGUUCCUUUGAAGUUAACGAGCCAGAGGGUGGUCAGGGUUUGGUAGUUUAAAACACUGAAUUAAAGGGAGAAUGGAUUGGGUUUGGUAAUAUGGGGAAAGUUAAAAUAGGGAAGUUCUUCACAGGUAUCCAUGAAACAUUGCAUUUUGGGAACCCCCAUGACAAGACUCUUGAAGCCACUCAUAUUUUAUUUAUUUUUUUCACUUGCCAAUUUUUCUUUUCACAGAGGUCAGGCACUAGUUAUAUUAGUCUUCUAUUUCUGAGCAACCUCAACAGAGGUUACUCACUUGUAAUAUUAUAUUUGGUUAUUGAGCUUCCUUUUUUUCAGAGGACACGUGCUCAUCAAAUACAUUGAGUUACUCAACUGCCCUUAAAGCAGCACUGUCAUACAGAACUUACCUUUCCUCAAUCUCUUCCUCUUCUCCCCCUCUCUCAGGAUCUGUUCUUCUUUUCUUCCUGUCUUCUUUAGUUUUCUUUAAAAUCAUAAGACAAAGUAGGGACUCUUUACCUUAUGGAGGUUUCCUCCGCUUGACCAGCUUUGAUCAGCGGAGGAGCAAAGUGUGCUUCAUUUCCACUGGUCAGAGCAAUUUUCCCAUAAUUCUUACCUUUCCUCUGUGAUCUCGCGAUGCUUCCUGUCAUUUUAGACGAAACUACCGAAUUGCGUUCUAACUGAAUGAGAACAGUAUGUUCGUUUGUUUUAGAACUCAAUUCGGCACUUUGUUCGUAUUGGAAUUUCAUUUGAAUGUAUGAAACUUAGAUUCAAUUUGUGCUGCGGCUGCAUCUUGCAGCCGCUUAGUAGAUAACGCCCUAAUACCAACAGUAUCAGGGAGUUAUCUACUAAAAGGCUGAAAGACCUAAACUGUUCUUUCAGCCACAUUUACUAAUACUAUGUAAAGAUUACUUAGUAUUAUUAAAUUCAGCCCCUACUCGCUGUACCGCGAGUAGGGGCAUGUCAAGUAAACAGUGAGCAGCCUCUAAUAACAAUUAGGGGGGGACCUAAUGUCCUUCCCCCGACCCCCACCCCUGCACGGUGGGUGGGGGCAAUAAUACAAUAAAUGACAAUGGGCGACGGGUGGGGGCCCUAAAUGACAAUGAAGGGGGCCUACUGUCCUCUCCCCUGGCCCCCACCCCUGCGCGGUGGUGGGGGCAAUAAUUCACAAUGGGGGGACCUAUUGUCCACCCCUCCGGCCCCCACCCCUGCGCGGUGGGUGGGGGCCCUAUAUAUGAAUGGUGAGGGACCUACUGUCCUCACCCCGGCCCCCACCGCGGAGCGGUGGGUGGGCGCCCUAAAUAAUGAUAAGGGGGGAUCUACUGUGCUCUGCUGGGCGGGGGAAGGCUUAUAAAGCCUUGCACAGCCCUGCAAUUAGGCUAGUAACACUCUGAUUGGUUGGUUUAAGCCAAUCAGAGUGCUCUUUGUCAUUUUACACAGCCUGGGAAAAGCACUCUGAUUGGUGGGCUUGGAAUCUAAGCAAUCACAGUGCUCUGUGUCAUUUUACACAGCGUGGGAAAGUUCUUUGGAAUUUCCCCACGCUGUGUGAAAUGACACAGAGCACUCUGAUUGGUUAGAUUUCCAGCCAUCCAAUCAGAGUGGUCUGUGUCAUUUUAUACAGCGUGGGAAAGUUCUUUGAAAUUUUCCCACACUGUGUAAAAUGACAAAGAACACACUGAUUGGCUUAAACCAACCAAUCAGAGUGUUCUUAGCCUAAUUGCAGGGUGGGGCAAGGCUUUAUAAGCCUUCUCCCGCCCUGCAGAGCUCAGUCUGCGCGGAGCCCUCCAUGGGUGAAGAUGGAUAAUUUUUUUAGCGUCGGGUUAUUUUCUUUUUUUGUCAGGUUUUUUUUUGUGCUCGGGUUUUUUAUUUCAUUUUAAGUUCGACGGGUAUGAUGGCUUUUUAUUUGGCCUUUUUUGGGGCUGAAAAAUGAAGAUUUUAGAAAAAAGAAGACGUCAAAUGGUAAGUUUAAUUUUUCUUUACAGGUUAGUUAUUUUAUUCCCCCCUCACUAUUUUUAGGGUGAGGGGGAUAGAUAGGGGAUAGUUUUAUUUGGGUGGAGGGAGUGACUAGGGGCUUGGGACCACUAGUCAUCUUGAUUGGGAGGGUGUAAAUUUUCAUUUAGGGCCCCCACCCACCGCUCAGGGGUGGGGGGGAGGACAGUAGGUCCCCCCAACAGCUCAGGGGUGGGUGCUGGGGGGGGAGGACAGUAGGUCCCCCCUUAUUGUUUUUUAGGGCCCCCACUCACUGCUCAGGGGUGGGGGCUGGGGGGGGAGGACAGUAGGUCCCCCAUCCCUAAUUGUUUUUUAGGGCCCCCUCCCUCCUUGUGAUAAACUGAAUGAACAAACGAACACUGAUAUUCAGUGUUAGUUUGUUCGUCUGAAAUUCCUAGUUAUUCAUUUGUCUUUCUGAUGAAUGAAUGAAUAGAUGAAAUUCCUGUUCGCAUGCCCAAGGGUUUAACUGGGCAUGUGCGGGAAUCUCACAGCACUAUCUAGUGUGUGCAGAUGACGUGUCCCACAGGGACUUCCUCUUCCCACACAAUCAAUUCAAUUUUUUUUUUCAUAUAUAAUUUUUAUUGAAAUGUCAUCAAAAUGGUACAGAAUUGCAGUAAGUUCAGGUUAAUUACAACAUACAUUUUCUUGGUCAUGUGAUCGUUAUUUUACAUUUUAUGCAUUUGGAAAUACAACUUGCUUUGUUCUAGGUUGACAUUACCAGCCGUCAUUGGGUUAGGUAUACCUGAAUUUCUAAUUUGUAUUUCACAAAGUGACAUUUUGGGUUUUAUCAUGAACUUUAGGGGAAGGAUGGCUUGUGGAUACAGAAAGGGAAAAAAAAGAAUGGGGGGUUACGAGGGGGAUGGGGGGGAAGUAUGAGUUCAUACACUACCAGUCUAGAUAAUUAUGCAUAGUUUGUACAAUGAGCUAGUUGCAUAGUAAUGUCUAAUGCUUCACUUUGACUCCUGCGACCUCCUACUUGUUUUCCAUCUUAUUUGGAUAACCAAUUGUCCCAUUCCUCUGCAUAUUUCUCCCCACGACCUUGAAGUCUGUAGGCUAUGCUUUCAUAAGAGCUAAUUAUGUCUAAUUUUUGUGUAACAGCUGGUGUGGUGGGGGGGGGGGGAUUUGCUUUUCCAUAGUAAUGCUAUAUUGACUUUUGCUAAUGAAAGUAUAUUAAUGAUCACCUUCCUGUGGGGGUGUCCCACCAAUUUAGGCAGCAUAUGUAGGAGAUAUUGCGCUGGUUUGCGCGGUAGGCGCAUUUGCGUCGUUAGUAUUAGUGACCGCACUUGUUCCCAGUAGCUAUUUAAAUCUAGGCAUUCACAGAAAAUGUGCAGCAUUGUCCCUUUCGCCUUUUCACACCUCCAGCACAAUUCAGAUGUACCUUGGUACAUACGAGCACACCUCAUGACAAUUUAACAGUAUGCCUCCCACAGAGAGAGGCUUCUCGAUGCUUUUUUUUUUCAUCGUCGUUGCCUCGUACCACUGUUCUAUGGGAAACGUUGUUCCCAGUUCCUCUUCCCACUGAUGCAUAUAGGAUAGUUUUGUUUGAGCCAGACCGCCCAGGAUGGCAUUGUAGCAGAGAGAUAGGGGCUUUGUUUGUUUAGGUGAUAGUGCGAGAGUAAGGGUCAAUGCUCCUAUUUGGGUUUUGGCCUGAAGCUGUGUGAAUUUGGUUACUAGUAUAUUUUUUACCCUAAGGUAUAAGAAUAUGUCCCUUGGUGCUAGGGAAUACUGCAGUUGGAGGGUCGGAUAUGCUUUUACAUUGUCUCUCUCAUUUAGGUCUUGUACUGAGUGUACUCCUUUCUCUUUCCAAGUUUUUAUAGCCAGAUCUGGUGAGAGAGCUGUCAGGGAUUCUAUUGGGGCCGCCCGUAGCAGUGCUCGGGCUCCAAGAUACCCAGGAGGAAAAAAAGAAUUUCGUACAUUGUAACAUGCAUGCGUCCGCCGCCCUGGGGAUCAUACUUACCCACAAGGAGUGAGUUAUGUCAUAGGGGCGCAGACAAGCGUUCUCUAGUGACAACCAGAUAGGGCAGUGUCUCGCCUGUGGAGAGUUGAGGAGUCUUAUCCCCUGUGCUAGUGCCGUAGCUCUGUAGUAUGCUCUGAUAUCUGGAAGCCCCAGGCCCCCUUUUGUAUAGGGGAGCCCCAGCGUGUGGCGUGCUACUCUGGGGGGUUUACUCUUCCAAAUGUGUGCAUUUAUCUUGGUUUGGAAUUUGUUCACCAGUUUGUUUGGAAGCGCUAUGGGUAGUGUACGGAAGAGGUAUAAAAUCAAUGGGAGCGUUAUCAUGUUUAGGGCGUUAAUGCAGACUAGCCAUGAACCAGACAGUCAUGGUGUCUGACCAGACAGUCAUUCUGGAUAGUGAAGGGUUUGAAAAAAAAACCUGUGCUGAAUACUUUGACUGAUGGGUUUUGAUAGAGGGCCAUAAUGCUGGAUAUGAAGGAGGCAGGGAAUCCUAUCUUGGUCAGUGUUUGUUCCAUGUACCCCCAGUGUAAUCGAUCAAAUGCGUCUAGAGCCAGUAUCAGUCCCUCCUUUGUGAUGUGAGUUGGUUCAUUAAUUUAAUGUAGUAGUAAUUGGUAAAUCCAUCGGGACCCGGGGAUUUAUGCGCGGGCAGGGAUUUUAUCGCCAAUCUAACUUCUUCCUCUGUGAAAGGUUUCUCAAGAUUAUAUUACUGGUCAAGUGUAAGGUGGGGGAGCUCCACUUGCUCUAAGAAUUGAGCUAUUUCCUCCCUAGAAGGUUGGUGAAUUUCAGGGUCUCUGUGUAGUUGGUACAGGGAUUCAUAGUAAUCGGCUAGUGCAUUGACAAUAUCCUGGGGGUUGUUUAGUUUGUCCCCGUCUUUUGAUGUCAUAUACAGAAUUUUUGUUUGGAGGUGGCGUUGUUUGAGUUUUUUGGCUAGUAAUUUACCUGCUUUGUUCCCUGCUGUGUAGUAGUUUUGCUUUAGGUAUCUCAUCAUUUUCAUUGUCAUUGUCCUGCAGCUGAAGUGAGUACAAGCUGGCUUUUAGUUUUUCUAGCUUGUCGUGAUGUGUUUUGGUUGGGUUGCUCUUAUGUAGAGCCUCCAGGGUGUAGAUUUCGUGUUCUAGUUUAUACUGAUUGGUUUUGUGAGCUUUCUUCACUAAUGAACCUAGUUGUAUUAGGUUCCCCCUCAUCACUGCCUUGUGCGCUAUUGUGGUGAUUGGUAUUGUGCAGUGAAUGUGGUCUGAGAAGUAUUGUGUGACUUGUUUUAUUAUCGUUGCUAGGGAUUUUGGAUUAUCUAACAGGGACUCGUUCAGACGCCAGGUACCUCUGCCUCUGGCUGGAUGAGGCGUUUUCAAGUCGACCAGUACUGGUGCAUGGUCCGACCAGUUGAUGGGGCCUAUAUUUGCUCCUUUCACAAGUGGGAGCGUUCGCCUAUCAGAGAGGCACAAGUCUAUUCUAGAGUAGGUCAUGUGAACUUGAGAGUAGUAUGUGUAGUCCCUCAUUCAAGGAUGGAUACUACGCCAUAUAUCGUAAUAGUCGUGUGUGUGCAGUAGUUUGGACAAGUGGCCUCCUAGGGAUAUGGAUGUGUUUUUGGGAGGUCUGUGCUGGGAUCUGCUUAUGUCCAGGUGCGGAUCUAGGGAGCAGUCAAAGUCUCCGCAGAUUAUAGUAUGUCCUACUUUCACUUGGUCAAUUUUCCUAAAUGCUUUGUUUAGAAACGAUUUUUGUGUGUCAUUUGGUGCCUAUAGGGAUAUUACUGUCAUUUGAAUGCCAUUUAGGGUUCCUACCACUAUCAGGAGCCUCCCAUCCCCACUCGUAUACUCCUUGGACAGUGUGAAAACCCAGUCAUCGUGAAAAUAUAUCGAGACUCCUCUCUUUUUGGAAUUAGCCUGUGCAUGAAAGGCUUGGGAGUAGCGUUUGAACGCAAAUUUGGGGGGGUUGCAUGCACAGAAGUGGGUCUCUUGUAGGCAGGCAAUGGCUGCUUUGAGGUAGUUAUCUCACGCAUCAUGAGCCUACGUUUAUGGGGCUAUUAAGGCCCUUAACAUUCAUAGAGAAGAUUUUAAGGGAGUCAUCCAUUGUCGCAGUAGGUUUUACUUCUAAUCAUGCUCGUUGACAUACUUGGAUUAAUGGUGAUAGUGGUGAGCUCAUAGGGAAGGCGCAGGACAUAAAACAUUUUGGGUAUUAACAACAUAAAAUAUAAAAAAAAGUAUUUACAUAGCGCCCUGAACAUAACUGGCGCUCUCCGUGGAUGAGUCACAAGUCUGGUCAUCCCACCAGCUUGUAUACCCCUCCUUGGGGGUGUUUUAACCGCAUAGUGCUUCCCAAUUGACCCAAAUGAUAGCCGUUGUGCCGUUCAGUAUGGCUCACUCUGUUAUCGGGUGAGCCCGUUAACUAGUGCUAUUAUCUUUGUCCCAUUUGGGUUAUACUGUGUCGUUGCGCUUUGUUGCCCACAGGACCUCGUAUUCCCUGCUCAUGGGGGUUGACCCACUAGUGUAUACACAUCGAUACUUUCUGAAACCACCCGCAGUCUAACUUGCCUCAGAGGCACUACUAGGUGCAUGAGCUUUUUCGUGUUUUUGCUUGAUCCCAUUUGGGCUCAACUGCUAUUCCAAGUAUGCAUCAUAUUAUGGUGCCUGCUAAUUGCUAUUGUAUGCACGUUAAAAAACCCGGUUUAACCAUGGCCCUACAGUAUAUUAGUGUCGUACAGUUAAUUCUAAACAUAAUGUAUAACUUGUUAUUCAACAAUAAAAGAUAUGGUGUCUGAACAAUCAUUGCCCAAAGUUAUAUUAUAAGUCCGUCUUACUGAGUUGCAUGGGGUUAGUCCGCCAUCUACCAGUCUUCUCGUUGUUGUUUCGGUGGUGUGACAGUUCGAUCUUGUGGUUCCCCGUGCGGGAACAUGCCCCAUUCUUUCAGGAGACGCACGCCCACUUCUGGUUCAUUUGCUGUGUAAUAUCUCCCUUGUCGCCAUAUUAGGAGCUUUGUAGAGUAUCAUACAGGGUGUCUGUCAUUACCGUUUCUGGUAUCCCUCGAAAGAGCACAUUAUUUCUUCUGGACCGAUCCUCCAUGUCCGCCACCUUUCGUUUUAUUUGAUUAUUCCUGAGAGGUUUUGUUACUGUGAUGAAUUCUCUGUCAAGCCAUCGUUAACGCUGAUAAGUCUGCAUAUAGCGUAUGGAUCAGGCAUUGUAGUAAUUUUCCUCGCCGCAGCCAAUAGAGCUUCUUUGGUCUUGUAAUAGUGGAAUCUUGCCACUGCGUCUCUCAGGGUGUCGCAGGACAGCCUUUGGGGCUUCGGCAGCAGAUGUGCCCUGUCCAUGAGCCAGUCACCUUCUUUUAUAUCCGGUAAAAGGGUCUUGCAUAGAGUUACCAGGUAGUCAUACAGGGUGUCUGUCGUUACCGUUUCUGGUAUCCCUCGAAAGCGCACAUUAUUUCUUCUGGACCGGUCCUCCAUGUCCGCCACCUUUUGUUUUAGUUGCUGGCGCUCUUCAGUGAGAUUGUGCACCAUGCCCGCUAGCCCAGUGUGCUCCGUGCACAGCUCCUCCGUGCGGGCUUCUAGGCUGUGUGUGCGUUCGCCAAGAUCUGUUACUUCUCGUUUUAGUUCAUUAGUCACCUGUUUAAAAUCCGCUUGUAGUGUGACUCUAAACUCUUGUAACAUCGAGUAUAGUUUUUUUUCCGACACUGGAGCAUCAGUAUAUCGGCUGGUCUCCAUUUCUGAGUCUGAUUGGGCCUCCGAGGUCUGUAGGCCUAUGUCGCCAUCUUGAUUAGGCCUCAUGCGCUCUCCGGGGUCCCGUCUGUUUCGUAGGGGCCAUUCCGCAGUAUGCGUAUUAGGGGGUGGUUGCAGGGUGUUUUAGGCGUAGGUUGCUUCGAGUAACCAGGUUAACGGGUCAUUGGGCCGGGAGCACUCACUCCAUGCGACCUCUCUCCUCGGCAGUUGGCCACGCCCCCCCAUUAAAUUUUAUUAGUCACUGAGCAUUCUUUUUACAGCAUACACAAGCUCAACAAAUUUGUAUUAGUAUUUUCUGUUUCUGAGCUACCUCCAUCAGAGGCUACGAGCUCGUCAAAUUGGUAUUAGUACUUUCUGUUUCCGAGCAACCUCCAUCAGAGGUUAUACACUCAUCAAUUUGGUAUUUGGUUAUUGAGCCUCAGUAUUUUACAGAGGAUACAAGCUUAUCAAGUUCCUCAUCAAGUUUCUUCUUUCACAGAUGUUACACCAUCAUUAAAUUAAAUAUUAGUUACUGGGCAUUCUCUGUCACUCAUCAAAUUUGGAAUUUGUUCUGAACUUUCUCUUACAGAGGAAACAUGAUUGUCAAAUUUGGUAUGUCCUCUUUCUAAGAAGUCACGCACUUAUUAAAUUUAUAUUUGGUCCCAAACUUCCUCUAAUAGAGGUAUGUGCUCAUCAAAUUGUUAUCCUGUAACUGAGCAUCCUAUUUUUUGUGUUGAGCUUCCUCUAAAACAGAGGUCACAUGUUCAUCUAAUUCUUAUGCGGGUACUGAGCUUCCUCUUAUACAAAGGGAUUAGCACCCAUUCAUAUUUGUCACUAUGCUUCUUCUAUCACAGAGGUUACAUGUUCAUCAAAUUAUCAAUUAGUCACUGAGCUUCCUCUUUCUCAGAGGACACAUACUCAGCAAAUGUAUAAUAUUAUUUAUAUUUAGAUUGUUUUAUGAGUUGAAAUUGGUUCUGAACUUACCCCAUUGACGAGGUCACACAAUUUGUAUAUAGCGUUUACAGAUACCUUUUCAAUGGAUACUUGUUCUGUAUAUUCUUUUUUGUGACCUUUAGUCUACAUCUCUUUUAUGGCUUUGUCUAUAAUCUAUCUAACAACACUUUAAGUUGUUACCUUAACAUUGAAGUUGGAUUUGAUGCCUCCUAACACAAAAUUCCUUAAAUAUGUUACUAGGUGGCUGGAGGUCAGCAAUUUAUGCUAGACAUCCUUCACCGAUGCACAUACAUUUGUAGCAUUCUGUGGCAGUGUGGUAUUGUUUUUGAAAAGUAUAAUAUUGCAUUAAAUGUUUUGCUCUCCUUAUUUACAGGCCUAACGCGACCAUUGGUUCCGCCACCCUCCAAUCGACUUUGCCUAAGAUAGUUGUGAUAAGCACGGCCUAUGGUCCCAAACCACAAAUGUUAAGGUCCUAGGCCUGUAGUUGUGGGAGGGGUUUAUUUAACCUUUAAAUCGCCCUGCUGCUUGUACCUCAGGACCACAGGCAUUCCAUAAGUCCACCCUUUCUUGAUUCUCUUCUAAACAAUGCCUCCUAAAACAAUAAUCUGUUAAUAAUAGAUAAUCUGUUACUUAUCUUAUAUUUUGUUAACGAUCAGUAAAGUGUUUGGCAAGCCUGUCUACCCAGCUCUGAACAUUAAGGGUAAGCCAGAGUGCUAGUAAGCAUGUAAGAAUAACUCAUGAGUGGGUAUCCUCAAGGGCGGGACCAUGUAAAAGAAAGGAAAAUACGAAAGAACAGAAGUGUAAUCACAUGAGUAACAGAGAGAAAAAUUAUUAACAUGAUAAACCCUUUAAUCAGUGGGUGGAGCGCUGAAUAAUAGACAAGCAGAUAUUAGCUUACCCCUCUGUAUGGUAAUAUAAUUCUUGAUGUGGAGUGAUACAUAAAAGAGAAAAAAACAUAAAACAAAUCUAGUGCAGAUGGUAUUUGCAAUAUACUAGAUGCAAAAAAAAAUAAAGGUAGACACACUCAUAAUCUUUAGAGCCUGAGGAUAAGGCUCUAUAAUAACGCAGCUGUGCUGUUAAAAGGUAGCACCUCACCUUCUUAGAUAAACAGGAAUCUCAAGGCAAGCAAAACAUAGGUGCAGUAUGUCUGUGUUUAUAAUAAGCUAAAAUCACUUCAUAAAAGAGGACUCUCACUUUAAUAAGAGCCCAUAUGUGCCUUGGCUCUCAGGUGUAAAUGCCUGGUGUUAAUUUGUGCAGUGACACUCCCCAAUCUGGAACCUGGAAUCGGACAGACUACCAAAUAGUACUAAAAUCCACUAUUUAUUAAUAUAAAAUCAAAGGUGAAUAAAAAUACAUAAAAGCAAAAUAAAAAGGGACUUAUCAGUCUAUGGUAGUACAGUCAUUGUAUGCCAAAACGCGUUUUGCUGUGAAAGAUUCUUCAAAUGGCUGUCCAAAGGGACGUUUGUCACAGUCACUAGGCUCAAUAACAAAAAAUGUUGCUUUGUUCUCCAUGUAACUACAGUAGCUGUCGUGUUAUUUUGACACAACUAAAUUAUCAAAAUCGGAAAUGCAGACAUAUUUGAUGCCUGUCUUGUCUGUUAAAUAACAAAUUCUCUGUAAAAACUCCCACACAACAUGGUGAGUUACGCAUGUGUGGAAUAACUUGCAAAAACAUCAAAUUGUCGGUCAGUAUGAAGUCACUCAAACUGUCUUCUUCCAUCCAAUUUUAAUAAAAAAAACAGCUGCUCUAUUGUUAAUGUAUAAUAAACAAUUAUAUACUAAAUGCGCCUAUUAUGAUUGCUACACUGUAUUUUAACGAUACUAUAAAUACUUCCUAUAUUGUCAAUGUGUAUGUGCCCUGUAGAACGGGGGUAGGCAAACUUUGACACUACAGAUGUUGUGGACGCCAUCUCCCCUGAUGCUUUUCAAGCAUUAUGGCUGUAAGACCAUUAAAUGAGAUGCAAUCCACAUCUGAAGUGCCAAAGGCUGCUCUAGGAGAAUGAGAAAAAAUUCAGUGUGCCUUCCUCGUUAUAUAUAUAUAUAUAUAUAUAUAUAUAUAUAUAUAUAUAUAUAUAUAGCGAGGGCUUGCACUCCUGGUGUAAUCCUGUGGUGCCCGGUGCUGGUCUGGCAAGGAUCAUGUAGACAUAGCAGAAAUGACCACACUCCAAGGACUUUAUAGAGAUUUUCAAAUAAAAUGUAACUUUUAUUCAAUCCAUUUAUAAAGUCAACGUUGUAUAUAUACACACACACAUCUUUCUUUUUCUUUCUUUUUAAUAAGCAAAUAUUUAAAAUGUACAGAAUGCUGCUCACAUGCACUUUCCUGGAGGAUGCAAUAGAGUAUAUGUUUUUAUUUUCUUCUGUUCAUUCCAUGGAAGUUAGGGGCCUUGAUUAUUCUCUGGGCUUUAGUACAUAAUAACUGAAAAAAGUAUCAGACUUGGGAACUGUGAAAGUCUGCCCCAGAUAUUCUCCCAAGACAUAAAUUGAUGAUACUAACGCUUAAAAAAAAAAAAAAAAUGUGGUAGAGAAUCACAAUUAGAUGCAUACCAAGGCAUUGUCAUUAACAGUAACUAAUGCACUGCUCAGGGACACAGCAUUCUUGAGUCAGACCUUCCAGGUCAAAUCCAAAACAUACAUCAUAGCUAUGGGAUGCUGUGUCUGUGGGCUUUCUAUAGAGUCAGUGGGCUCUCUGCUGAGUCAGUUGACUCAGCAAUAGGCAUUUGCUAAUAAAAGCUUCAAUGUAGUUUAGAGUACCGUAAUAAGACCAAGAAAACACAAUAAGGCAAUGAGUGGUAGCAUCACUGUAACUCUUGCAAUACAGCUGAACAGAAUCAAUGGCAUAUUGACCAAAGCAGGAAGAUAAGAUUGUUGAUCAAUUAGAAUCAAAUAAGAGAACACAGAGCUACUGUUUGCUUUAUGCCAGAAACUCAGGAGGGAAGGUGGGGGAGGGAAGAUAGAGGGACAGGGGGGAGCUGGCUUUCUCAAUGGUCUUUAAACUUGCACCUUAUUAGCAUCUGCCUGUAAUGUAAUGGCCAUUAACCUCUGCAGUGAAUUUUUUGCUUUUUUUUCAACUUUCACUUUUUGAUUAUUAUUAUUGCGAUUAAUUAUCUAUGCUGUUACUAAAAUCAUCCAGUUGAUGACCAUACCAACUGGUGUUGGGGCAAUGAAAUAUAAAAAAAAACUGCAACUGAAAGCAAAACCAGGACAAUCUGUGUCUAGUAUGAUUUAAUAAAAUGACAUAGUCGGGAUUUACUGUGUGAUAUUAGGAGCAUUUUUCAUUGAAACAGAUGCUACAUAGCAGCUUUCUGUGCUAUAAUUAUUUUCAAAUGUUUUAUUGAAAGUUUUAAAUAUGAUAACAAACCAAACAAUAAUAAUGAUAAUAAUAACAAGCAAACAAUGAAAAGGGGUAAGUAUACAAGUACUAUUAAUCAACCAAUACUAUUUAAAAAUGAAAAAUAAUUAAUAAAUAAUUUAAAGAAAUUGUACAAUAAUAAAUAUAACUUUACCAUUGGUAGUGCCUUAUUUAGCAACCGUAAUGCAGUGUCUGUGUCUGUACAGCCCCAGUGCAUUGUCUCGCAACCAUAAAACAUUUUUAAUAGAACAAGGAAAAAUCUUGUCUGAAUCCAUUUCAAACCAAUGAGGGCAUCCAUGAUCGACAUUAAAUGUAAUCGCCAUAGCAGCGUUAGUUGCCUAAUAGUAAUGAAUAACAUUUGGCAAACCCAUACCUCCACUAACCCUUAGUUUCUGCAUUAUGCUCAUUUUGAUUCUACAUGAUUUUUUAUUCCAUAUGAAUGUCAGAAGGGCAGAAAGAACCUUUCUAAAAAAAAGAUAAAAGUGUGGUGAGGGUGAUUGCUCUGAUAAAAUAUAACAUUUUUGGAAGGAGAGACAUCUUGACCGAAUUAAUCCCACCUAACCAUGAGAUUUCAAGACUACACCAAAUCUCAAGGGUGUCCCUAAUUUUGGUCCAGGUUACAGAUGUCAGGCUUCCCGCUCUCUUGCCUGCUGCCAGAGCUCCGGGUGCAGCGGUCUCCGCCGACAUUCUCACUGACACUGCAAGCUCACGUGCAGGGUAUUUAAAUAGGCGCCCGAUUGACAUAUCAAACCUGGCACUUAGCAAUGACGUUAAGGGUCAUAUUAGCAGGAUUAAACAUCCUCCAUGAAUAGUGAUAAAUUCCAAGUGGAAGUUAACCAAUCACAAGUAGCUCUUGCCUAUAUAUACUCACCUCUCCCAUUUCUUGUUGCCCUGCUGUGGUCUUCUGAUAGCCCAAUAGUGCGUUUACUCUGUCUGAUUGUUGGUUACUGAAUUUUGGCUUUGUCUCUCAUUUAUUCUGUCUUCUUUGAUCUUUGACCUCUCUCUAUUUGCAUAGCCCGGCCACUCUAAGGACUGGUAUUGCAAUUUCCACUCUUGUGAUAUGUCUGUGUGUCUGGUUCCGGAACCAUGACAUUACAACAUGCCCUCAUGGAACCUAUGGACAUAUCCCAAUAACUAGCUAAUCAAGACUCCAGGAUGGAUAGUCUUGAUCAUCACAUGGACCAGUUUGCCCAAGCGCUUCAGGCCAUCUUAGUUCGUACUGCCCAUUUGCAACUUGACGUACAGGAAAAUGCAGCUGUUCCUCCGGUUUCUGUUCCUUAACCAGUACCGGUCAUCCCAGCUCAUACUGUCCACAUGACAACCCUGCAGCAUUAUCGUGGUGACCCAACAUUAUGCCGUGGGUAUCAACGUUCAUCUGGUUAUGAACCCACGUUCAUACCCUAGGUCUAAAAUAGCGCUUUUAAUAAAUCACCUAUUGGGUAGGGCCUUGGCUUGGGCUAACCCCAUAUGGGAGUCUGGUUCCUCCAUGCCUUUAAAAGGAUAUUUGAUCUCUCUGGUAGAGUUACUUCUGCUGGCAAAGCCUUAUUAAGAAUCAAACAAGGGUCAAGAACAGUAGCAGACUAUGCUAUAGAAUUCCAAACCUUGGAAGCAGGGGUAAUAUGGAAUAAUGACACUCUGGCAACCGCUUUUCAGGAGGGAUUGGCUGGUGGGCAAUCCCCAGUCCCCAUUACUCCUGGAUGAUGUCAUAGACUAUUGCAUCGUAAUAGACAAUCAUAUAAGUGUUGUCAUAGAGAGACCCAAAGAAGGUUACAAGCCCAUCCACUCCCUUCUCUGCCCGCAACCAGGGCCGGAUUAACAUAGGGGCUGAUGGAGCUGCAGCUCCAGGCCCAUGCCCAUGAAAUAGGCCCAUUGAUUUAAAAUAUAUAUAUAUAUAUAUAUUUUUUUUUUUUUUUUUUAAAACACACUACUCUUAGGGUUUCCACCUGGCUGGUAUUUCACUGGCACAGCCAGUAAUUUGAGACUUCCUGGCCGGUGCCUACAUUGCAGUCAUACUGACAGUACAAAUGCUGUUUUUUUUCUCAGUAUGGACAGAGAUUACGAUGCAAUGCCAGCACUGGCCAGUAAGGGUCGCUGUGUGUGGAGAGAGGCAGGGAUGGGAAGUUCCAGCAUAUCCUUCCCUGCCUAUUUCUACUCACUGAUCCGCAGGGGAGCAACUACAGAGAGUCCAGAGAGCCACUCCCAGCCUGCAGAGACAGCUUACAGCUCAGGGAAGUGAUGGGGGGAGGGGGGCUGCAAGAAGACAUGGGGGCACUGGGAGAUAUGGGGACAUUGAGACACUAAGGGACAUUGGAAGACACAUAGACACUGGGAGACAUGUCUCCCAGCCAGUGUCCCUGUGUCUCAGUGUCCCCAUGUCUUGAAGUGUCCCUUAGUCUCCCAGUGUACCCAUGUGUCCCAGCCAGUGUCCCUAGUGUCUCAGUUUCCCCAUGUCUCUCAGUGUCCCCAUGUCUCUUAGUGUCCCAAGUAUCUCAGUGUCCCCAUGUCUCCCAGUGUCCCCAUGUCUCCCAGUGCCCCAAGUGACUCAAUGUCCACAUUUCUCUCAGUGUCCCCAUGUCUCUCAAUGUCCCCUGUCUCAGUGUCUUCAUGCCUCCAAGUGUUCCUAGUGUCCUAGUGACAUGGGGACCCUGGGAGACAUGGGGACACAGAAACUAGGGAACACUAGGAGACAUGGGAAUACUGGGGGACACAGGGAGACAUGGGGACUCUGGGCGACAUGGAGACACAAGAGGACACCCGGAGACAUGGGGCAUUGAGACACUGUGAUACAUAGGGACAUUGUGAUAUAUAAGGUCACUGGGAGACAUGGGGACAUGACACUAGGGGACACUGGGAGACAUAGGGCACUGAGACACUGUGAUACAUAGGAACACUGUGAGACCUGAGGUAAUCGACACAUGGAGACACUGAGUCAUGAGGGCACUGGGAGACUAGGGGACACUGGGACACUGGGCGACAUGGGGACUCUGGGAGACAUGGGGAAACUGAUACAUAGGGACACUGAGACAGUGGGAGACUUGAGACACUGGGUGACAGGGAGACACUGGGAGCAAUCCAUCUACACAGCAGAAUCAAACUAAGUAGUUUUUUGGUGAUUUUACAGCAUUUUCUCUUUUUUCACUUGUGAUGUCACCCAUACAUAAUUAAUUAUGCAAAAUAGUAAGGCUGGUAUGUUUUUCUAAAAAAAGGUGGCAACCCUAACUACUUUUCACAUACUCUUGCCUAAGUAUGUAAACUUAAGAGGGAUGUAUGGGAACAAAACUUGUCUCACAGUUUAGUUAAGAUAAUGCUGACUUUGGUCUCUCUAACUCUUUGACAUGUUCAAUUUCUUCUACACUCACUACAUAUAGCUUUUCUCUGUCCCAGACUAUAUGCCAGGAGCUUCUGCCUGCUAGUACGAAGGUAAGGAGACCUUCGUAAGGAGACAAGUGGACCAGCGAGUACUAGGGGACAGUCCUUAGAAAGUGUUGAGCGAGCCCAUCAUUAGACGCAUUUAUGCCAAGCUCAGUUUGCCCUUAGUUGGCUAGCAUGUAUGAUUGGCAGGCAGCUUGACAUGUAUUUAUGCCAGGCUGGCCUUCCAAUUCUUUCGGCAGACAUGACCUCUUUUUGGGCAUGCUCGCCCCUUUUGGCAGGUUAAGUGAUUUGUGUCAGUGGCAGGCACACCCAUUUACCAUGCCCAUUGACUUACUGCUUCACUGGACAUUGCUGUUAGGGGUUACUUAAAAGAUGAAAACAUAAAUUAGUGAGAGAUUAUCAUAGGCAGGGCCGUCUUUAAUAACGAAUGGACCCUGGGCAAGUGUUUGCUUGGGCCCCCUGUGCCCUGCCGCUCUCGCCCCUCACUCCCUGGUAUGCAAUCACGGCAUCCAUCCCAACGCAGUGGCGGUACUAAAGUAGAAUGAAUUUUAUUGGGACCCCCAAUUGCAAGGUUGGACUAAAGGUAGAACCCCAUCUGUCGUGCAACUCCAACAAUGCUUUGACAGCUGGGACUCUACCAAUUUCCCAUGCUUGCAGGGUUGUAUUUAGCACUGAGCCAUGUUAGUAUGUUUGAAUGUAAGCAUGUGUUUGUAUGGAGUAUGUUUGUGUGAAUGUGUUUGUAUGUGGUACUGGAGUUUGAAUGCAAGUGUGCAUUUAUGUGUAGUGUUUGUUUUUGAAUGUAGGAGUGUGCUUGUAUGUAGUGUUGACGUUUCAAUGCAGGAGUGUGUUUUAUAUGUAGUGUUGAAGUUUGAAUGGAGGAGUGUAUUUGUAUUUAAAGUUGCGGCUCAGAUGCACAGGUACACACUCUGACGCACAAGCAGAUACACAGAUACAUACACUGACUACAUACAGAUAAACAGGCACAUACACUGACAGACACACUGACACAGGUACAUAUAUUGACACACACACAGACACAUACACUGGUAGACGUACUGACAGACAUACUGACACAGGCACAUAUACAGACAUACUGACACACAGACACAUAUACCGACAUACUGACACACACACACAGACACAUACACUGAUCAACAUACUGACACACAUACACUGACAGAAAUACUGACACCCACACACUGACAGAUAUACUGACACCCACAUACACUGAGAAAUACUGACACACACACACAGGCACAUACACUGACACACACAGACUGAUAUACUGACACACACACACACAGACAUACUGGCACACAGACAGAUAUACUGACACAUGCAUACACAUGCACUAACAGACAUACUGACGCACUGACAGACAUACUGACACAUACACAUACUGACACACACAGAUAUACACACACAUAUAUACUGACACACAGACAGACAGACAGACAUACUGACACACACACAGACAUGCUGACACACACACACACAUACCCUAACACACAUACACUAACACACAUACACACACACUAACACACAUACACUAACACACAAACACACACACUAACACACAUACACACACACUAACACACAUACACAACACACACACACUAACACACAUACACUAACACACAAACACACACUAACACACAUAAACACACACAUACAUACACUAACACACACAUACAUAACUAACACACACUAACACACAUACACUAACACACACAAACACACACAUACAUACACUAACACACACAUACACACACACACAAACACACACACACACACAUACACUAACACACAAACACACACAUACACACACACAAUACACACACACACACAAACACACAAACACAAACACACAACACAUACACUAACACACAAACACACACACACAUACACUAACACACAAACACACACACCAUACACCAACACACACACACUAACACACAAACACACACACACAUUUUUUUUUUUUGACCCCCAGCCUCCUUACCUUUGAGUGCUGGGGAUUCCCUGGGUCCAGUGGUGCUGCUGGGCUCCUGGGUGGUGGCCGGUCGGCGGGCAGGAAGGCGGGCGCGCGAGGGAGCACUCAGUGCUUCCUCUUCAGCUCCCUCGCGCCGCGUAGGGAUGCCGGCGCCGGAAGAUGACGUCAUCUUCCGGCUCCGGCAUCAGUGCGGUGCGCGAGGGAGCUGAAGAGAAAGCACUGAGUGCUCCCUCGCGCGCCCGCCUUCCUGCCCGCCCGACCGCCCGACCGGCCACCCACCUGCCGGGGUCAGCGGGGCCCACGGGGCAGGUGCCUCGGGCCCCCCAAGAGAAACUGGGCCCGGGGCAGCUGCCCCGUUUGCCCCGCGUUAAAGACGGCCCUGAUCAUAGGGUAUGUGUUUUGUUAUAUCUGCUGUUUUCUUUCCCUCCAGCACCAUUUCCAUCAGAUACAUGAUGCUUGGGAGUGCUUUAGUGUUUGUCGAUAAGAUUCUGUAAUUAGGCCCAUCACAAUUCUCAGCACCAGGCCCACUGGGCUCUUAAUCUGGCCCUGCUCGCUACACCUUUGCUCGUCCUACCUCGACCUAGUCCACCACCCGAACCCAUGCAAUUGGGCUACACUAAGCUAACAGUUUUGUCUUGGUCAGGCAUCACCACAGAAUAUGUCACUAUAUCCCUUUUAUCUAUCACCCUGCAUAUUGCAGAUGCAAAUCUGUCGCUUUCAUGUGUCACCAUGUACAUUGCAAAUUCAUGACUAUGGUCCUACAUUUCUUUGUGCAGCAGUCUAUCACACCCUUUAACUGACUUUUCAUCAGUUGUUGCAGAACAAAAUUUCAUGUGAUUCCAUGUGCUUUCCAAUGUUUCAGAAUUUUUUUAUUGAUGACCACAAAACAGUGACUUUUAGCACAAACACACUCACACCAAAAGAAAAAUGCAUCUGAUAUGAUUUAAUGCCAAAUAGGACAUUUAUACAAACAAGUCAGAUUCACACAUCAGGAUCCACAAACUAGAGGAGCUUAUUGUAAUUGAUGUGCUUUUCCUAGUAAGUCUUUGUUAUUUGCGUUAUUAAAUUCCCCUUUUUUAACAAUAUAAUUUGUUCCUCUCUGAUUCCUCUCUUUUCAUCUGUUCCUACUAAAUGCCCAUUUGAUGAGGUACAUACUCCCAGCUCAUGAGCAACACAAACCAACCUGUGCGUAAAAGGAAAGAAAACCAUUUCAGUGUUUGCAUAGUGUCCUCAUUAGUGAUAUAAUUUUAUACAAUUUCUGACAAAUGGUUUAUUGCAAAGUAACAAAUUGCUGCCCAUCUGCCAGUAGAAGGUGGCUGCGUACACUGUAUAAAGCCUACACAAUAUAUGAAUUUGUUGCUUUUAUUAUCUGUUUUUGCUAAUUAAAUAAGAAAGCAUAUCUAGAUAGCUGCAUAAUAAGAAGAAACAACAGAGAGAACUGUAUUAGCUUUAUUCUGAAGUGGAACAUAUUGCACAUUAAAUGCAUGUUAGCACAGCAGACUCUACAGUGGAUCCAUUUUAAAUAUAUACAAUAUCUGCCAGUUAUCGUAACAGACAGAUUAUGGUUUUCAUCCUGUAUUGCACAGCUAGAUGGACUGCAAUUUUUUCACAUCUUGACUGACCUUCAAACUGUUUCCUUUGUAUAUUUUCCUUAAUGGUAUUUACUGUGAUCUGUACUUUUGUUCUAUUCAUUUCAAGGGACAAUCUAAGCUUAUAAAUAAAUAUAUUUAUUCAUAACAUUCAAGUGUUCCUUUUAUCUAUUAGCUUCAGGGCUCCCACUACACAAUCUAAAAAAGAAAUGUAAUCCAGCAAUAUUCAGUCUCCAUAUAGUAGCCACCAGGGCCAGAGUUGCAUGUAAGGUGUCCCUUGCUUUCCCCUUUCAAACUAAAAAAAAUCAAAUCAAGUGAGUUUAAUUAACUUAUUAAUUGGGAAUUGCAGGCAUACAAUUGUCUAAAAAUAUAUUUUUAUUUGACUACUACAUGUGUAUAUUUAUGUAUGCACAUAUUUCUGCUUGUACUGUAUUGUUUUUGCAUCUGUGAGUAUAGUGUAUGUUGCUUUGUAAAUUCAUACAUAGUUAAAGAUAAUUUUACAUGUAUUUAGGAUAAAGAGGGGUUUAAUGUUCGAGAAAGAUUAACAUUAGCGUUAGAUUACACAGUGUGUUCAAUAUUAAGAUGUUGCAUAGCUUGAAAGAGCUUAAAGUUGUGGUAUAAGGACUGUUCUGGAUUAUUGGGUAUAGCGUUAUAUUUGGUGUCAAUUUAGUUUGAGGGUAUAUGGAGUUUAGUUUUCAAGAACACAAACCUAGGAUUAAGGUAAACAGAUUUUUUUUUCCAAGUUUAGUUUUUGAGUUCUUAAUUCUAGACCCAAAAUUAGGGUUUGUUUAGCUUUUGGGAGGGGUAAAAAAAAUUUAAUUUUGGAAAAAGAGGUGUUUAGGGUACAGACAUAUGUAGAUUGGAGCGUAAUUUACAAAGUCCUCAUUGUCCUCUAAAAGAACAUCAGGAGCUUUUAUACAGCGUGCAUCAUUCAAUGCUGUCAGUUAUCCACCUGGAAGGCAUUUCCUGUUCGUAAGCAGAUGGGAAGUGAUCCCUUCCUUUUCCUGUCCAGACUCACAUACAGGCACUUUUCCUACAGCACUCCUAUCAAGCAUAGGAGGAUGACUGAGCUACAGCUGACACUGGCCAAGGCUACUGAUACUUGUGUCUCCCAACCAGCUGGCUUAUGCUCCAAAAAGACACAUUAUUUGUGCUUAAGCACUUGCCCUCCAACAGUACAUGUGUCAGGGUUCUUACCUGAGGUGGGAGUCUGUAGCACAGAUAUGUUUGCUCACCCUUGCAGAUAGACACAGUCCAAGGUGACCAGAUAAGAAGCCACGUGGACUGUAAAUCUGUGCAUGGGGGCUGGGCAGGAAAGGUGAUUCCAAUGCUAUACUGACAAGGACACAAACAGCAGGAUAGUCGAGGGAUAGAUGAAGUCAAAGGAUGCCAGAGGUCAGGAUAAACAAAGUGUAGCUGAAGUCAAGGGAUGCCAGAGGUCAGAAUAAACAAAGACAUAAGCCGGGGUCGAUAUGGAAUUAAAGUUCAAGAGACUAGAACACAGGAUCACACACAACAGGAUCAAAGACUUGAUCAAGUUCCUAGGGCAAGGUUGAGUUUAUAUUUCCUGCUGAUGACUGAUCUGAGUCAGAAGAAUGACCACAGACGAAGUCCAGCCCUAAGUGCUGCAGACAAGCCAGGUAGAACAGGGCUAGAAAUACUCAAAAGAAUAGGAACUGCUGUGGCUGAAAGGGAGUAUAGCAGGCCCAGGAUAGCAAAGGACUCAGGUUUAAAUCCCCUGUUGGGCACUUCUGGGGUGACCACGUCUGGAUGUCACGGUGAGAACUGUCACGGAGACAACAUGCACUGCCUACUGUAAGUUUCUGAAUGAUGGUGAUCUUAGUUUAAUUCAAUACUCAUUGUGAAGAAUUGUCAGUGUUUGGUGUAAUUAUGCUGUGCAUCGAACUUGAUGAGCUUCUAUUAUAAAGUUGGUCAAGGGGGCAUGCUUGUUGUUUUUGUCUGAUUAAUGUCAGGAUAUACUGGAACCUGAACACACAGACAGAAUCACUAAAGGAAUAAUCUGUAUACCGGUCUUUAGAAUGGCCAGGUUAAUGAGCAAACAGAGUCAAGAUAACAAGCUGAGGUCAAUGGAGUACAGAGGACAGGAUAAAUGUUAGACAAGAGCCAAAGAAAUCACCAGAGGAAUGUGCUAUUGGGCUACCAAGAAACCACAACAGGGCAACGAGGAAUUGGAGAGGUAAGUAUUUAUAGGUAUCACUUAACAUUGAUUGGUUGAAUUCCACUUGGAAUUAACCACUAUUCAUGGAAGGUAUUUGACCUUCCUAAACUGACCCCUGACGUCAUUGAUAUGAGCCGAAUCUUGCAAGCGUGCAGCGUUUGACAGAAUGCCGGAGGAUAUCGCGGCACCUGGUGCCAAGCCAUCCAGUAAGCAGGCAGAAAACAUGACAAUUAACAGUCACCAGAGGCAUACUUUUAGUGAACCCAAUAUUUUUAUUUUGAGUUUAUCUGACCAUAUAUUACCUUGACACCAUAUUAUAGUCACUGUUUCCCAAUCACCCAAAUAUGUAAAUGCUUGAGAAAAGAUCAACCAGCUUGACCAUUUUGACCUAUCAUUUGUAAUUACUAUGUCAAUUCUAAUCCAUUCCCAAUAUAGGGAUUAAUGCUUAUAAAUAGACAAUAAAUGGUUGGAAAUUGACAAGGAAUUUCAAGCGAAAAUCACACAUUUUGAAAUAUGUAGAUGCGGCUAUUUUACUAGUUCAGCAAUUUUUGUCCAAAAUCGGAAAUUCCAGGUCAAUAUCUGAUAAUUCCUGGUUUGUUGAAUAAUCCUGACACUGCUGCAUUUUAUUACCUUUCCCACAUUUUUUGUUUGUUUCUUGUCCACUUUUUCUCUGAACAAAAGUGGGGGCCACAACAAACCUUGAACUUUACAGCUGUGCUUUAAAUGGUAAUUGCACGAGUUUAGGUGAUUUCUUUUAACUAUGUUGCCACUACAAUAAUAAUGGAUUUAUUUUCAGUGUUACUUUACGUUACAUGGUUUGUAUUACCAAAUAAAUGGUUAUAAAAUUCUGCACAAGGAGCAUCUUUCAAUAGAACAAAAAAAUCAUUGGUAAUAAUACAAAAUACGUGAGCCCAGGGAAGACAGUUUUCCAGCAUAACUUACAGAGCCCUCAAUAUUAAUGAUGUUUAUGAAUGUGGGUCAGCUUUUUUGGAACUGCCAACUCUUCAGUGACACUGUUUAGGUUCAUGAAUCAUAUUGAAAUGUACUCAAGAGUCAAAAACAUGUAUAAAUAAACAUAAUAAGCCUUCACCAUGGAAACUGUGGUUGCCAUGGCAAUUGUUUCAAGAGAUCUUUUACAGCAUUUUUCCCUGAUCAGUUUUAGGGACAGUUAGUGGAACGAGGUGAACUGUCCAAAGGAAUGAAGUUUCCUGCCCUGUCAUUAAGUCAAAAACUUUUACCACCAGUCAGACAAGUUAAAGUUUUAUGUUCUCUGUUUGAUUUUUAAUUUUACCACAUGACUGGAGGCUUCAUAUUUUGCAUUAAACUCUCUUUACUAACUCCACAUAGCAGUAAAGAAAAGUAAAAACAUUAACCAAUCAAAGAUGCAGUAGGAGGUAUAGUAUUCACAGUGAUGAGGCUCCUCCCCCUCUUUCCUUACUGCUCCAUCAGCAGACAGAUCAGAGUUUCAGGCNNNNNNNNNNNNNNNNNNNNNNNNNNNNNNNNNNNNNNNNNNNNNNNNNNNNNNNNNNNNNNNNNNNNNNNNNNNNNNNNNNNNNNNNNNNNNNNNNNNNCAUAUCUCAUGCUUAUUAAUUCUAGGACUAUUUCCAAAUAAUAAUGAAUAUUUUUAUCCUAAAAAACAAACUGUGAACAUCUGUGAUCAAGCCCACAAGGUGAAAUGUGAAAGUGGAAACUGNNNNNNNNNNNNNNNNNNNNNNNNNNNNNNNNNNNNNNNNNNNNNNNNNNNNNNNNNNNNNNNNNNNNNNNNNNNNNNNNNNNNNNNNNNNNNNNNNNNNCCACUGGUUUAUGUUGAUGAGAUAAAUCCUAGCAACCAAGCGUCAAUGGAACCUACUGUACAAUGUAAGAGGAUGAUGGAAACAAGGGACCAUAACAAUGUACCAUGAAGAUGGAAAAUAUUAAGAUUUAUUCAUAACAAUAAAAUCAACUUGUGCUCCACAGCCAAAACAAAUUGCAAGUCUUCCUAAUUUAGCCAGAUGAAACCAUGCACCAAAGCCACCUUUCUUGAAUUAAAACUGACCUUGUAACAUAUAGAGAGAAUAAGCUUUUAAAUACAAAAAAAGACACACUUUCAGGCACAUGACACUAUGGCAGAACAAUCUCAAAUGACAUUCUUUGUGGAAGCCUAGUGCAUGAUUGGGAGCUAAAGUAGCCCGGAACAUGGAAGUACAGAGGAGGUUAAUGUGUGUUUUACUGCACUGUUCAACCCAAGAAACAGUGGUGUAGCAUAGGGUGCCUGUACUUAGGACAAGGCUCAUAUUGCUCUAGGGACGACUCAAGACUUUGUGCUGCUCCGUAAGUCCGAGAAAUACUUCUCUCAUCAAGGAGAAUGAGACCAAGGAGAGGUCUGCUCAUGGACCACUGAUUCCGACAGUCUUCAAAUAUAUGAUGAUAUUGAGAACAUUGGAGAGCAUCUACAGGGAUCAUUUUCAGGGUGUUGCUGCAUAAUGUGCAGGAAGCGCUCGCUCUCUUGUGGUGGUGGGGGCUCCUCGUUUCUUACCAGUUCGGGAUAACUGUUUGAAGAGGUAUGUGACUAUGUGGUCCAGACAAGAACAGAACAGCAGCCUGUGCACACCAUUGUGUCCUCCAGAGCUGUAAGCCCCUCAGAGAGAGAGUGGAGUGACAGAGGGCUAAGUGAGGGGUGAAACGUAGGGUGACAGGGGGCUGAGUGAGGGGGUGACAGGGGGCUAAGUGAGGGGUGACAGAGGACUGAGUGAGGGGUGACAGGAGGUUAAGUGAGGGGGUGACAGGGGGCUGAGUUAGUGGGUGACAGGGGGCUGAGUGAGGGGGUGACAGGGGGCUGAGUGAGGGGGUGACAGGGGACUAAGUAAGGGGAUGACAGGUGGCUAAGUGAGGGGUGACAGGGGUCUGAGUAAGUGGGUAAUUGGUGGCAGUGGGAGGGAAGGUGAACAAAUACUUUUUUCCCCUAGUGGUCCAGUAUCCUGGCUCCCUGGUAGUCCGGUGGGCUUCCUAUCCUGUCUGCAGCUCUGCUGGAAGUGAGCUGCAGACCAUGUGAUAGAAGUCUUGCAAACUCCAGAAUUCAGAGCGUUGAUGUGGUAACCUGCGGUAACGCUCUGAUUGGCUGGAGGUUGUGAGACACUUUACAGUCUGCAGCUCACUCCCAGCAUAGCUGCAGACAGUAGGCGCUCCCCUCCCAGGGAAGACUGCUUGGAGGGGGCCUCAGACCCAGCGGCAUUAUGGGCAAGCCGCGGGGCCCACUCCUGAUUUCGGGCCCUCGAGACCCCAGCCAGCAUGAGGCCUUAGGCAGACGCCUAAAUCGCCUAAUUACAGAGCCGCCUCUGCUCCCCCUAAUCCGUGGACCAUUAGCUUCAGAUUUUAGAGAAAUCUUGACAUUUGCUAGUAAUUCUGCUAGCACAGUAUAUAGGUGUAAUGUAAUUUUCUAUUAUUUAAGACUAAACUGCAUUUGUCAUGACAGACAUGCUUUAAAACUGUCUUUGUAGGUGAGUAUACUUGUGCAUAUGUAUAGAAGCAGAAUCUGCUGGAUAAGAUAAGAUGAGAUUUAUGUUCCUCGGUUUACACCAAGCAUGUAAAACUUGAAUAUAUUUGCGGCCCGCCUGCCCUUGGGUCGCUUUGUGCUGUGGCUGCGACCAGCCACAAAACAGGAAAGAUAUUUCCUGUCUGCUUCUUGCCUUCCCUCCAAUGGCCACUCGAGGGUAGAGUGGCUGUCUGUCUGCAGAGCAGGCCAGCCACUCCCCCUUCCCAUCUGCUUGCAGUGCCAGAGAAGCGUCUGCCAUGCUUGCAGAGAAGAACAGGUCUGGAACUGCAGGAGGGUGGCUCAUAUUAAGGUAGGAGAAUAGAGGCUUGGGGGACCUUCCUGUGUAGUGUGUUAAACUGGGCAAGGAGGACUGUGAAUUAAUUUAGGGGAGGGAGGGGCCAGUGUAUUAAUUUGAGGGAGAGAGGAGGCACUGUAUUAAUUUUGGGAAAGGAGGGGGCCAGUGUAUUAAAUUGGGAAAGGGGGCAGUGUAUUAAUUGUGGGGAAGGAGGGGGCCAGUGUAUUAAUUUUGGGGAAGGAGGGGGCCAGUGUAUUAAAUUGGGAAGGGGGGCAGUGUAUUAAUUUUGGGGAAGGAGGGGGCCAGUGUAUUAAAUUGGGAAGGGGGGCAGUGUAUUAAUUGUGGGGAAGGAGGUGGCCAGUGUAUUAAAUUGGGAAGGGGGGCAGUGUAUUAAUUUUGGGGAAGGAGGGGGCCAGUGUAUUAAAUUGGGGGAGGGAGGGAGCUGUGUAUUAAAUUGAGGAAAAGAGGGGUACGGUAUAUUAUAGUGGUGGGAGGUGGGGGGCACUGUGUUUAAUUAGGGGGAGGACAGUAUAUUAAAUUGGGGGAGGGAAGGGGCAGUGUAUUAAAUUGAAGGAGGGCAGUGUAUUAAAUUAGAGUGGUUGGAGUGGGGGCAGUGUAUUAAAUUAGAGUGAAGUGAAGGGACAGGGGGCAGUGUAUUGGAUUUGUGGUAAUGUAUUAGAAUGGAGGGAAACGGCAGUGUGUUGGAUUGGGUCUGCAUGGAGGCGCUGAAUGCUCCCCAUGGAGAUGCUGAUUAGCUGCACAGCUUUUUGCCACACCUGCACAAUAGCCUCCCAAUGCUUUCCAAUGGGAAAGCAUUGGAGUGGCUAGGAUCAUCAAGUUUGAUGAUCUCAGCCAAAGUAAAGUACACUCAUAGAACAAAAUCAACAAGAUAACGUCAUUUGUUUUUUUACAGCUGUGCAACAGCGUACAUUCACCAUUUCAGCCCCAUUACCAAACUUUUCUUGAAAUGUCAAGGUAGUUGGACUGAAACACUGGUUAUAUGCAAAUGUACAUGUCCUUAAAAUAAAUUUGCACUUUUUUUACUUUGAAGCAGUGGCGGAUCCAGAGCCUGAUCUCGGGAGGAGCACUUGUAGAUUAUUUAAAGAAAUAAUCCAGGCACAAUAACCACUACAGGUCAGUGUAGUAGUUAUGGCGCCAGUAGUGCCAGGAUCCCAUCCCAGAGUAAGUACCGUAUAUACUCGAGUAUAAGCCGACCCGAAUAUAAGCCGAGGCCCCUAAUUUUACCCCCAAAAACUGGGAAAACGUAUUGACUCGAGUAUAAGACUAGGGUGGGAAAUGCAGCAGCUACUGGUAAAUUUCUAAAUAAAAUUAGAUCCUAAAAAAAUUAUAUUAAUUGAAUAUUUAUUUACAGUGUGUGUAUAUGAUGAAUGCAGUGUGUGUGUAUGAAUGCAGUGUGUGUAUGAAUGCAGUGUGUGUAUGAGUGCGCAGUGUGUGUAUGAGUGCGCAGUGUGUGUAUGAGUGCAGUGUUUGUGUAUGAGUGCAGUGUGUGUGCAUAAAUGCAGUGUGUGUAUGAGUACGCAGUGUGUGUGUAUGAGUGCAGUGUGUGUAUAAAUGCAGUGUGUGUAUGAGUGUGCAGUGUGUAUAUGAAUGCAGUGUGUGUGUAUGAGUGCAGUGUGUGUGUGUGUGAUGCAGUGUGUGUGUGUGUGUGAUGCAGUGUGUGUUUGUGUUGCAGAGCCUUGGUGGGGGGUGGGCAUUUUUAUUUAAAAAAAAUUAUUAUUAUUUAAAAAAAAAUUUUGUUAUAUUAUUUUUUUUUUAUUAUUAUUUUUAUUAUUUAUAUUUAUAUAUUAUAAAUGUAUUUAUUAUUAUUUUUAUUUAUAUAUUAUUAAUUUAUUUAUUUGUUGUCCCCCCUCCCUGCUUGAUACAUGGCAGGGAGGGGGGCUCUCCUUCCCUGGUGGUCCAGUGGCAUUGGCAGUUCAGUGGGGGGAGGAGGGGGGCUGGCAGAGCUGUUACUUACCUCUCCUGCAGCUCCUGUCAGCUCUCUCCUCCUCCGCGCCGGUCCGUGCAGCUCUUCUCUCAGCUCACACUGUAAGUCUCGCGAGAGCCGCACUAUGACCCCGCGGCUCUCGCGAGACUUACACUGGGAGCUGACCGAGGUGCUGACCGGACCGGCGCGGAGGAGCAGGGAGCUGACAGGAGCUGCAGGAGAGGUAAGUAACAGCUCUGCCAGCCCCCAGUCUGUAUUAUGGCAAUGUAAAUUAAUGUAAAUUGCCAUAAUACAGACUGACUCGAGUAUAAGCCGAGUUGGGGUUUUUCAGCACAAAAAAUGUGCCGAAAAACUCGGCUUAUACUCGAGUAUAUACGGUAGUCAAACCGUUUAAGAACAGUUUCACAACUUACCUGGGGUCUGCUGGGAUAUAGGGCAUAGAAGCAGUGGUAUGUGUUAGGGGUGAGGUGUGUGUGAAAGGUGCAGUGUGUGUUUGUGAGCGGUGAAGUGUGUGUGCGAGUGCGUGAGGGCGGCAGUGUAUGUCAGGGUUGCAGUGUAUGUGUGGGGCAGUGUGUAUGGGGGCAGUGUUUGUGGGGCAGUAUGUGUAUGGGGGGCAGUGUUUGUGGGGCAGUGUGUAGUGUGUGUAUGGGGGGCAAGGCCAGGGGCUGUGUGUAGUGUGUAUGUGGGCAGUGUUUGUGGGCAGUGUGUGUAGAGUGUGUGUAUGGGGGCAGUGUGUGUGUGUGUGUAUGGGGGAGUAGUGUUUCAGGGUCAGUGUGUGUAUGGGGGCAAUGUCAGGGGCUGUGUGUGCAGUGUAAAAGGGGCAAAUGUUUGUGGGGCUGUGUGUGUAGUGUGUGUAUGGUGUAGUGUUUCUAGGGGCAGUGUGUGUAGUGUGUGUGUAUGGGGGGGCAGUGUUUUGUGGGGCAGUGUGUGUGAAAGGGUAUGGGGGGCAGUGUAAAAGCGCAUGGGGGGUGAAGGAGAGUGGGUAGGAGGCUUUUUAAAUUUAAUUAAAAUAAAUAUUUAUGUCCCUCCCUUUUACCUUUUAUUGAGGAGGAGGGGGACAUUUCUCCAUCCCUGGUGGUCCGGUGGGUAAUCCUUGGUGGUCCCAGUGGUGAGUGAACUCUAGCCCCAGUUCGAGGAUAGAGUUCACCUUUCGCUGGACGGGAGCGCUGCUCGGUAACCGCUGCAACGCCCGCGGCUCGCUGGUAUAGGGCGACCCGGAGGAGUUGUAGGCUGAGCCCCGGUCCUUCUUCGCUUCCUCCCCUGUACCGGCCUCCCUCGGGUCCAUUAGGUUAUUGCAGUAAGGCUGGCACUUGGAUUAAUGCCAGCCCUGCAUUAGCUGGCAGGGGAGAAACUCGGGCAACGAUCCUACUAGUGUUUCUAGAAGCCCUACGAGCUUGAUGUCAUCCAGUGCUAGUUAGGCAACUUUUUUUAUACUGUACUUUUUGAAAUAAACCUUUUUUUUAUUAAAACUGAAGUUUUUUUUUUGUGGCCCACAUAAACUUAAACCUUAUUUGGCCCGUGUUAGCCUUUGAAUUUAACAUUCUUGGUCUACACCAGUGGUAGUCAACCUUUUUCUACCUACUGCCCACUAAUGCAUCUUUUUGGUUGAAAACAUUUCCAUACUGCCCACCAGUUUUUGCGCAAGUGCAGAAUAUUUUUUCGAAAGGAGGGUGUUUUAAAAAAAAAUUAUUAUAUUAUAAUUACAUUAUUCUUUUUAUUUCUACUUAAUGCAUGUUUAUAAUGUUUUUAACUUUAUAAAGUUUAAUGAGAAAACAAUAAAGUAAAUUGAAAUUACCUUUACUAGUUAUUAAUGAGAUCCUUGAGGUUGAUGCUGCAAGACUAAAUAUUUGAUAUCUGGUUCAGUUUUCGUAAGGAACAAACGAAGGUCUCCUCUUUUGGUGAUAUUCAGAUGACUUCUCUGUUUGCGCAUAAUAUGAUUUCUCAUCUGUUUGUCAGCUUCCCUCCUCUCCCUCUUCAAUUCCCCUCCCCGCCUUUCCCCCCCCCUUUUUUUACAUUUUUUAACCUUCCUUAUAGCAAUGCCCAAUAGGAAGGCUGAGCUAGGUAUCCCACUUACUAUUACUUACUAUAGCCCACUAUAACAGACAGGCACACAUACAUACAUACAGACACACACACAAGACCAGGGCCGUCUUUAACGCAGGGCAAACGGGGCAGCUGCCCCGGGCCCUGUCCCAGCUGAGGGGCCCAAGACAGCUGCUCCUUUUGCCCUCUGCCCUCAAACUAUGGGGGCCCAUCGGGUGGCCCAUGCACUUAGGGCCACCCGGUGGGCCUGUGUGAGCAGGGGCCCGGUCAGGCGCUGUGGCGCUUUAAAAGCGCGACCGGGCCCUUGCUUUUUCGGCAGCACUGGGAGGAAGUGACAGCCGCGCGUCACUUGCUCCCACAGAAGCAAGAGCCGCGCGGGAGGAAGGAGCUGUUCCGGAGGGGGCCAGCCCGGGAGAGCUUAACUCCCAGCCACCCCAGCCAGCCCACUGGACCCCAGGGAAGCCACCCUCCAGGAAAAGGUAAGAAACUGGAGGGUGGUUAUCAAAUUUUGCAUGAGUGUCUGUGUGUGUGUGUGUGAGAGUAUGUAUGUAUGUCUGUCUGUCUGUCAGUGUGCCAGUAUGUCUGUCGGUGUGUCAGUAUGUCUGUGUGUGUGAGUCUGUCAGUGUAUGUGUGGUUCUGUAUGUCUGUGUUUGUCAAUAUGUCUGUCAGUGUCUGUGUGUAUGUGUGUUUCAGUAUGUCCGUCUGUGUGUAUAUGUGCCAGUAUGUCUGUGUGUGUGUGAGUCGGUCAGUGUCUGUGUGGUUCAGUGUGUAUGUGUGUUUCAGUAUGGCUGUCUGUGAGUGUCAAAAUGUCUGUAUGUGUGUACGUCUGUCAGUGUCUGUGUGUAUGUGUGUUUCAGUAUGGCUGUCUGUGAGUGUCAAAAUGUCUGUAUGUGUGUACGUCUGUCAGUGUCUGUGUGUAUGUGUGUUUCAGUAUGUCUGUCUGUGUGUAUGUGUGCCAUAAUGUCUGUAUGUCUGUCAGUGUGUCGGUAUGUCUAUGUGUGAGUCUGUCAGUGUCCAUGUGGUUCUGUAUGUCUGUGUGUAUGUGUGUUUCAGUAUGGCUGUCUGUGUGUGUCUCUGUGUCAGUACGUCUGUCAGAAUGGGCCUUUGUAUCUGUAUGUUGUCCGUUUGUGUUUGUGUGUGUAUCUAUAUAUAGUCAGUGUGUAUCUGUAUGUGUCCGUGUUUGUAUAUGUAUAUCUGCAUGUGUGUCAGGUUGUGUAUCUGUGUAUCUGUGUGUCUGUAUGUGUGUCAGUGUAUCUGCAUGUAUCAGUGUUUGUAUCUGUGUAUCUGCAUGUUUGUCAGGUUGUGUAUCUGUGUUUGUGUCUAUCUGUGUGUCAGUGCUCUAUAUGUAGUCUGUGUGUAUCUGUAUGUUCUUGUGUGUAUCUAUAUGCGGUCAGUGUGUAUCUGCAUGUGUGUCAGGUUUUGUAUUUGUGUGUAUCUAUAUGUAGUCAGGGGGCCCAAGUUAAUGCUUGCCCAGGGUCCAAUCAGAAUUAAAGACGGCCCUGCACAAGACACACAUACAUACAGACAGACAGGCACACACACACAUACAGACACAAACACAGACAGGCACGCAUACAGACACACACAUACAAAGACACACACAUAAGACAUACAUACAAAGACACAUACACACAUACUGACAGACACAAGACACACAUACAUACAAAGACACAUACACACACAACACAUACAUACAAAGACAAGACACACAUACAUACACACAUAUAUACAGACAGACACACACACACAUAUAUACAGACAGACAGACACACACACACACACAAGACACAUACAAAGACACACACAUACAUACAAAAACACAUACAUAAGACACACUUACAUACACACACAUACAGACACAUACAUACAGACAGAAACACACAAGACAUACAUACAAAGACACAUACACAAACAAACACACACAAAAUAUUUUAGUCACCCUCCUGUUUCCUCCCCGGUCCACAUCUUUUUGGUUGAAAACAUUUCCAUACUGCCCACCAGUUUUUGCGCAAGUGCAGAAUAUUUUUUCGAAAGGAGGGUGUUUUAAAAAAAAAUUAUUAUAUUAUAAUUACAUUAUUCUUUUUAUUUCUACUUAAUGCAUGUUUAUAAUGUUUUUAACUUUAUAAAGUUUAAUGAGAGAACAAUAAAGUAAAUUGAAAUUACCUUUACUAGUUAUUAAUGAGAUCCUUGAGGUUGAUGCUGCAAGACUAAAUAUUUGAUAUCUGGUUCGGUUUUCGUAAGGAACAAACGAAGGUCUCCUCUUUUGGUGAUAUUCAGACGACUUCUCUGUUUGCGCAUAAUAUGAUUUCUCAUCUGUUUGUCAGCUUCCCUCCUCUCCCUCUUCAAUUCCCACCCUCCCCCACCCCUUUUUUUUUUACAUUUUUUAACCUUCCUUAUAGCAAUGCCCAAUAGGAAGGCUGAGCUAGGUAUCCCACUUACUAUUACUUACUAUAGCCCACUAUAACAGACAGGCACACAUACAUACAUACAGACACACACACAAGACCAGGGCCGUCUUUAACGCAGGGCAAACGGGGCAGCUGCCCCGGGCCCUGUCCCAGCUGAGGGGCCCAAGACAGCUGCUCCUUUUGCCCUCUGCCCGCAAACUAUGGGGGCCCAUCGGGUGGCCCAUGCACUUAGGGCCACCCGGUGGGCCUGUGUGAGCAGGGGCCCGGUCAGGCGCUGUGGCGCUUUAAAAGAUGUUUCCUACCUUUUAGGUGCAGGAGGGUGACUUUCCCUGGGGUCCAGUUCCCACUCUGACUCCCUCCACCUUCCUCCCGCGCGGUCUGUGUGAUAGCUGGCAGGAGUGACGUGCAGUCACUUCCUCCCAGCUCUGUGAUGUAAUCACAGGGGGCCCGGUCGCAUUGUUAAAGCGCCCAGCGCUGACAGGGGCCCCCUCACAAUCCACAUCCAUCAGGUGGCCCUGACAGCAUGGGCCCCCCGAUGAACCCCUCCAUGUGCGGCCCCGGUGGUUUGCCGCGCGGGCCGGGGCCGCAAGUGGUGGUGGUGGUACCCGGUCGCAGGGGUACCGCCGGCUCGCGCCCGCCUGCCCACCCAAUCUCUCAAAAUUUGAAAAUCCCUACCGCCCACCUGGAAUCCUGAAACGCCUACUAGUGGGCGGUAGGGACCAGGUUGACGACCCAUGGUCUACACUGAGUUUACUUUUACAGGUAGAACCUACCUGAUUGAUAUGAAUUAUAGAUGACAUUAAAUUAUAAGGAAAAAAAAAGAGGAAAAAAAAUAAAAUAAUGUAUAUAUAUUUGUGACACUUACAGAAAGAGCCGCCAUCAAGGCUGCCCUAUUGUGCAGUUACUUUUCUCCUAUCACAAAACGUCAUGGGGGGGUAAAAAGAGGAAGAGGAAGAGAAGGCAGAAAGAGAGCCUGGACCACCCAGAGCACACUCCAAUCAGCCCCAGCCGGCUUUCACUGGACCCCAGGGAAACCAACCACCAUGGAAAUGAGAGGGUGGCUAAAAAUAUGUAUAUAUUAAGAUAUUGUGAGUUCUGUGUGUAUUUGUAUUUAUAUUAAGAUAUUGUGUGUUUCUGUGCAUGGUGUGUCACCGUGUAUCCGUGCCAAUAUAUGUAUCUGCCCAUCAUUGUGAGUGAAUGUGUGUCUGUAUGUGACAAUUUAAGCAUCAUAGUGUGUAUCUAUGUGCGUGUGUAUGCAUGUCAGCAAAUAUGUCUGUAUUAGUGUCAAAUUUGUGUGUCAGGGUAUGCAUCUAUGUGUCAGGUGUGUAUAUCAGUGUGGGUGGAGGUACAGUACCUUGCAAAAGUAUUCACCCCCCUUGGCAUUUUUCAUGUUUUGUUGCCUCACAACCUGGAAUUAACAUGGGUUGUUUGAGGAUUUUCAUCAUUUAAUUUACAGAACAUGCCCACAACUUUGAAGAUGUUUUAUUUUUUAUUUUUAUUGUGAAGCAAAAAAAACAAAUAGGACAAAAUAACAGAAAAAGUAAAGUCAAUACUUUGUAGAGCCACUUUUUGCGGCAAUCACAGCUCCAGGUCGCUUUGGAUUAGUCUCUAUGAGCUUGCCAUAUCUUACCACUGGGAUUUUUGCCCAUUCCUCCUUGCAAAACUGGUGGAUGGCUUGCGCUUGUGAACAGCAAUCUUUAAGUCUGACCACAGAUUUUCUAUUGGAUUGAGGUCUGGGCUUUGACUAGGCCAUUCCAACACAUUUACAUGUUUCCCCUUAAAACACUCAAGUGUUACUUUAGCGGUGUGUUUGGGGUCAUUGUCCUGCUGGAAGGUGAACCUCCGUCUUAGCCUCACAUCACGCACAGAGUGGUACAGGCUUUGAUCAAGAAUAUCCCUGUAUUUAGCACCAUGUAUCUUUCCCUCAACUCUGACCAGUUUCCCAGUCCCGGCUGCUGAAAAACAUCCCCACAGCAUGAUGCUGUCACCACCAUAUUUCACUGUGGGGAUGGUGUUCUUUGGGUGAUGUGAUGUGUUGGGUUUGCGCCAGACAUAGCAUUUUCUUUGAUGGCCAAAAAGUUUAAUUUUAGUCUCAUCAGACCAGAGCACCUUCCUCCAUACAUUUUGGGAAUCUCCCACAUGCCUUUUCGCAAACUCAAAAUGUGCCAUUUUGUUUUUUGCUGAAAGUAAUGGCUUUCUUCUGGCCACUCUGCCAUAAAUCCCAACUCUAUGGAGCGUCCGACUUAUUGACGUCCUAUGUACAGAUACACCAGUCUCUGAUGUUGAACUCUGCAGCCCCUCCAAGGUUACCUUAGGUCUCUGUCUUGCCUCUCUGAUUAAUGCCCUCCUUGCCCGGUCCAUGAGUUUUGGUGGGUGGCCGUCUCUUGGCAGGUUUGCUGUUGUGCCAUGUUCUUUCCCUUUGGUUAUGAUAGAUUUGAUGGUGCCCCUCGGGAUCAUCAACGAUUUGGAUANNNNNNNNNNNNNNNNNNNNNNNNNNNNNNNNNNNNNNNNNNNNNNNNNNNNNNNNNNNNNNNNNNNNNNNNNNNNNNNNNNNNNNNNNNNNNNNNNNNNAUCUUUUUAACUAAUUCAUCACCCAGACCCAACCGUGCAGCCUCCGUGGCUGCCCCAGUCCUAAACGAGUGGGUACCAAAUUGCGUGGGAUCCGAACCAUCCACAUGCCGAAAAAAGGAACCUUGACCCUUUGGACGGACCUCCAUAUACCACCAUGCGCAGCCCACCGGGCAAACCGCUACCUGAGGUAGCGAAAAUAAUUCCACGGUACAGCCCUUCCCAAAUACAUCUGUCUUCGAACGCCGUAAUCGAAUGGCUACGUGAUCUCCCCCCAAUUCCACAUCCACGAACUGGAGACCCCCUUGCCGAACCCUAUUGCCACUCACAAUUUCACUCACCCGAAAAGCCCAGAAAAAAAGCCAAUACAAAGGCAACCGCAAAUAACAUAGACCUGGCAGGACUCCCAACAGCUGUUGAAGUAUUGCAAAAGACACCGGUCUCCUAGUGUCAGGUUCCGUCUUACCCUUGCGAUAACCCUUCACUGCCUGUCGUAAUAGAAAAUACUUUGUCGAAUCUUCCCACCCAUUUAGCUUGAAAAGAAACACCAAAGCUGAAAGGUUCCGGCCGAUUACUGCCGGAGAAGCCCCUGCCGCGAACAAGCGGCAAAGAAACCAUAAGAGAGUAUCGAGACGUACCUCUGCGGAGACCCGAUCCCCCGUACAGCUUCAUCCCAACUGUUCCAUACUUUACUCCACCCAAGUGCCCUGAGCCUACAAAUCUCUGAUCAGUCCUCCAAGCAAGAAGUCCCAAGCCGCCACAUGUGAUCCGGACAUGUGAAUCCGCAAUUACGUUUAAGAAUCCCGGGACAUGACGUGCACAAAAAACAAUAUUCAACUGCAUACAAUACAAGACAAAUCGACGAAGAAGUCGAACCACUGGAACAGAAGAAGCCGAAAGAUUAUUCACAGCCCCCACUCCAUAUUGUCCGUAAAGAAAAUCACUCUCCUAUCACGAAAAACCUGACCCCAUAAUGAGAGCGCUACUACUAACGGGAAUAACUCGAAGAAGGCCAAGUUCCGAAUAAGUGGGCUGUCCAGUGUUCAGGCCACUUCUCCGCACACCAAUGCCCCGCAAAGUAAGCCCCAAAACCCACGCUUCCUGAUGCGUCGGUAAAAAGUUCCAAAUCGGACAAUGCAAUAACCAUAUCCCUAAAGAAAACACAUCCAUUGAAGUCCUUCAGAAAUGUCUCCCAUACACCUAAAUCCUCCCUCAUCGGAGCUGUGACCCUGAUAAAGUGAUGAGGGGACCACUAGUCACCCCCCCUCACUGUCACUAGUCACACCCCCUCACUAGUCACCCCCCCUCAUUGUCACUAGUCACCCCCCACUGUGUCACUAGUCACCCCUUACCUCACUCACUUUCACCCCUUCCCUCACUCACUCUGUCACCCCUUCCCUCCCUCACUUUGUCGCUAGUCACCCAUUCCCUCCCUCAUUUUGUCACUAGUCACCCCCUCCCUCUGUCACUGGUCAUCCCCUCCCUCACUCUGUCACUAGUCACCCACUCACUCUAGUGACAGAGUGAGGGAAAGGGUGACUAGUGACAGAGGGAGGGGGUGAAUAGUGACAGAGUGAGGGAGGGAGUGACUAGUGACAGAGGGAGGGAUGGGGUGACACAGUGACAGAGGGAGGGGGUGACUGGUGACAGAGUGAGGGAGGGGAUGACUAGUGACAUAGUUAGGGAGGGAGUGACUAGUGACAGAGGGAGGGAUGGGGUGACUAGUGACAGUCACAAUCUCCCUCCCUCUGUCACUAGUCACCAUCUCCCUCCCUCUGUCACUAGUCACCCCCUCCCUCAUUCUGUCACUAGUCACCCCCUCCCUCACUAGUCACCCCCCCUCACUCUGUCACUGGUCACCCAUUCCCUCCCUCAAUCUGUCACUAAUCACCCCCUCACUCUGUCACUAGUCACCCUCUCCCUCACUCUGUCACUACUCACACCCUCCCUCACUCUGUCACUAGAGUGAGGGGAUGACUGGUGACAGAGUGAGGGGAUGACUGGUGACAUAGUGAGUUAGGGGGUGACUAGUGACAGAGUAAGGGACGAGGGAGGUGACUAGUGACAGAGUAAGGGACGAGGGAGGUGACUAGUGACAGAAGGAGGGAUGGAGUAGUGACAGAGGGAGGUGGUGACUAGUAACAGAGUGAGGGAGGUGGUGACUAGUGACAGUUACCACCUCCCUCACUCUGUCACUAGUCACCCCUUCCCUCACAUUGUCACUAGUCACCCCCUCACUCUAGUGACAGUGAGGGAGGGUGUGACUAGUGACAGAGUGAGGGAGGGAAGUGGUGACUAGUGACAGCGUUAGGGAGGGAAGGGGUGACUAGUGACAGAGUGAGGGGUGACUAGGGACAGAGUGAGGGAGGUGGUGACUAGUGACAGUCACCACCUCCCUCACUCUGUCACUAGUCACCCCCUCCCUCUGUCACUGGUCACCCACUCCCUCCCUCACUCUGUCACCAGUCAACCCUUCCUUCCCUCUGUCACUAGUCAACCCUUCCCUCACUCUGUCACCCCCUCACUCUGUCACCCCCUCACUCUGUCACCCCCUCACUCUGUCACUAGUCACCCCCCUCACUCUGUCACUAGUCACCCCCUCACUCUAGUGACAGAGAGAGGGAGGGUGUGACUAGUGACAGAGAGAGGGAGGGGGUGACUAGUGACAGUGAGGAAGGGUGUGACUAGUGACAGAGAGAGGGAGGGGGUGACUAGUGACAGAGUGAGGGAGGGGAGGGGGUGACUAGUGACAGUCACCACCUCCUUCACUCUGUCACUAGUCACCCCUCUCUCACUCUGUCACUAGUCACCCCCUCCCUCACUCUGUCACUAGAGUGAGGGGGUGACUAGUGACAGAGUGAGGGGGUGACAGAGUGAGGGAAGGGGAUGACUGGUGACAGAGUGAGGGAGGGGAUGACUGGUGACAGAGUGAGGGAGGGCGUGACUAGUGACAGAAGGAAGGAGGGAGUAGUGACAGAAGGAAGGAGGGAGUAGUGACAGAGGGAUGUGGUGACUAGUGACAGAGUGAGGGAGGUGGUGACUAGUGACAGUCACCACCUCCCUCACUCUGUCACUAGUCACCCCUUCCUUCCCUCACUCUGCCACUAGUCACCCCUUCCCUAACUCUGUCACUGUGUCACCUGCUCCCUCACUCUGUCACUAGUCACCCCCUCCCUCACUCUGUCACUAAUCACCCCCUCUGUCCUUAGUGACAGAGUGAGAGAGGGGGUGACUAGUGACAGAGUGAGGAAGGGGGUGACUAGUGACAUAGUGAGGGAGGGGGUGACUAGUGACAUAGUGAGAGAGCGGGUGACUAGUGACAGAGUGAGGGAGUGGGUGACACAGUGACAGAGUUAGGGAUGGAGUGACUAGUGACAGAGAGAGGGAUGGGGUGACUAGUGACAGAGAGAAGGAUGGAGUGACUAGUGACAGAGUGAGGAAGGGGGUGACUAGGGAGAGAGGGGGUGAUUAGUGACAGAGUGAGGGAGGGGGUGACUAGUGACAGAGUGAGGGAGCGGGUGACACAGUGACAGAGUUAGGGAGGGAGUGACUAGUGACAGAGAGAGGGAUGGGGUGACUAGUGACAGUCACCCCCCUCACUCUGUCACCAGUCAUCCCCUCACUCUGUCACUAGUCACCCCUUCCCUCCCUCACUUUGCCACUAGUCAUCUCUUCCCUCCCUCACUCUGCCACUAGUCACCCAUUCCCUCACUCUGUCACUAGUCUCCCCCUCUCCUUCCCUCUGUCACUAGUCACCCACUCCCUCACUCUGUCAUCAGUCACCCCCACUCACUGUGUCUCCCCCUCACUCUGCCACCACUCAACCCCUCCCUCCCUCACUCUGCCACCAGGUACCCCCUCACUCUGCCACCUGUCACAACCUCCCACACUCUUCCACCUGUCACCUUCUCCCUCACACACUCUGUCACCUGUCACAUAUGCAUUCACACAGACACUAUAUACAAAAAAGCACAUGUAGUCAUCCAGACAUGCACAAGUGCAUUCACACAGACUCAAAUACAAACAUGCAUUGAUACACAGGUCUUCACAAUACACACAUCCAAAGGAAUGCCGUAUUUUGAAUUAUAUUUAACAUUUAUUAAAAUGCACAUAUAUUUGGCCUUCAAAGGGCCUGGGAUCUAAUUUUGCCCGGGGGCCCCAAAGGCUCUCAGUCCACCCCUGUAUG